UUUUUUUGUUCUAGGUGACAACUUAUUUAAUACUUUGGACACUAUCAUAGUAAUUGGGUUGGGAAUACCCUUAAUCAGGUGCAGCGUCUAGCGACAUUGAUCGAAAGCAAUCCGGCAGCAGGCCAACUGCUUGCAGCCAUCAACUUAUCGUAAUUAUCGCCUGGCCGUUGAUACUUUCCAGUCACUGUAUAUAUAUAUAUAUAUAUAUAUAUAUAUAUAUAUAUAUAUAUAUAUAUAUAUAUAUAUAGGACACUCAUAUGGGGCACCAUGGUGCCCGGGCACCAUGGUAUCUAAUGCACAAAAUCACUCAAAUUUUUCAAAAUUUUCAAAUUGUGAGUAUAUACCUAGUUAUAAUAAUUUGAUUCAUACCUAUACUUAUCAACAAAACAACUCAAAUUUAACUUUAUUUCACAAUCCAUGAUUACAUACCUAACUAAUUAUAUGUAUGGAUGCUAUAUACCUAGAAUCAACAUCUAACAAAAACAAGUUCAAAUUCAGUUCAAACUUGCUUUAAACUUGUUAGUAAAGUAGUUAAUGUUAAUACCUAAGUAAUUGAAAAAGUUUUAAUUGCAUUUGAAUUAGGUAUAUACUCAAUUUCAACAAUGGUGCCCGGGCACCAUGGAGCACCAAACAAAUUUACUAUAUAUAUAUAUAUAAUAGAUUAAGUUACCUUUAAAUUUUCUUCUCUUCACUAUUUCUCUUACUUAUACAUUCAAUGUGUUUAUCUUAAAACACGUAUAGAGUUAACUCUUACUAUACGAGAGCUAACGCAUUUUUUCUCUUUUUUAAGAUAAGUUUAUAGCUGAUUUAUCCUUGUUCUCAUGGGACGCCAUAUGGUUGUCAGACUAUCACACAGUAACCGAUACGAUUAGGCAUCUCCCUUUCACGAGAAAAAGGCAUUCGCCCCUCUAAGAUAGACUGAUAAGUGAUAGUGAGUUCAUCUGUUAAACUUGCUCUGAGAACUUACUUCCUGCGCAAAAAGGAAAAACAAAUAAACUAGAAUUUGUUAUGACACAGUAGAGUACAAUGAAUUUAAAAAAAUAUAUAUUUAGAUUAUUGUAUUAGUUUACAUCGCAUCUAAAUUUAGGUUAACUUUUUCCGACAAAAGGGUACUGUACGUUGCAAGUUGCGAUACGUGACAAGUUAGCCCUCUGUUUUAGUGCAAUUUACUGUGUGCCACAUGCACCUGUGAUUAGCCCACAGCUUCCAAGGGUUCGAUCGGCAAAUCGAGACUGAACCCAAUCCUGUGAUCCUGUCAGCAAUUUUGUCUCAUAUUUUUUGGAGCUUAAUGGUGCGACGUGACUCAUGUCCUCAUGGGUCAAGGAGAAAAUCGUCAGGUUAAACAAAUCGUUUGAUUACGUGUAUUUCUCGAAUGGGCACUUUUGAGUGUUACAUAAUUAAGCUUUUGAUGAGUGAGACAGUGAACCAGUGAUGCUAGUUCUUUCCUGCGGGAGGAAGGGAAGGUAUAUAUCUAUCCAUUCAUAUAGCAUGCGUGGCUACGACAUCAUCCACCGUUCGUUUUGGCAUCGAGAUGUGGCGCAACUUAUAGUAGCUUAUCUCGCAGGAGAAAAGUGAUUGAUUGUGAAUCUGAUCCUUAUCUCUCGCUUGUACUUCGUAGUAGAUAAUUCGGUCAUGUAGCACUAGUGCACUAUGACACUAUCUUAGAGGGGUGUUUUGAUUCAGGGACCAAACUUUAGUCUAUGUCACAUUGAAUGUUUGGACACUAAUUUACAGUAUUAAACAUAAACUACUUACAAAACUAAUUGCAUAAUAAAUAAGAGCUAAUCCACGAGACAAAUGUUUUAAGUCUAAAUAAUCUAUAAUUAGAGAAUGUUUACUGUAGCAUCACAUAGGCUAAUCAUGAAUUAAUUAGGCUCAAUAGAUUUAUUUUGCGAAUUAGUCUAGGGUUAUAAAAUAGAUUUUAUCAUUAGUUUACGUUUAAUACUUAUAAUUAAUAUUAAACAUCCGAUGUGACGGAUUAACCCAUCCAAACUCCCCCUUAGGCGUCAGGCUUUACUCCAUCUGCGAAUUAGUAGCAUUAUUAUUUUCGUUAAGACUCUGCAGUCAGAGCUCUCAUUUCAUGGAGAGCUGACGGGAUCAUAACCUAUUUGGUCGUUCUCAGAGGUAUCUUCAAUUGUUCAUUUGGCCAUUCAUCGGUCCGAUUAUCAAAGAUGCCUCCACGGCUGCACCCAAAUAAAAAUAUCGGCUUUAUUGUUUCCCUUAUAUUUAUGCUUAUAUAAACCACCGUUUAUUAGUAAGUUAAAAUUAAUUUAGUAAAAUUAGUAUAUACAUGUUAUUAGCGAUUAUUGUAAAAUAAACCAUAAUAAAAAUCCACAAAAUCAACUAUAAAAUUAAAAUUUAUAAAAUUUAACAUAUAAGCAUAUAAACGAGCUCUAUUGGAUUACUCGUCAACAAUGUUACAAUCAUGAACAUAUCGAUCGAGAAAUUUAAUUACACAAAACACUACAAAGGGACUCGGUUUGCUUUUUUCCCUCUACCUAAUCCAAAGACCAUCCGUUGCAGCCAUACAAAUCCGGUGUGCUACGUGCGCUCGAAACAGCCUGCAUCCCUGCAUCGCGGGAACCAAAACCGACAGUAACCGCAGGACAUUUCGCCCUAUCCACUCCGAUCCACUGCACCCCGCACCUCAGCGAGGCCACUUGACGAGCAAACAGCCAACAAAGCAGCAGCUGAUUCCGAUCCUUUCGUCCGAGCCGACCACUAGCUACCACUCGAGCUGGCGGCGGUCGCCGUCGCGAAAAGCAGACGUGGAGAGGCUAUCCAGGCUUUUCCCCUUUGAUCCCCUCGCCUUCUCGUCCGCCCGUGCUGCCGCCGCCCGCCGAUAUCUUCGGGCUAGCAUCGGGUUCGCCUCGCGUUCAUAAACGUUUUUCUAAUCUCUUUUUUGCUUGCUUUUUUUUCGCCUUAACGCGGCCCGGGCGGAGGGGGCCGCUUUCGGGGUGUCGCUUAGGACGAGGAUCCUCUGUAAUCGAAGUCACGUGACUUUAUUAUUGAUAUAUAAACCCGAUAAUAUUUAAGUUCAUAUGACAAAGUUACUGUGCAUUUGUUCAUUUGACUGAAGAGAAUCUUAAUCAGUCGGCUAUCGCGUUCUAUGCGUAUCUGUGGGUCUUUGGAGGAGCUGGACGAACGCACGCCAUCGGCCGCCAUGUGAGCUUAUUUUGCUCUUUCGGCUGUGUGGAAUUCUUAUCCGGUUUUGCACGGAGAUAUGGCGAUGAUUAGUUGGGGUAUUAUUAUACUCCUAUUUGGGGAAGGGGUCUUAAUUAAGGUGGUACGGAGUCUAAUACGUUUGACGCGAUUGCGUAGCCCAGGAGGAGACCAAGAUUGCAAACUGGUGUGACUGCCAAUGGAAAAAAUAAGUUUACUUGUUUCGUUCCAAAAAAAAUCAAAAUCAACCUAUAUAAAAAUGUGGCUCAUCUUAGAUUAAUUUCUUUUGAAAUGGAGAGAGUAAUUAAUAGCAGUAGGCCAGUACAAUCUUCUUCACAUCUUAGAAGUAGCCUGAAUUUUCACAAUCAGUUCAUUGUAUUUACAGAUUUGUAGAAUCGCUAAGAGCACCGGCAACAGUAAAAUAAUGUGCUAUCUAUAAAACAUGUAUAUCUCAGCAAUAGACUAGAUUAAUAGUAAACCACUUCAAUGGUAUGUUUACAUGUAUAUCUAUAGCUCUCUAAUCCAUUGCCUCGUUUUUCUCUAUAGACUAUCUAAAGAUUAGUAGAUAGCGUUGCUCUCCCUCUUCAUUUAAUCUUUUCCAAUUAAGAAAAUAUGCUGACAUAGAUAUAUUGUAGAGAGUCUAUAGAUAACAAUUCUGGGUGCCCUAAUAGUUCAUCACAUAUGUGCUCAUGCUAAUCUGCAACAGCAUAAUGAUCGUAUUAGCCCUGACCUGUCAUCCGCGACAGGCUGCCUGCACGACCGACCGUUAUCAUCAAUCAUCAUCGAUCCGUUGCUGGUCCCGCUGAGCCGUGGGCCCCACGUCGUCAUCCGCAACCCGCCUACGCUAAGCAAAAUCCCCAAACGGCCCCCACGUCUAACUGCACGCGUAACGGCGCUUCCCCCACCGCGUACUCCGUACUACCUCCGUCUCAAACCAAGUGUAGCCGUAGAUAUCUGUGUCCAACAUUUGACCAUCCGUCUUAUUUAAAACAUUUAUGAAAAAUUUGAAAAUAUUUAGUCACGUAUAAAGUACUAUUCAUGUUUUAUCAUUUAAUAGCAAUAAAAAUAUUAAUCAUAAAAAAUUUUCAAAUAAGAUGAACGGUCAAAUGUUAAACGUGAAUAGUGUAAAACUGCACUUAUUUUGGGACGGAGACGGAGGGAGUAGUAGCUAGCCGCCGUCACUUCCCAGUUCACGCCGUCAGAGGCCCGUCCCUAUUUAGCCGCACCCUUCGUCUCUCCACCCAAACCAAAACCACCAUCUCAUCAUCGGAAAAUUCAUCUCAAAAAAUCACCAGUGAUCCCAAUCCACUACUACGGCGAGAGCUAGCUCGAUGGAGGCAUCGCCGCCGACGUCGCCGUCGUCGCUAAGGCACAGACUGAGGACGACGGUGUGCUGCUGCUUCGGCUCGCCGGGGGAGCGGCGGAGCGGGGAGAAGCUGAGGUGGAGGCGGCGGGUGGCCGCGGGGGAGUUCGGGUACGACCCGCUCAGCUACGCGCUCAACUUCGACGAUGGCGACGGCGACGACGACGCCGCAGACGACGCCGCCGCGGCCUUCCGGUACAAGAACUUCUCCUCCCGGCUCCCGCCCUCGCCGGUGGCGGCGCCGGCGCGGCGGUCGACGGCCAUCGCCAUCUCAUGAACUGUACCCCACCUGUCUCCUCCUCCACGCCCUAACUCUUCUUCACUAUAGAGAGAUUAAACUGUGUACUCAUGAUUAAACUACAGCAUCAAAAAUUGUGAGAUUAUUACUACACUAUUAGCUUAGAGGAAAUGUUCCCAUGGUUUCGACACAUGGUUUCCUAUGUAAUUCGAUACAUAUCGAGAUGUUUGUGAAAAAUUGGUGAUGUAUCCCAGAAUUGGGGCGAUUUUAGUCUUGAAAAAAAAUCUCUCCCUCCUUUUACCGCGGUAGUUUUGGACUCGUGAAUCGGUGAAUGACAUGUGGGCCCGCGCGUGUGCGAGGCGAGUUUGGUGGCGCAGUAGGAGUGUACUCCCAUUCCCGCGUGCGCAUUGGUCUUUUUCGCCGGGGGAUAUGACGACGAAAUUUGGGGAUUGAGCCGGGGUUUGGAUUUUUCUGCAAAAUUUGGCGCCUUUGGAGAAAGGGGAAAAAUUAAGGGGAUUUAUGAGAAAAAAAGAGAGAAAUGGACGUUGCUGCGUUGCAGGCUGCGCAGCCAGUUGGUUGGACUUGGACCGGAUGCGCGUGCUGGGUCAAACCGAGAAGGAUUUGGUGGAUCCGAUGCGAUGGGGAAGGCGAGGAGGCGAGUUGAGUGGAGGUAGCCGUUUGCCUCGCCGUCUUGCCCGUUGCAGAUGCCAAUAUGCCAUUGCCACCACACGGUCUGGUCCACACUUGCACUGUCCAGUCUACGAGUGCCACCCCUUUUGUAACGUGACUGUUGUGCGUGGAUCAAGCUAGCGGACGCUUUUGGACGGUCAAAUGCGCAGUACUCGCCACUCGAAUUGGCGCGUGCACGUGUGCGCGAGCUGCUGCUGCUACAUUGGACUAAGGUGGUUUUUGAAACUCAUGCAGAUGGAGAUUAAGUAUUUUACAUAAAACGAUAUGCUAUUAACAUAGGGUUAAUUGAGUUUUAUCUAUUACAAACUUAAAACAUAUAUUUAUCUGAUAUUAUAUUUAUCUGAUAUUUUAGAGUAAUUUUUAUAUAGAAAGUUUCACAUGAAACGUGUCACGGAUAUCUAAAUUUUUGUCCAACUUUUAUUGGAGGAAAGAACAAGUCCUAACUAUAGAAGUACCCGAAGUACCCGGUGCGGUCCGUGUGCAAUUUGAUCCCAUCUAACUCGUCACAAGGUGUUUGCUUUGCUUCUUCAGCUCCACCGAUCAAUAAAAGAUUGCAUUCUGCAUUUUGUCACGAGUAUGACCAAUGGAUUUGUGGGUAUGUAGACACUAGUUAUAUUUGAAAAGCUUCUGAUAUACUCCCUUCAUUUCAUAAUGUAAGAUUUUCUAGCAUUGUCCAUAUUCAUAUAGAUAUUAAUGAAUCUAAACACUAUAUAUAUCUAGAUUCAUUAAUAUCUAUAUUAAUAUAAGCAAUGCUUCAAAGUUUUACAUUGUGAAAUGGAGGAAGUAAUAUAUAACUCCAGCUAUCGGAAGCUUUCAAGUGACAAAACAUGAUCUAACUAACAUUGUUCAUGUUCUGGAACAAAACAGGAAAGAAAAAACAGGCCGCCAGGGCAGCCAAAAAUAACUUUUUUUUAGAUAAUAGCCAAAAAUAACUAGCACUACUACUUACAACUACUAGGAGAAAGAGGCAAUAGUGAUAGUUAAUGUAGUAAUGUAGUAGAAAAAUUUUCUUUAAGAAAAUAUAUGUUUCGAAGCAUGAAACAUAUAAUAUAUGUCAAUAAUUCGAUUUUUAAGAUGAAGAAAGAAAGUCCUAAAGCGCAAUGCGUACUGUAACUUUUGAUGUCGUAUAGCCUUACGGGCCUAGCAGCGUCGCAAAGGAAAAAAGUCCAAUUGACUCCCUUAAAUAUCGAGCGAAUCUAAUUUGUACCCUUAACCAGAAAACCAGAUAAGAUGAUUCCUUAAACUAUUAAAACAGGUGUAAUUUAACUUACUGGGUGAUUUUGCAAGCGGUUUUGGCUGACGUGACAGUUACGUGGUGGUGUUGACCCGGUUUUCGUCCCAUGUGUCGUCGACGUGCCGCUUACGUGGAGAGCCCACAAGCACGGGAGAGAGAGAGAGAGGAGGGCUGACCGGCUGACUGGACAUGGGCAGGGUCGGUCAACGCCACGUGGGCAGCCACGGUGGCAAGACGAGAGGAGAGAAGGAGGGGGCGCCGGAUCGGACGGCUCACGGCGGCGAUCCGGGGGAAAGUGCUAGCACUGGAGGGUAGAGGAGAAGAUGGGCAAUCCAUUCACCGGCUUGGAUUGGGGAGAGGAGACACGAUGGCGACCGGCGGCGGCGGCGAAGCUCGCCGGAGUGCCGACAUGGCUGCGCGCAAGGAGCGAUACGCGGCUCGCACGGUUGGUUUGGUCGAGCCACUCCACCACUGCGACGCACACACGACGGCGUGAAGACCGAGAGUCACCGGCGACGGUAGCGCGGCGGAAGAAGCGGUGCGGUGAAAGGGGGGAAGAAGGCACGAGCGGCUAGGGCGGCGACUCGGGGCAGUCGCUAGGGACACGGGAAGGGCGACGGCGACGGGAUUUGAGAGAGAAAGGCCGACGACGGCACACGACUGCGUGCAGCGGCGGCGGAAGGGGCGGCACGACCGAGCGGCGGUGCACGGCGGACGACGCCGAGGCGGCACGGUGUCGAGGCGAGUGCGCCUCUUUCUCCUCCGCCUCCACCCAUGUCAGCUCCAGUGUCGACGCAGGCGUCGAUGUGCUUGGGGGAGAGGCGGGUGCUGGAGCUGAAGCAGAGCGUGUCGCGGAUGGUGAGGAGCGGGAAGAGGACGUCGCGCCGGGUGACGGGGGCGGUGGUUGGCGGUGGUGGCGGGGACGCCGUUGAGGAGGAGCAGGUCGGGAGGCGGGGAGGGGUGGAGGCGGCCGGUGAGGAUCUUGAGAAGGGUGGACUUUGGCGGCGCCGCUGGGGUCGACGAUGGCGAGGAGCUCGCUGGGGCGGGCGCGGCAGGAGACAUUGCGGGUAAUGUGGUGGGUGGUGGUGGGCUGAACCUGCUGCUGCUGCUCAUUCGAAGGGGGAAGAAAAAAGGGGGAGAGAAAAGAGAGAGAAGGGAGGAGGAAGGGAGGAGGAAGAAAGGAAGGAGAAAGGAUUACAUGUGGGCCCCACAUGUUGGUAGGUCCCACAAUAUAUUUUGUGUUUGAAUGACAUAUGGGUCCCACGGAUAUUUUUUAAAUUCUAAUGCCACAUAAGCGCCAUGUGUAAUAAAAAUCGGGUUAGCACCACCACGUCAGUAAAAACCGCCCUCCAAAACCUCUGGAGGAGUGAAAAUACACUCGUUUCUAUAAUUCGGGGAGUCGUUCUACCCGUUUUUUCAGUUAAGGCUCAUGAAUUAGAUUCGGUGAACAAUUAAGGGAGUCUAAGUGGACUUUUUCCCGUCGCAAACCAGCAACAGCUUAAAAGGGCCACAGACACACGGCCUUUGAUGGUGAGGCUCACUUCCAGAAUCUGAUUACCUGCACACGGAGCCCACUGAUUCUCGCCUUCAUGUCAGGAUUGGGCCAUUCAAUGGGCCGAAUUUAUUGGGCCUACCAGCCUCACUACCAGGCUUGUAGACUUAGAACGGCCUAUCGUGAUCCAAGAACAUUCAUGGGCCUCUUUUCUCCCAUAAAAAAACAGAAGACGACCAACUACUAGCCAAGUACGCAAGGCAAGCAAAGAGACAAGAUUGAAGAAAAGGUUGCAGCAAAUGUAGCCCUAGUAACCAAAAGCAAAUUAGGUGCGGAAAUGUCUGGUGUGGCAGGUAUGGGAGGAGUACUGAGCCACUGGUCCAAUUAAAUACAGUCAUGGUUGCAGCUAGAAACAUCCGUAUGUGUCACAGCUGCCUAACCACAUCGGACAUACUUGGUCCUAAAAUAACACCAUUUUUCUUCUCUGAUUUGUUCUAAAGUAAAUUUAUUUUUAAAUAAUUAUUAUAUUGAAGUUUGUGGCAGUAUGAAACAAGUACAUUAAAAGUAGAAAAAAUAAGUAAUAUCUACACUGGAAUUUGAUAAAAAAAGUUAUUUUAGUUAUUUUUUUUAUUGAUACUUGUGCUAUGAUGGAUAAUGAAUUUACUGAAGUUUCGCUCCUGUGCUCGCCAUGUCGACCAAGCGAAAUGUACGAAGACGUUUUCUUUGGGCCUGUUCACUUUGUUGCAAAAAAAAAACCUUACUAAAUUUUGGCAUUACCAAAAUUUUAACAUAGUUUGCCAAAAUUUCUUAUAUAGUUACUAAAAUUUGACAGCAAACUAAAUGUAGUCACUUUUUUUAGCAACUUUCCUAAAAUUUGGUAAGGUUGAAAAUGAAAUCAAAGUGAACAUGCCCAUUCUUUUCUGGCUUGCCACGUGACAUCAAUCUCCCCUCCCAUUGACCUCACGUGCGAUGCAUACAUUGCUGCUUGUUUGAGGCGACAGAUUGAGAGGAGUAUCCAAUCUUCAGCUAAAAAGCCUUUGCCAAAUGUGAUUGCAUCCUGUGUUCUUAAACUGUUGCCUGAUUCCUUCUGCCCAUGCAAAUACUAAUCAAAUGUGCAAUCCAUCCUGAAUAAUACAUACAGUAACAAAGUACUAGUACUGCCACUGGAUGAUCUCCACGAUCUAAGACUAGAUCCAAACAAAACCUGAAUGGACAAGUGACCAAACAAAAUGCACAGCAUCCAUCCAUCACUUUUCCCCGGUCAAAGAUCCAUGUGAGAAGAGCGGAGAAACCCACGGAGAAGAUAACAAAAAAAGAGAGAGGAAAUCGCAGCUGAAAGAACGGAAUGCCGACAUGGGAGCGGUGGAUAGUACAGUGGUACAUAGGUGAGGUGAUUUAGGGGGUGUUUAGAUCAGGUGUAAAAGUUUUAACGUGUCAUAUUAGAUAUUAUAUAGCGUAUCGUAUGGGGUGUUCGGACACUAAUAAAAAAACUAAUUAUAUAUAAUCCGUCAGUAAACCGCGAGACGAAUUUAUUAAGUCUAAUUAAUCUGUCAUUAGCAAAUGUUUACUGUAGCACCAUAUUAUCAAAUGAUGGAGCAAUUAGGUUUAAAAGAUCCGUCUCACAAAUUAGUCGCAAUACGUGCAAUUAUUUUUUAGCCUAUAAUUAAUACUUCAUGCAGGUGUUUAAAUGUUCGAUGUGACAGGGUGAAAAAAUUUAGAGUGGGAUCUAAACAUGGCCUUAGAACGAGUACAAUAACAGACUACAAGUUAGCUAUAAAUACAAGUGAAUGUGAUAAGAGGGCCUUAGAGAAGAGUAAGAGCACCCGCAAUGGUAAAGUAAGUUGCUCUCUAUAAAACAUGUACAUCUCAGCAAUAGACUAGAUUAAUAGUAAAUCACCUCAAUAGUAUGUCUACAUCGGUAUCUAUAGCUCUCUAAUGCAUUGCCUCGUUUUUCUCUAUAGACUAUCUCCAGGUUAGUAGAUAGUUUUGCUCUCUCUCUUCAUUUAAUAUCUUCCAAGUAAGAAAAUAUGUUGACAUGGAUCUCUUGUAGAGAGCCUAUAGAUAACCAUUGCGGGUGCCCUAAGAAGGAAAUUAGGUUACAAAUUUGUAGCUAGCUGCAACACGGAUUUCAAAAUGUUUUAUGUGUAUAAAAAGGUGGGACUAUAUAUUAAUAGUGUAAUAUAUAUUUAUAUGUAACUAUUAUAUAUUAUAUGAAUCAACUAUUAACUUGGCUAUAGAUGAUUUGAAGUUAGAGCAGGUACAAUAGCAGGCUAUAAGCCAACUAUAAACAUAUUUUAAAAAGAUAAAGGAAGAGAGAAGAGCAGCAAGUUACAUAUCUGUAGCCAUCUGUAGCACGGACUGCAAUACGUAAUGUGCGUAUGAUAGGUGGGACUAGAUAUUAAUAGUAUAAUAAGCAAAUAUUGCAUGAAUUGACUAUUAUAUUGUCUAUAAAUGAUUUGGAGUUAGUAGUGGGCUAUACUAUUAUUAAACUUGCUAUGAGUAGUCCACUGUACUAAUACUUGCUCUUAUACGCAUAGAAUAAGAGGCGCGCCACGCGAGUAGUACGCGACGCGACGCGGUGGUGGUGGCGAGGUGGUGACGCGCCGCGAGGCGAGACGGGGGGAAGAAGUGGUGGGCGACGCGACGCGACGCGAGUUCCGGGGCGCGCGCGAGUACCGGCAAAACCUGUAAAGAAGCAGAAGGCCGCGCGACUGCAAGAGGGUGCAAGCCACCUGGGUGUCCGGCUAGCUGGAUUCCUGGGCAUGUGGCCCAUGUGGCCUCUCUCCCCCUCUCGCUUCCAACUGGAUAAAACACCUGAAUUUCUCGCGGUUAUUCCCUCCGUCUCACAAUAAUAAAAUCAUUUUCUCCUCUUGUUUAUUUAAAAUAAAUUUAUUUUUAAGAAUUAUUUUAAAACACAAUCCAAAUACACACUCAUAAUACAUGCGCACUUAUUACAUCGGAGUUGAUGAAAAUAGAUGAUACUCUCUCCGGUUCCAUUUUAGUUGACGUUUUGGACAAUGACACGGUCUACAAAUACAUAUUUGAUCUUAUUUUUCUAUUAUAAUAUAUAUAAUAAAUAAAUGCAUGUUUACUUUUAUUUUAUUAUAGUACUUUAAAAGACAAAUCUAUAUAUGUUGUUCUAGUUCCUUCAAACUAAAUAUUUUUAAAGUUAUUGAUGGUCAAAUUUAUAAAAGUUUGACCUCAACCUUCUCCAAAACGUCAAUUAAUAUGGAACCGGAGGAAGUAAACAAUAUAUGGCUGAGUAGUAAGACCCAUCCCACAUGAUAUUGUAAAAGAAUGCAACAUUUAAUAGAAAUGCGGGACAUUUAUAAAUUGGGUACAAUAUGAUCAAUUGUAAUGCAUGACUUGCCUUGUUCUCACACUGAUGAGACCACAACAACGUCUUCGAGAAACCGUAGAGCGACGAAACGGCCGAGAUCUACGCGACAAACAAAGCACACAAGCAAAACAUGCUAUAAGACUACUGAAACAGGAAACAAAACCAUUUUUAAUGGAUUCUAUGCAUUUUUAUGAAUUUACUGAGACUUGAAUGGACUUAAACGGAGUUCGGAUGAAUUAGAUAUGAAUUUUAGAAGAUUAAAUGUGUUUUUACUAUAAAAGAAAAGGCCUUAACGGAUUUUAUUGCGCAAUAAAGGUCCAUGCUGACAUCAUCGAGGGGGGGGGGUGGGGCGGCGCCGACAAACGGGACCCACGGGUCAGUGACUCAAUGGGAGAGAGAGAGGGAGUGGUUGGCAGGCGGACCCCACCGGCAGCGGCUCCAAAGGGGGGGGUGGUGUCUGCCGGGCUCGGCUUGGCUCCAAGCCGGCUGGCCAUGGAGGGGCGGCGGCAAGCGGCCACCGACGGCGGCGACCGGCGACGCGGCGGCGCGACGGCGGCGCCGGCUCGGCGCUAGGAGGGAGAGGAAGGGGAAAAACGGGGGAGGGGUGCCUCACCGGGGUUCGGACGGCGCGGGAGGAGGCGACGACGAACGGCGACGGCGAGCGACCGGAGGGCGACGGCGAACAGCGGCCGAGCUCCGGGACACCCUAAGAGAGGAAAAGAGAGAGGUUAGAGGGAGAGAGGGAGUCCACGGCAAGCGGAAACCUCGGCGACGGAUUGUGACGGAUGAUCUUCGGCGACGGAUUGUGACGGAUGAGGGGUGGACGAGGCGGACCUCGGCCGCGCGAACCCGACGACAGUGGCGGCGUGGUGCGGCGGCGGCCCUAGCGGCUGCUAGAGGCGGCCGGAGCAGUGGAGAUGGCGGCUGCGGGUGGGCGCACGGUGCGGGCGCGGUGGAGAGCUCGGGAGCGGCCGAUGGAAAAAGGAAAAAUGAGGAGGAGAAUGCGGGGAUGGUUUAUAUGGGCUCGGGAGGGACGGACGAGGCUGGGAGGCGGCCGGAUUUCUCACCGACGUGGGGGAGUGGGGAGAGAGAGCUGGGGGGAUUCAAAAUUCGAAUCCGCCCCUUGUGGGCGCGCGGCGCGGGCGGGAAGGCGAGGGCGGCGUCGCGACAAUGUGGGGAGGGGCGUGGGGCACGGAGUGGGUGCGGGAGGAGCGGGGAAAGCGGCGGCGGCGCGGCGGUUUCGGCGGUGAUUGCCACCGUCGGCUGGAGGUGGAAGAAGGGGCCGACAGGUGGGCCCCACCUGUCGGUGACCCGGAGAGAGGAGGGAGGGAGUGGGCCAGCCCAGCAAGGAGGAAGGGCGCGGGAGGAAGUGGGCCUACGGCCCAAUAAGAGGAAAAAAAGGAAGGAAAAAGGAAGAAAAAGAAGAGAAAAGGAAAAAGGGGAUUUUCCAGGGAUUUAAAUAUUGCUUGUGCUCGAUUUUAAUUGGUUAAAAUUAUUUCUAGAGCUCUGAAAAUUCCAUUAAAAAUCUUGUUAGCACAUUUCGACAUGUAGAACUCAAGAAAAAUUCCACAUACCGAUUCCAAUUAUUAUUUGCAUUUAUUAAUUUAGGGAUUCAUCUCUAGGUUAAAUUAAAUCAUUUCUUCGGACGAUUUAUUUUAUGAAUUUUAAAGCAAAGAGGGAAACUUCAGGGCGUGACAGUAUUCUAGUAUUCUGGUUUUGUAUUAGUAUGUAUGAGAUGCGUGAAAAAUAAACUUAUUUUGGGACGAAGAUAGUAUGUUAUUAUAAUGGGCAUGCAUCGUAAGCUCUUAAGCAUUUGUUCCAAAAUAGAAUAAGUUAUCCUAAAUAUAAUAAUCUAAUACUAUUACUUAUAAAAGGUAAUUUUUUACCGCUAAAAUACUCAUAUUAUCCUAAAUAUAAUAACCUACUACCAGUUAUGAAUUCACGGUUAUAUCAUUAUUUUGUUCGAUGUAUGGGGUGUGUCAAGCACUUUGACGAUGGGUUGACGAUGGCUUCAGGCAACAUCCAACCCUUUUCUUCCUUAUCGCUUGCACCAAAUAAAAACUAGGAUCAUCCCACCCAUGAAUCAAACUAGGGAGUGGUCUCGCCCCCUGCAUCCCACCCACCUUCUCCGAGAACCAAACACCACCUGCACUAGCUACUGCUAGUCCUAUCGUCCUGCUCAUCUGCCAAUCUGCUACGGAGAGGAGGCUAACACUGUGAGUCUGUCUGUGAUCCUGUGACUGAGCUUGAGGAUAUCUGUGCCCUCUUGCUUCCCCACAGGCUGGGGAUUUGGGGCCAUGUGCUUUGGGAGUGAACCAGUAAUCUUCUUUACUACUACUAAUCUUCUUUAUUAGUAGGUUAUGCGUGAAAGAUGUUUUUUCCCCUAGAUUAACACGAUCUUUUACGACGACAUACCCACUGAAAACAGUUGAGGGUGUAAAUUCAGACGACCGAAAGUGGUAAAUGGGAUAACAGAAGAAUCGAAGAGCACAGAAAACACGUACAUCAGGGAAGGACCUAAUCAAUAAUUAGAAGGGGUGAGGCUUCGAAACCAGGUCGUCUAGCCCACCACCUUGUGGAGCUAGCCGGAAGACCCAUGUGCGUUUCUCGAAGAAUCGAAGAGCACACUGAGAUCCCUUUUAAAUAAUGGAAUGGUGAAAAACACAGAAAAAUGAAAAAAAUAUAGGAUUUUAAUAAAAGUACUUGUGUAACAUAAAAUAUUUUAAAACACGAAAAUAAUCAUUUAGACAGACAAUAGAAGAAACAUAAAAAUUUGUAUGAGAGGAGAGAUAGAGUUAGAGAAACUUUAAAGAGGUUAGAGCUAGCUCUUACUAACUUAGGAACUUAUGUCAUGCACAUAAGCUUUCGUAUGCAUACCGUUCAAACUAACUAACAAAUAUUACCGAAAUAGUAAAGAAAAAGUGAACAUGUACUUAAAAUCAUGUUACGUCUAUGUGUAAAGUCUCGCCUUCAAAUUUAUACAUAGAGAGAUAAAAAAAAUAAAAUUCUAAUAGAUUUAUACUAUUACAACUGUAAUUUUGAGGUGCUACUAAAAUAUAAUGAAUUUAAGUUAAAACUUUACAUACAUGUAGGUAAAAUAUUAUUGGAAGUUUUUGUCUAAAAGUUUUGGUGAUAUUUGUUACUGAUAUGCACGAUACACAUAUAAGUUUGUCUACAUAGGAUAUGUUUUCUACUGAUUUUUUUUCUAAGAUAUACAUGCAUUAAGCCAUUUCUAAAGAAUUUUCUGUUUCGAAAUGUAGAAAGCUCCAAUCCUCUGUUUCGAAAUGUCAAAUAAUUUGUUUUAUGUACGAUUGGAAUCCUACAAAGGAUGCCUCUUCGGAAGCCGUUUUGCUGUGUGACAGGAUCAAGGUGUGUUUGCUGGCAGGUGGUCAGGCAGCUCAACACUGUUACCAUUUUGACUGUCACUUAACUGGACCUGGAUUCCAAUAAAGUGCAGGGUACAAGGAAUCUUAAGCAAAACAGUGUGUGACAGUGAGGCUGGCUGGUGGUGACUAUGCUCCCUCCUGGUCACAGCAAAUCCCAGGCUAUGUGACAAGAAGAACACGCAGAAACAGCUUGCCGUGUGCGUCGGAGACGAGUAAAAAAAAAAAGUACAGGGUGCAUCCAAAACUGAAUGCAUCAAGACGCUUAGGUAUAGUAUUUCUUUUCUUUUCAUCAGCAUUCGUCUCCAAUUAGCUUAAAGUCUUAAACCAUGCUAAAAUAAUCACGGUUUAAGGAUGAACUUUUCCCCGGGAUCAGAUCAUCAACUAAUUUGGACACCCUCUUGCCCUUGAUUAAGGGUUCAACGUGGGGACGAAAUCCUUGCUUCACUCUUUCACAAUCACAUCCCUCUUUAUUCCAUGCACGACAGCAAACUAGUAUCUCAUAAAGCUAAAAUAUCUCACUUGCGAGGUGGUUUAAUUAUUCAGUAAUCAAAAGUGUGCGUGUUUUUUUUCUUGGCCCAUACCUAGAACAUGGAAAUUAUUGUCCUCUUUGAAAUAGAUGUCAGAUCACAGUUCACGACAGGUAAGAUGACCGGUCUGCAUUGUUUGACCACUCGUCUUAUUCAAAAAAUUUGUGCUAAUAUAAAAAACGAAAAGUUAUGCUUAAAGUAAUUUGGAUAAUAAAGUAAGUCAAAAAAAAUAAUAAUUCUAAAAUUUUUUAAAUAAGACGAGUGAUCAAGCAAUACAAGAAAAACUCAAAAUCCCUUAUAUUAUAGGACGGAGGGAGUAGAUUACUUGGAAUCACCUGGUGACAAUCUCCCCUGUAUGUAGAAUAACCUUACCUUACGUUAAGUUACAAGAUUCAUUUCUAAUUAAUCGAGAUAUGCAUGCAAACAACUCUAAUACAAAGGAGAUUCCAUCGGAGCUUAACUCAAUCAUCUUGUUAUAAACUAUGGAUAUUUUAAAAUGACCAGCAUGGGAUUUAUAGUACAGCAACCCGGUCAGUUGUUCAGGUUCUUUGAAAAACCUACGGUACAAUUUUAUUGAAAUCAUGGAGAUUCAAAAUAGAAUUUUCAUAUUAAAUCAUCACCAUAGUUAGAUUUAUCUGAACUCUAAAAUUUUACUACCUCCGUCAUUUUCAGCUGAUUUUUUUUGCGCGUUACACGUUAAUCAAAGGAAAUUCAUGACAAAUACUAUAGAUAACCGCUUAUUCCUCAAAUUUAUCCUACUACUCUCAUUCAUCUGUCCACAUAGUAGAUAGCUACUGUACUCUGUCCUACAUCUAACUGCAGCUUGCUCAAAUUUCUCCUACUACCACUCACCCAUCUCUCCACACAGAUAGCAGGUACUGUAUUUGAGUAUUGGCUACUAGGUGGUGGUUAAAGAUGAUCAAUGCUGAUGAUUACACCACCUGUGAGGAAGCUGGCAAAGGACUUGAUAAAGUGGAGUAUCCUCUUGCCCAAUGGAGAUGUUGGGGCGGACACCAACACCCCUGAUUGGGGACACGAGCUCCGGAGGCCCCACGCUGUGCCACCCAUGGCGACGUCCUUCUCCCAUCUUCUUCCAUUUUGUUUAACACUCGCUUUGCCGUCCUAGUUGGACAGUUUCUUAGGUUUCAUCUUUCUUCUGUCGGGACCAGCAAGAUUAAUCCACCAUAAUGCUUGGAACUGCCUUCUUUUCACAUAAAAAAACACUUAGUUUUAGCACAUAAAAGAAAUACCUAUAAGAGCGAAGACGCGAUCAUUUUUAUAAUGAACUUAUAAGUAUUUCGCGUUCGUUUUCCUUUUUCAUUUUAGUCGCAAAAUGCAUAAAUAUUAGUAAGAAAUAGUUCCACUUCUAUGGAAAGCUUGGAGAAUCAUGUGUUCUAUGGAUGAAAAGAGGAUGGCAUACUCUCCUAGGAUGCUACUUCUGCAGGAGGAUGAUGCUAAAGGCUAAAGCAAAGCACUCCCCCUUCUGUCAUGGUACUAGGAGGGAUCAGGUGCUCCAAUUACAACCUAAAGCAUCCUAUUAAUGAACUGAACUACUUUAAGAUUCUGCUGGGGUGCAUUCCUGUAGGCCCAGUUGUCCUUUUAAUGAGGGGGUGCCAGUAAAUGUAUGCCACCUAAGGUCAGGUCGAGGCUCUUCAAUUUUGUUCUUGUGUGACUGGAGUAGAUCUGUGGUUUUUGUUAUAGACAGGCAGCCACCACUAUGGCUGAGUAAAAUAAUACCUGUAUGCCAGUAAAAAACAAUAAUAUAUGUAUAAUCAUGUAUAGUUGCUCUCUUUGUGUUUUUAGCAACACCACUCUGAUUUUCUAGAGUUUUUAACUUUCAACCUUGGUAAAUGUUGGGUGUAGUGGUGCCAAACUAGUAAGUAGUGGCUUUGUGUGUAAGAAUGCAUGGGACUGUGUUUGAGCAAAUGCAUAAGCAAUGCAAGAAUCUGAUAAUACUACCAGCAUGGAAGUGGUGAUGGGUUGUCCAUGCACUCCACUGAAAUAUAUUGUGGAAAAGGAAACAAUAAAAAUGUACAAGUUGGAAACACAUUGAGACAAGCAAAGUUGCCUAAAAGGAAGACUUAUAAGUUGUUAUCAAUUUUAUCUUUACAUGACGAUGCUAAAUACUCUGGCCACAGUAGGUUUAGAUAGACGCAUUCAUGAUUAUGAUGGACUUCUUCCCUCAAGGGUACAGUUUUUUUCCCCCAAAUAAAUAGAUCAAAUUUCACAUGCAAUUCAACAAGUUAUUUGAAAUUGAGUUAUAUUCACCAUACAACUCUAUGACUAUUUAUAAAUAUACAAUUGUUGUCCAUAUGUAUUUGCAGUAAGCUAGGCCAUUAAAAUUUCAUCCCACCAAAAUAGAUGGUGUACCUUUUUUUCUUAUAUGACAAACACAAUAAUUUCAAGACUUCAAAAGAGGCGACGAAGUGGCUCAUUUUAGGUCUCUCUUUAUGGUAGUAAAAAUAUUUUUCUUACCCAUGAAUGCAUAAUUGUCUGUCACUGAUCUUAAAUAUUAAUGAAGAAUAGAUUCAAAUCAUUAGUAUGUAAAAACCAACCGAAAGUAUAGAAUACACGGAUCAUGAUGCUAUAUCUUUCGAUAUUCCCGAGAAGAGCUAUUAUCUCACAACAAUCUUGUUGACGUCAGAUAUCUUUGACGCUCAUAUCAUGGUUUAGUGCGUAGAAACAUUGACUUAUAGUCUUGGCCGUAUCCGUUGAUUCUAUCUAUACGAUAUGCAUUGGAUGCUUAUCUUUUCGAGUACACACGUAAACCAUAUCUUGUAGAUAUGUUUAUUACGCCAUUACUAAGAUAUUGCAUAACAUUAAAUCGCUAUUGAGGCAUUGACGAUAGACAAUAACAUCUUGCCAGAUAAAGAUCACUAUUACUGUCUUACCACAUAAAGCUCUCUGUUUUUUUACCAGAAACAUAAAGCUCUCUGUUGUAGCACAUAUCUGUUUUAACCCAAAUACCAACCGUAACACAUACCUUCUUCUACAAUAACCUAUAACCCAUACACACAAAAUUUUCCCAACUUUUAAACGAAAAACCAAUCUUCUCCAGCCAUCCAAAAGCAAAAAAUCAAGCUAAGAAAACCCCCAAACAACCAAAUAGAAACCUCCAAAUUAACCUAAGAAAAACCGACGCCGAUAAGUGACAACCCAUUUUUUUUCCAAAAAUAAUAAAAUAAUAUAACAAAGAAAACGAGCAACCGAAGCGAGCCAAGGGUUUUUGAGUACAAACGCACCGUCCCCCAGUCUAGUCUACUCCUCCCCUCCCCUUCCCCCUUCCCUCCCUCCCUCCACUCCUCUCCCCCCUUCGCCUCCACCUCCGCAACAACAAAUACUACUACGCAAAAAAAUUCCCUAACCUCGCAAGCAGCAGCAGCGACUCCGCCGAGGAGGAGGAGAGCAUCGAGCAGCUCGCUCCCCUCCCCCCUCUCGGAUCCGCUCGCCCGCAAUCGCGUGGGCUUCUCCCUCCCCCGAUUCGCCCCCUCCAAAACCCUAGGCUAGAUCCAGCCCGAGGAGGAGGAGGAGGAGGGGGAGGAGGUGGUGGUGGUGGGACGGACUGGACGGCCCCGCGCCCGCCGCCGAUGGCCGCCGAGGACGCGGGCGGCGGCGCGGGGGAGAGGAUGAAGCUGCUGUGCAGCCUCGGCGGCCGCAUCCUCCCGCGCCCGGGCGACGGGACGCUGCGGUACGCCGGCGGCGACACCCGGAUCGUGUCGGUGCCGCGCGGGGUGGCGCUCGGGGAGCUGUUCGGGAGGCUCGCCGAGGCGUACGGGGGCGCCACGGGGGCGAGCUUCGCGGUGAAGUACCAGCUCCCCGACGAGGGCCUCGACGCGCUCAUCUCCGUGUCCUCGCCGGAGGAUCUCGACAACAUGAUCGAGGAGUAUGACAAGCUGGCCGGCGCGAGCCCCAAGCUGAGGGUGUUCAUCUUCCCCAUCUCCGACGCGGCGGGCGGUGGCGGCGGGGAGGAGGCGGAGGGCGGGGGAUUCGAUGCCGGGCUCCGGUAUCUGGAGGCGGUGAACGGUAUUGUGCGCAAGGACAGCGUCGCGAGCCUCUCGUCGACGCAGAACUCCGAUGGCGGGCCGCCUCCGCCGGCGCCGACUUCGGGUGGUGGCGGCGGCGGCGGUUCUCCGACCGCGCUCUCCCCCACCUCUACUUGCUCGAAUGAUGCCGCGAGAUCGGCGUUUGGUGUGGCGGCGCCGCCACCGCUUGUCGAUGUGUUCAGCAAUGCCGCUGCUCCGGCUCCUGUCCCUGUGAAGCCACAGGAGAUUGCUGCUGAAGUGAGGGCUCCACCGCAGGCGAAUCCACAGCCGGAAGCAGCGAGGUACCGGCAGCCGCUGUCGCAGCUACCACCGUUGCCGCCUGUGUUCAUGAACGAUCAUAGGGAGGCCAUGCAGGGUCUGAAUCAGGCGAUGCCAGGAAAUGGGGGAAGGCUGGAAGACUGCAAUAUGUGCUUGAAGGCACUUCCUCAUGCUCACUCAGAUCCAGUGGUGAAUGACUACGGUAGCGAUAUGCAUGGAGGGCCUGGCCCCGAGACGGUGCCGGUAUACAUGAGCCUGCGGCCAGAAGACGUGGCAAGGAUUAUGAUGCCGGAGAGGGCGGUGCCAGUUCCGAUGGGGGCUUAUGGGUACACCCAUAUGCAUCCCGUGCCGCAUGAGAGGGAGAUGAUGUAUGCGCAGCAGGUUGAAGGGAUUCCGAACACAGUGCUCAUUGACCCAUCUGGCUUGCAUCAGCAUGUGUAUGUUCAUCAGCAGCAGCAAGUUCCACCACAGCAGUUGCCUUCAACCUAUGGAUUUAACCAGAUCCCUGUGAUUCCAAAUGAGAAGGACAGAGUAGUUUCUCCAGGUUCGGCUCAUUCUGAUAUCUCAAGCUCUCAUCAACACAUUAUGCAGCAGCCGCUGCCACCGCAGCAGCAGCAAUUGCCUUCAGGCCAAGGAAUGGCACAAUAUCCCGUCAAGCAAAAUAGUCCAAACAAUCAGCUUACAGGUGAGGGUAGCCUAAGUGGCAAUGCAAGGCAUCGUGAGGAUGGACUGACGCGCCGUGAUAAUGUGUCCCCAGUGGCACCUGCUGCUGUGCCGACUUAUAUGGCUAAUGUGGACAGGAUGAUGGAUUCGCUCCGCUUGAGCCCUAGUGAGGCCAGUUCUGCCUCUACUGAACAAAGAAAGCCAGUGAUGCCUCCUGAGAAUGGUGUACCCCAGAAUGCCAUACCAGAAAACUCUCAGGGGUUCCCAGAUACUCGAGCAAGAGAAGUUAGUCAGAGCAACACCAACACCUUUUUUGAUGUCAGUGAACCUAAGGUAGUCCUUCCAACUGAACCAGCACCAUCACCUUCCAUUGCCAGCUCUUAUUUGCACAAUGUUCAGCACACCAAUGUGAGCCAUAUGCCACAUAUGAUGAGCAUCGGGGGUCCCUACUCGAGUUAUGUUGUAGCUACGGUUGGGCCUGGUGGAGUGCCUCCAUCGGCUUAUGGUGUUGAUCUUGUCUAUGCAAAUUCUGCUGUAAAUCCAUUAAGUGAGCGCAAGGAUGUUCCACAUGAAGUAGCUCCAAAUGCUAAUGCUCAGGUACCUGCAGCAGCAUUGGUAAAUCAUGCUCCCAAUGUGGACCAAAUCCAAGAGUCUGGCUUACAAGGCCAGCAAUUUGGCAAUGACGACCCCUGGAAAGUAGUGACAAAUACACAUGCUUUGCCACCGAGACCUAAGAGGGUAGCAAGCAGGGAAAACAUCAGCCCGAAGGAUCCACAUUCUCACAACUCUUUAUUAAAUUGCAAAGGGCCAGAUCUGAAUAUUCCGGCUGAAGAUGUUGCUCUCCACCAACAAUCAGAUCACAAGGACGCCCAUACAGAGCAUGGUCGAUUCAUCAAAGGUUGUCUGCUUAACCAUAUUUCCUGAUAAAACCUUGUCAAUAUAUGUACUUGUAAGUUGUGAAUCUUAUUUCUGCAUAUCGCAUCAAUCCAGGUGAUGAUAUGACCAGCCCAGAUUUGGUAAGUGUCGAGGACAGUUUACCUACAUCUAAUACAAAGUCAUCAGAGCCUCAGCCUCCUGUGGUGAAUGAUGGAGUUGGUGCUGUCACUGGUAAAGUAGAUGCUGAAGCACACGCCAAUGAGGUUAAUAUAUAAUUUCUUACUUUCUCAGAUGUGUCCUUAUUCAUGUCAUCCUUAAUGCUAAGCAAGAGAAUCAUGCAGGUUAACAAGAGCAGACCAGCAGAUUGGAUUUCAGGUUUUCCAGCUACUGAUGAUCUUGGACGUCUGCAGGUUACUUUCGUGAACUAUAGCUUUUUAAUCGUGCAAAUCUUUGAUAGUUAGUUCUGUUACCAAUCAAAUGUUUAUGUUGCAGAUUAUAAAGAAUAAUGACCUUGAAGAGCUCCAAGAACUUGGUUCUGGAACUUUUGGAACCGUAUAUCAUGGUAAAUGGAGGGGAUCUGAUGUUGCUAUUAAAAGAAUCAAUGACAGAUGUUUUGCUGGGAAGCCAUCAGAGCAAGACAAGAUGGUUAGUUCUCACACUUCAGAUUGUUAUGUUUGGCUAUGCUGUCUUUGCAUUGAUAUAUCCUGGAUUACUGCAGCGGAAUGACUUUUGGAAUGAAGCAUCUAAACUUGCUGAUCUACACCACCCAAAUGUCGUGGCCUUUUAUGGUGUUGUUCUUGAUGGACCUGGGGGAUCAAUUGCCACUGUUACUGAAUACAUGGUUAAUGGUUCACUCAGAACAGCUUUGCUGAAGAAUGCCAAGUAUGUCCCUUUACACCCAGAGUUAUCUUCUGCUUUGAUCUGUUACAUCCUAAUGUCUAAUGCACAUAAAAUUGGUGGUCUUGCAUGGUGUUGAUUGAAUCAAAUUAUCUGUGCAGGACCCUGGAUAAGCGUAAGAGAUUGAUAAUUGCCAUGGAUACUGCUUUCGGAAUGGAAUAUUUGCAUAACAAAAACAUAGUGCACUUUGACCUGAAAAGUGACAAUUUGCUUGUUAAUUUAAGGGAUCCUCAGCGUCCAAUAUGCAAGGUAAGCAGCAGGCUCCAUUUGUUUUUAUUAGAUUGCUACAUCGUGUUGCUAAAUUAUUAUGAUUUCCCUUAUCUGUAAUAUUUGUGGUACUUGAUAUUAGGUAAUUUAGGCAGUAUGUCCUAUAUUGUCCUUUUAAACUGGGUACUCAUGGUAAUUUUUAGCAUUAUUAUCCCACAUUCUUGUAAAUUUACUUCUUAGGAGCAUAUGGUGUCCGCUGUUCUGAUCCAGAUAGAUAUCUAGUUUGCCUGGUACAGAAUUGCUGUUAGUACUGAAUGAUUAUAUCUGCUUGGUUGGAACCUGCUGCCGCUUGGGCAUCUUCCGCUGCAGCUUCAUGGAGCAUGACAUAUGUAUGAUAGGAUGAUGGAGCAGCUCUGAUAUUUGUUUUAUUAUAUGUUAGUAAGACACAAAUGGUGGCAUGGGUACACGAUCUGAUAAGAGGAAGUUUCUAAAAGUUUAACUACUUGAUAUAACUUGAGAUUAUAAACAUCUGCUUUCUAGCAAAGACCUCUCUGUACAAAUUCUUGAGCCUGCUUGUUUGUCAUCUUAGUUUGUACUCCCUCCGUCCCAAUAUAAUUGCAACCUAGUACGGAUGUGACAUACCCUAUGACUAGGAAUCUGGAUAGGCAACUGUCCAGAUUCGUAAUCCUAGGAUAUGUCACAUCAUUGUCUAUCCAGAUUCCUAGCCCUAGGAUAUGUCACAUCAGUACUAGGUUUGCACUUAUAUUGGGACGGAGGGAGUAUUCUUUUAGUUGAUCGACUAGCGUUCUUUGUUGAAUUUUCUAUGAAACACUUAGCAGCAUUUGCUUUUAACACCUUGAAAUGUCACCAGGCAUUUGCAAAUGUGGCUGGACUGAUAUAUUGCUGAUGCAAACUUCCAGCAAAUUUCAUUUUACUUGUGCCAACAAAGUGACCUUUUGAAAAUAUAAUUAGGUGACUGGUGUCCUUUCCCCUAUAUAUUUAGCUAUUUUGUAAUAAUUUUCUUCGAUGAUGUAGGUUGGUGAUCUUGGACUUUCAAAAGUAAAAUGUCAGACCCUCAUCUCUGGUGGUGUGAGGGGGACUCUUCCAUGGAUGGCUCCAGAACUUCUGAAUGGAAGUAGCAGCUUGGUCUCCGAAAAGGUCUACAUAUUGAUUGUGUCAUAUUAUCAUUUGACCUGCUACAUUCAUGUCCAUAUUAAACUAACAUUAACGUUGCCUUGGUGCCUCAGGUUGAUGUGUUCUCCUUUGGGAUUGUUCUCUGGGAACUCUUAACAGGAGAAGAACCAUACGCAGAUCUGCAUUAUGGUGUUAUUAUAGGUUGGUCUUGAUUUCCCAUUUCAGAUUUUACAUGAUCCUUAUCUGAUACUGUCGUAGGAAUUAUACGUGCAAUAUAGAUGGACAAAGAUGAUUUGAUUGCCAAGCUUGGUGUAAAAUUUUCUACUCUUGGCAGGUGGCAUUGUGAGCAACACUCUACGACCAGCAGUACCUGACUCUUGUGAUCCAGAGUGGAGAUCACUAAUGGAGCAAUGUUGGUCGACAGAACCAUCCGAACGGCCAACCUUUACGGAGAUUGCUGGUAGGUUACGCUCCAUGGCUGCAUCCCAUAAGGUGCAACCCUGAGGUGAACAACCUGGGAUGGGAUAUUGUAACAGAAUGGCCGGCAACAAACUUCUGGGGCAUCGGUGGACAAGUUCUCUACUGCCAGAUCGCGUAUUUAGGAAUUCAGCACUGAUAUAAAUAUGCCUUCAUUUAUGUCCCUAGGAUCUAUCUGUUCAUACCUCUUCAUUGUUUCAUAUCUUGUAAUCAAAAAAAGUUACCAGCCGUGUGUCCAGAAGCAUCGCAAUGGACGGUCUCAGAUCCAUAUUCUUUCAUUUAUACCUUUUGCUUAGAGGUGCGUUUAAUAAGUUAUUAGUCUAGAGUCAGUUAUAGGGAGCCCAAUAUGUUUUCCUUUUUUCUUUUUCUCCCCCUUUUCCUGGGUAAUAAUUGAGUUAUUUGGGAGUCAAUCGGUCGGUCGGUCGGAAUGUAAACUGAUGUUGAAGGGUAAUUAAGCUUGGUUGGUCUUUGCAAGUCUUGGAACACAGAGUGAGGUCCUUGCUUGUAAUAAGAUGUCUGUUUUUCUUUUUUGUGGUUUGUGAGAUAUACCGAUUUGUUAAGUACUCUUGUAACAGUCACAAGUCAUCAUGUAUGAUGUGUUGCAGUUUUGCUGAAGAUAGUUAUAAGACUAUUGUUGCAGAGAUUUAUUGCUCUCUUGCCAGAGUUUUGCCGCUGCUUCUAUGCUUGAAAUGAGCUGGUUUUGGAUAUUUCCUUUCGCGAACACGUGAAAAGAUUGCACGUCAAAAUAUUAGAAAUAUUAGAAGAAAGAGCUGGUUUUGGAUUCGUGGCAACAAUCUCUCGUUACCUAGAAUCCGCCAUGGUUGUUUCUGGAUUCAUGGUUGCGAUUUAUUCGUUACCUGAAUCUGCCAUGGUUGUCGUCUAGUGGAUCAUCUGGAUACUGUUUGCGCUGUGGACUUCAUCUCUCUGUUGGCGCGGCACGUACAGAGGGUAUAGAUGACGGAUUGGCCAUGUGGUGACUGACGGCGACACGUGAUGGCAAAUUCGGUGGACGCGGCGCGCCCGUCGUGACUGAAGCGGCGGUCGAUUUCGCUCCCCGAAUCGGGCAUGGAACGCGUAUGUGCACGACGCGUGCGCCAUCACGCACAACAGUUAGCCGAAAAGAAUCUCCGGCUGUCAUCGAUCAGUGGGCUAAUUGCCGAUAAUACCACAAACGAUCUAUUAACGAUAAAAUGAUUUUUAUAUAUUUGUUCUUAAUGGUUUCAAUAUCAAUAUUGAAAAAGAACUAUGAUUAAAACCUUAAAAUCGAUUUUAAAUUCAAGUUUUAAAGAUCUAUUCCUAAAUUUUAGCAUAGACAUAUACGCUGUAGGGUAAAACAUGUGACCCCUCCAGAACACAACAAACCAAAUAGGUCUCCACACUUUGCUCACCGAUCUCCACGGCGACGUGGGUUGUACACUUUACCCUCCAAUCUCAACGACGCCAUAGUAGUAGUACUAGCAGUGAGUAGAUCAGUAGGAUCGGGAACGAAUGGAGAGGCCGAGAUCCAGUCUCGCGACUCGCAACGAAGCAGUCGUCCAAUUGAUCUACGUUGGUUGUUGCACUAGUUGCAAUCCUCUCCCUCUUGUAUUUUAUCGAUCUUCCCGGCAAGCCGGGAUCCUGUCCAGCUAAACCGCCGCAAACACCCAUCGGGGUCCCUUGUUCAUGCAUAUAUCCAUGAUCCAUCCCAAUCCCCCAGACCGAUCGAUCAAUCGAUCGAUCGGAUCAGCGCCGAAGCAUGUGUUCUUUCAUCUUUCUGCAAUUGAUUUGACCCCCUUUUGUUUUUCUCGGUGUACAUUAUGCACAUAAAACUAGCGCUUUCCCUACGCAUGGUUAGGAAAAAUGGAGGUGCAUAUGCUGUAUGGAAAUUCAUAGUACAUGCCAUUCCACUUCUUUUUCCCCCCUGAACCGUAGCAUAAAAACAUACGCUCGUAUGUACACAUACACACUUAUCAUUAUAAACACACAAAUGUACAUCAUAUUAGCCAUAUAUUUGCCGUUUACCGGUACACCACAUAAAUAAUAUAUAAGUAUAAAUAAAAGCACUCAUGUCAAAGUUUACAAAAUUUCACAUAAUAAUCCAUUCCUAAAUUUGUAAUAACAGUGGCUAACCUGAUAUUUGCAAUUUUAUUUUAUUUUGGGGGGCCAAAACAAACAAGCCUCUAAGCAAGAUGACAAAUUUAUCGAUAAAAAAACUAGUUUAGGAGAGUUCUCAAUUUUAGAUUACGAAAUUUUAAAUGAAGGUGUGAACCAUGAGCUUGUUUGGUAGGAAUCCAAUUACUAAAUAUAACUCUAAGAAGAGUCUAUAGUGUAGUUGUUGAGCAGCUCGAACCAUCGCUCCACACUUCUAGUUUGUUUUCUCAUAUCACUGCAGCCUGCUCUGUUUUCUUUUGAGGUGGAGUUCAGAAACCAUUUCAGGUGUGUUUACCAUUGCUCCAACUGCUAAAUUUAACUUUAGGAGUUAGAUCUACAGUUGUGGAGCAGACUAAACCUAACUCCAUCUCUCUAGUUCAUUUUAUGAGAGCACUCUAGUAAGCUCCACUCCCUUUUUAGGUGGAUCUAAAAUUGUUUGGAUCUAUUUGACAGAACUCCAACGAUUAAAUUUAACUAUACGAGUUAGGUCUACUAAAGCUCUAAAAGAGAUUGAUCAUGGGAGUUUCAUUUUUACUCCCAGUCCUUUGUUUAGUAGUAGAGGUGGAAAUAAUGGGGAGUAUGGAUAAGAAUUAAAUUUUAAGUGAUGAUGCACGACUCAUAUUUAUCUUGUCAUACUUAGAAAGUAUAAUUAUCUCCCAAUUAACUACCCUACACAGUUAUUGAAAAGGUGGGAGUUCACCCUUAAACUCUCCUUUCCAAUCCCUUCUAAAACUCCCACAUUAUCCAAGCAAAUAAUAGACAUAUCACCAACAGAUUACCUAUAAUAUUUCUCCAAAAAAUUGUUUAUAGGUUUCCUAAACUGAAAAUAGUAAGUGAAAAAACUCCUCCCUCCAACAGAUAGCUUUAAAUUCAAUCCCCAAAGCUUAAAAGUGGGCCAUUCUGUUAAACUACCAACAGUAAAUUCCGUUUUUUUUUUCCUUUCACGCGUAGAAAGAUCGCUAUCUCCCACGCGCGGCAACGGGAGGAGAGAGGUGGGAGUGCGAGAUUGUGAGCGAGUUUCGCGCCCGCAUAUAAACGGAGCGAGUAAUCGGGAGAAGGGAACACCAAAACUCAGGUAGGAAAGUAGGGGAUCUGUUAUAGCUGGUUUUUAGACUAAAAUUCUUCAAAAUCAGUUUUGGGAUUGAGAUAGGUAUACUGUUGGUGAUCCUCGAAAAUAAUUCCAUAACCAAACUGGCCGUAAAUGGACAGGUGAGAGCUGAAACCAGCCCAAGAUUCUUGGGGGCGAUCGAUGGGUACAACGACCAAACGGGGAUUCUGGCCCACCCAAAUGAGGCCCAUAACAGUUUCUCUCAAUUGCGACACUGGGCCUAAACGGCCCAAGAACCACUCUCUUCCGUAGUGGUUGCAAGUUGCGACCCCUAGCUAGCUCCGUCUCUCCUCUUCCGCAUCGCCUCCAUAAUUUUCUUUCCCCUCCUCUCCUCACCUCGAUCUCCUCCUCCUCCUCCUCCGCCGCACCGAGGGUUUCGCCUCCGCCUUCCACCGCUGCCGCAGAGGGGACGAACCGAGGGGCAGGAAUGGCGGCGCGGCACCUCAGAUCCGGCCUCCCCCUCCUCCGCGCCCACCUCUCCCAGGUCUUCCCCUCCCCCUCUUCGCACCCUUCGAUUUCAUUCCAGUUUAGGGGAGCCCCCCGCCCCCCCCCUUCGAUUUAGAUGCGUGGCGCAUGAAUCCCACGCUCGAUCUAGGUCAUCCAUUUCUCGCUGGGAUUUUCGGUGUUUUUUUUGUGGGGGAUUUUUUUUAUUUUUUUUGUUGGCUAUGCGGCGCCUGCCUGGAUCGCGUUGGUUGGUUGUUGUUGUUGAGAUUGAUGUGAUUGGUUGUGAUGAUGCAGGAGGGCUCAAGGGGCUUCGCGUCGCAGGUGGCAAAGCCGACCGGGAAGGAUAUCAAGGUAACCUGGAACGGGCAUCUCGUUGGAUUGCUCACAUUUUUUCGUGUGAUGCCGAUGUAGUUUUGAUACUGCUAGGGAACAGGGGGGAAUGUUAAUAGUUAUACACGUCAUUGGUGAAAGCUUCUCUGGUUAGCCUGGUUCUGUGACAUGAGAAAAUGUGCAAUUUGUUUGUACUGCUGCCUGUGGAAAAUGAUUCGUGUCUUUUAUUUUUGUGCCGUUGUGGUGUUAUGGCUAUGAAUCCUCUCCCUGUUAGGAAAUGUGAUGAUGCAAUACUGGUAGAGACUGUGUUUCAUCGAAGGAAAAUUUGCUCGCGGUAUAUUCAACUGGUAGAUGAUUUUGUAUAUGCAUUGUUCUUGUUUUUUAUUAUCUCAACAUGAUUUCUGCCUGUUUUCGAUUAGUGCUUUUCCAUUUCAGUUUAUGGGUUACUUUUGGCAGUUUGAGUAGUUCUUAUUUUGCCCUGAGAUACUCAUGUUAAUCUUAUUUGUUGUGUUUGUUUUGCCACAAUAGGUUCCAGAAGCUCUGUAUGGUGGCACCGGCAACUAUGCUAGUGCUCUGUUCCUUACAGCGGCCAAAGCUAACUUGCUGGACAAAGUUGAAACUGAGAUUCGCGAUGUUGUAGAGGCAUCCAAGAAGAGUCCAUUGUUUUCUCAAUUCAUUAAGGACUUGUCAGUGCCCAAAGAGACCAGGGUGAAGGCAAUAACUGAAAUUUUCGCUGAAGCUGGUUUUUCAGAUGUCACAAAGAAUUUCUUGGGUAUACUUCUGGUCCACACAUGUUAUGUCUAAUGAAGUUUAUUGUAUUUGUUUAUGAUAACUUUGUUGCAGUUGAUAGUAAACCAACUCGUUAUAGAGGUAGCUUGAGGACAAGCCCAAACCCCAAAUGCAUCUGAUUAUUUUCAGAAAUUUUUAUUCCAAUGCCAUUUUGUAUAUCAACGGUUUGCUACCUUCAGUUAUUAUAAUUUCAAUGUGAGCCAACAAUAUUUGUAGUUUUAGUUUGAUCUGCUACAAUAAUUACAGUUUUUUAUUUUGAAAGGGCUAACUAUCUGAUCAACGCUUUCCUAGAACCUUGUUUUUAAUUCAUGUACUCAGUAUCAUUAAUAGAUGACACGGAGUUCUUUUUCCAUAUGUACUCUUUUGGUUAGCACCUAAGGUUUUUUUUCCUUCCUGUGAAGCUGUGCUCGCCGACAAUGGCAGACUGAAGCACAUUGAUCGCAUUGCUGAGAGAUUUGUUGAUUUGACCAUGGCACAUAAGGGGGAGGUGAAGGUCCUUGUCAGGACAGUUAUUGUAAGUUGAUGUCUGAAGCCUUUGAUCUCCUUUCUUUUUUCCUGACAGUGUCUGGUUGUUAUAUUAUACCCUCUGAUUUCAAAUAUAUGUAUUUUAACCUUUCAACGCUUUCCCAAAUAUAAGCCACACUAGAAAUUCGAGACACUUUUCACUCCUCUUUUCCUUCUCGUUAAAUAAAUUGUCACAUGAAAAAUAACCCCUUCUUUUUUCCAAUGAGGAUAUACCUCAUGGAGAUACAACAUACAAUACUGAGCAACUGUUGCUAUCGUAAUCACUCUACAAAAUGUUGAAGAAUCAGCUUCUAGAAUUCUUUAUGCUAGCUUACAUCAAUUGGUCAAGAUAUUUAUGGAUUUGUACGUACUGCAGCUUCUAUUAUAGUUCCUUGUACUGUAGUUAGCUGGUUUCUCUUGCUGACUUUCUGGUUUUCUGCUGUUAGCCACUCCCCGAAAAAGAGGAGAAGGAACUUAAGGAGACCUUGCAAGAUAUUCUUGGGAAGAACAAAACUAUCUUGAUUGAACAGAAGGUAAUUCCUUGGUUCAUCAGUUGCCUAUAGUCUGUCAAGUGAUAUUCAAAGGACAUGCACUCAAUUAUUUGUUGCCUGCAGAUUGACUACAGCAUCAUGGGAGGGCUAGUUAUUCAAUUUGGGCAGAAGGUGUUUGAUAUGUCGAUCAAGACUAGGGCGAAGCAAAUGGAGAUGUUCUUGAGGCAACCCCUUGAUAUCUAACUGCCUUUUGGAUCGAAAGAUGCAGUUGUUUUGCUGCUGAAGGCAUCCUCAUGUCUGUUACUUUGAUAUGGUCUUGAAAUAAAUCUUCGUUUACAAGAGAACAACACUCUGUUUUAUCUUGUUUUGUGUGCCAGAAGCCUGCUGAACAAUUUUAUGUCAAUUUCUUUGCUACUAAGAAAGUUAUGCACCAAAAUGAAGGGAAAUUCUGUGAAGUUUGUAAUUUUCAAGUGAUUGGCAUUAUUCUGUUUAGUUCGUGCAGUGCCAUGUUCCUUAUAUAAUCACAGAACAUGUAAAAGGCCGAAAUAUUUUCCUUGUCAUUUUCCAUGCGAGAACGGCCUUUCGAUGAGACUGGAAAGUCCUGCAAUAACUAUUGUCCAAAAUAACACACGGCUCUCUACCGAUUCACAUCAAAACCAACCCAAACGCUCUCUCUGUUGCUUGUGUUCUGGACUUCUCUGAGCGCAGUUCAGGAGUCUCGAGUGUGCCUCAACAGUACAUGUUAAACAUAAAACUGCCAUUGAAGAUUACCACCAACCAUAUUGGAAGUUUAUCAUGGCAUAUACUUGCCUUUCAAAGACCCUAAUUUUCAAAGUGAACAUGGGACUUUCAGACUACAGAUAACCUCAAUCGAUAACAUCACCGAAAAUUCGAUAUUACUACAAAGAUUUUGGUUGAAAACUUCUCUGAACCCAAUUUAAAUACAAGUCGCCCUCGGUGAUGGCUACUCGCCAUUCCACGCUCACAGUUGCAGUUCACACUUGCAAAAUGAAAAAAAAAAUCUUCUGAACAGCAAUCAUCAACCGGUUCGACCUCAGGAUCAUCACAGAAAUGAAAAGGACGAGGAAUCUCAAUUUAAGAAAGUUCCUAUCCAAAUAUCCAACAAAAAUCUGACUGUCUGGCUAUUAUUAAUUCAACAGGAGAUGCUCGUUAAAGACAAUAUAGUUCUGUAAUUUGUAACAACACAAGAGCCUGAGGAUAUAACGAGUUACAAACAUGCUGCCGUUGCAGCAUGGUCAUCAAUAUACAACAUUACAACAACAUAUGGGGAUCGCAGAACACUCCCAUUCCACGAUUUUACAACAUAUGCUUCACAACACGUUAUAAAUACAUGGUUGUACCGAGCUGUAGAGAGACAGCCAGCACGUCCCAACUACAAAUGCACACUAGCCAACAGCAAACAUAAAAACUACUCUCUGGUAAGUCACUAUAUAUACGCACUAUAGCUUCACAUGACUAAAAUUAUAACAUGACAUAAUUUCUUUCGUAUAAAUUAGCCCCAGGAAGCUUCUGUCCGAAUCGCCAUCUUGGGAGCAAUAAAUAUACUGGCAUUCUUCACAAUGGAUGCAUUAUUUACAUAUAUAUACUUCUUCUCCAACCACGUUCUACCAAGAUUGCUCGGCCUUGCCAUCACCUGCAUUGCUUCUUUUUCUAGGCAUAAACAGACAGAGACAGGAAAAUGGAAACCAAAAAUAUGUAAAAGGAAUUUCUGUUAGAAGUCCACGACACGAUACCUUUUUCUCUUGCUUUUGUCUGAUGAGGAUGAAGCAGGAUUGCUGUGCCAGUUCCGUUUACGUUGGUUGAUAAACCAAUUAUUGAUCUGUUUUAGUUGCAACCCUGUUUCCUGCACCAAGCGAGCCUUGUCCUCCUCCUAUAAAGGUUAAGAAACAUGAGCAUCAGUGGUAGAAAAGGAAAUGCAGGAAGGCCUGAUAAUGGUAUCUGUGAGCUGACAUACAGUUGGGUAUGGCCAUUUAGAGUGAGCCUGCCACCAUGCUUUCAAAGUAGACGCUGUAUCUCCUGGGAGUUUUCCAGCUCUUCGCUUUCGGAGUAUCUCUUCCCUAAUGUCCACAAGCUUUUCUCUGUACCCCUGGAAAUUUGAAAUUUCGUUUAAAGUUUAUACAACAACAUACAAACGACUAAAAAUUCAGGCCAUAAUCUUACCUGUUUAAGCUCAUGUUUCAGCUCUUGCCGUACACGCUCAACUAAUGAUCUCUCGCCCUCCGUCAGCAUUAAGGGGCCAAAGCCCAUACCAUCUGAUCCAUCAUUUCCAUCAAACAUGUUGCUCUCACUAUCAACCUGAUUGUCUUCGUCAUCAGACAUAGUUGCUCCAGAACCUUCACGAGGAGAUGCCCCUGCAGUAAGAGUCACAACUGAGGAUUGGCAAAACACCAGAUUAUUGGUCAAAUUUUACUUCUGUAUUCCCUUUUGCCAUUAGGAGAGUAGUCCUAUGUCCAUCACUAAAGUUCUCCCAAACAGAACACUCAUUAUUUUCUGCAGGUUCAACCACAGGUAUAUCUCAAUUCCGAUUGAAGAAUGUAAACUAUAUUUGGUAGAGUGAAGGAAGCUAGUUAAAUGCUAUGUGAUUAUGAUGGUUGAAAAGGUGGAAUUAGUUUGUACUUUUUUGUACCUACAAAGGAGUAAACUUUGAGGUCAAGUUUAUAUCGGAGAAGGAAAAAAAUGGACGAAAGGUAGCACAAUGGUGCACAUCAGCAUGAAUUAAACAGAGAGAAAUAAUAACUUUAAGUUUCUCUUCCUAAAAUCAGGAGUCCACUAUUCUCAUGUUGAAUAAUAUCAACUAGAUUUUUUUGUGCUACCUGUAAGGCUCUGUAAAGUUUGUUCAAGUUCCCAGCAAGCCAUUACUGCUUCCAUUGCAUGAACACGCACAUGUUGCUGUAGUUGUUCCUUGAACGAACAAAGGAGCAAUACAUAAUGGGUCUGCAAGAAAAAAAAACAUUUUUUUAUUAAGUAAAAAAAAUUGCCUUAGGAAGAUUGUCAUUUCCAAGCAAAGAAGAGUACCUGAUAAACAAAAUGACUUUUUAAAAAAGAGGCAACUGAUCAUAAACUUAGCUAACAGAAAUUGUAUGCAAGAAACAAUAUUAAUUGAUACCAUGUUCCCUUUAGCUUAUUCACCGGAUUACUGAAAACGGAUUAUUUGCUCCAUGCUUCAAAAGAAGUAUUUUCUCAAAAAAUCUUUCUUCUAGUAUAUUACUUACUUAGACCACUUGUUUUAACCUAUUUGUUAAGUUUAUUUAUUGAAAUAUUUAAUGUAUCCCUAUGACGAAGGACAUAAUCCACAGCAAUAAUACACUCAAUAAUCUAAAUCAAACAAGGACUAGAUAAUGGAAGUAUAACUUAGAGCUUCUUCAACAACUAGCCAACUAGGGAUGCAAACAAACACCAAGGAAUGAGAAAUAAGUGAUGAAUUUUAGCAUAUUCAAUUCAAAGGACUAUAUUUCAAAAACGAUGGUCGGAACCAUUGCUACUCCGACAAAAUCAAUCCAACCCUUCCAAAAGUCAAAAUUUUGGUGAUGUUUUUUCUACAGGGUUCCUUCUUUGUGGACCGCUCUGUUGUACACUUGUACUGUACAUACUUCUGCUGCUUCUUAAUGAAAUGAAGCUUGAGUUUUCGAGAAUUAUUUUUUUCCUUCCAAAUUUCACUCCUAAUUCCACUAGCCAAUUUCUUGUAAAUACUCUCUCCUCCUUAAUAUAACACCAGCUUAUCCUGGCUUCGGUUUCAAAAAAAAAAAGCCAAUUUCAUUUCCCUUUCCAGCCCCAAUUUUCGAUAUCGCUCAUCCAGAAUAAUAUUUCACAUACCAAUCGUACAAGAAACUCUCACGCGAGGAGAAUUUGAUCGCAAAAGCGAUACAGAGACACACCACGCAAACCUCAUAGCUUGGCAAAAAUAAGAGUAAAACGCCCUGGAGAAAGAGAGGGGGGGAUUUGAUUGGCGCUACUACUACUACUACUACUAAUAAUAAUUUAGCCCUCACCAUGAAGAGGUCGAGCUCCUCGCCGCCGGACGGCGCCCCUCCGGCCGCCGCGGCCGCCGCUGCGGCCGUGGCGGCGGCCAGCGGCGGGGGGCGCGCCGCAAUCUGCGCGUCGAUGCGGGGCAGCUGGUCGACGGGGGUGGCGACGCGGAGGCACGCGACGUGCGCCUCCAGCAGCCGCUCGUACAGCGGGUGCGCCGCGAUGGCGGCCUUCUCCCGCUCCCACCCUCCUCCUCCUCCUCCCCCCACAACUCCUCCCGCCCCGACGAACCCAGGGUGGUGGUGGCCGCCCGUCUCCGCCGCCGCAGCCGCGGCGUCCAUCGCCAGCGCGUGGUCCUGGUAGUGGAACGCCAUCACGCGCACCGCUGCUGCUGCUGCAGCGCGCGAGGUGGAGGAGGAAGACGAAGACGAGGACGAGGACGAGGACUUGUUGUUGUAGCAGUUGGGAGGGAGGGAGGGAGUGAGUCGGGAGGCUCCUCUAACUUGUGUCACUAACAUAUGGGCCCUCUAUUUAAUGGGCCCAUAUAUCGGUGACUCAGAGUUAGAGGGAAGUAAGUCAGAGGAUCUUCUUCGGGAGUGGGAGGGGACCGUAGAGGAGCGAUGGGAAUAGGAGGAGCCCAUUUCAGUUUUGCGCGUGCACGUGACUCAUUUGCAAAUCGCAGGAGUAAAUUGCACCGUACUCCUCCCUCUAUCAGAAAAAUAAAGAAAAAAAAAUCAAAAAUCAAAUUUUGGGGGAGGAAUCUAGACUCCGUGUAAAUUACUCGAUCGGUUUCUUAAUAUAAGUUGUUUGAUUUUUUUUUCUAAGUUAUAAACUUCAUUAAGUUUGCUUAAAUUUGUUGAAGGAUUUAACAAUAUCUAAAAUGUAAAUUUAGUUUUGUUAAAUUAACAUUGAAUAUAGUUUGAUAAUAUAUUUGUUUUGUGUUGAAAAUGCUACUAUAUUUUUUCUAUAUAUUUGAUCAAAUAUAAAAAAGUUUGACAAAAAAAAAAAGUCAAGCGACAUAUGAGUUGUAGUUCGUUUUAUUAGCGUUACUAGUACUACUUAGUUGUGCCUAGAAAUUGAAAAAAUCCUUUAUUUCGAGUAUAGGAUCAGGCGUGCACACACCACACUCACACGUAUUUACGGGGAUAUGUUCUAGUAGCUCAUGCUUGAACGGGAUUGGAACUAUUACCCCACGGAGUGAAGGUGUGCAUUAGACGCUCACAGCGCGGGCACCCACCUUCACGAAGUCACAUAUUACAUCCUACUCUCCUAUAAGUACUCACCAUUCUCGUAAAAAAUCAACUAGUAUUAGAUACGACCUAGUACUACAAAUUUGGAUUUAUUUAUGUCCGUACUAGAAUGUAUCACAUUCAGUCCUAUAUUCGCUUUUUUUUGGACGGAGAGAGUACAUUUGAAUAGCUGGACUGGGAUAUCCUGGUAUUGAUGAAGUUACCAUGAAUGUUUUGUUAUCCUCUACCACUGAAAGAAUAAUUAAUAGUUAAUACGAGCACAAUCUGAUUAGACAUAUUCCAACCUAAAAAUCUAAUCAGUUUAACUAUGCUUACUUCGCUGGUAUGCAUUUUAUGUAGUACUCCUAAGAGAUUUUAUGGUAAAACUAAGACGGUUUCAAAAUAAAUUCGCGUGCACGGUGUACGUGAUUUCUCCAAAAUUUAUUUCGGCGCUGUAAGGACUUUGCAACGGUGUUAUUUUGAGAAAAUAAAUAAAUAUUGGAAUUGCACUUAUUCAUAUAAAAAUUAUAAACUAUCGUACCCUCUGCAGUGACUUUGAACGUGAAGGUGGUUUCUAUAGUAAAAUCUCUCACAUCAGCGAAGGACGCAUCAUUUUCUCAAUAAAUAAUACAGAGAAUGAACUGUAUAGUACGACGAUGAUGAUUCCCAAUUAAGCGCUGAAAUUUCCAGUUAACCAACCGAUUGAUGAUUCAUGGUUGCUGGGCGUUAGGGCACUACGGUAUCAUCAGACUUAUUUUAUUUCCUUCUCAAACUUAAUAGUGGCGUCCACAUCUCACAAACACAGCUCUUCAGUAUAUAGAUCAGAGAUGUGCCUGAACACCUGCACAAAUUAACCCAAGCUCCAACAGCUUGUGUUUUCUUCUUUGAAAAAUAACAGCUUAUGAUUUCAAGAUUAUUAAACAUGUGUAAACACUGGGGCAAGAUAUGUUGAUAUAUGAUCUGUUGAGCCACAGUUGAUAAGACUGAAAAGAAGAUAAACAAAGCAACUAAAAUUAUGAAUAUAACCCUUAUACAUGUACAGUAUUAUUUAUGCCAUAAAAGUUGAGGCUAGGAAAUAUACCAUGAUAAUAAAAUUCAAAAUCAACUGUAAAAUUAAAUUCAAAAUUUAAUAUUUGGAUGUGACUAAUAAACCAACAAUCAGAUGAUGAAAACAAUAGCUCUAAGUUUUUUUUCGAUGUGACUAAUAAACCAACAAACAAUUUUUCGGGACAAAACCUAAGGCUGAAAAAUAUGGUAAGACGAGAAAACUCAAAAUCAGCUUUAAAACCAAAAUCACAAUUUAAAUUUUAGAUGUGGCUAACAAGUACUAAUAGACAAUAAUACUAUCUCCGUUUUUAAUAGAUGACGCUGUUGACUUUUUAUCACAUGUUUGACCAUUCGUCUUAUUCAAAAAAUUUACGUAAUUAUAAUUUAUUUUGUUAUGAGUUGUUUUAUUACUUAUAGUACUUUAAAUGUGAUUUAUAUCUUAUACAUUUGCAUAAAAUUUUUGAAUAAAAUGAAUGGUCAAAUAUGUGAGAAAAAGUCAACGGCAUUAUCUAUUAUAAAACGGAGGGAAUAAGAACUAACAAACUUUUCAUACAGUGGACUUGUCCACUUUUGUUUCUUUUAACAAGUUGGUCUGAAUCUUUGCCGCUAUCUACUUGAGGGUAAAAAGCACAGUGGAUGGCAGUGGGAAUGGAAAUGUGAUAUUUUCCGUGACCGGAAGGAAAAAGCAGGGACAGCGACGAGGAACGAAAGAUGGACCACGCGAGUGGGCCCCACCUCUCGCACAAUAAACGCCCUGCCUGUCCAAUAGGACAUGGACGCGUCACCGCCGAUUUCUGUGGAGAUCGCCAUGCCAUGAUGCUUAGGACAUCCACAAUGUACUACAGAAGUGGUCUAUAGGGAAUAAACUAUUUUAUUCAGCCACUUAGUAACAUUAUGCAACUAGUCCAUAUAAAGAAAAUAGCAAAAGGUAUCCAUAUGCAUAUGGACUACCCAUAUGACAUAAAUAAUAUUAUCUAUCUCUACUUCUCUCUCUUCUCCUAAUAUUACAUUGUAUCCAUAUACAUUGUGAGGAUUGCUAUAGUUAAAGUUUAUUUAUAUGGGUCCCAUCUAUAUAGACCACUUUUGCCAUAUACAUUGGUGAUGUCCUUAAUGAUGAGCCAUUUGGCCGGAUUUUAUAAUUAAGUAUAUGUCGUAUAUAGGGGUGGAUUUGCAAAUAUACCGAUAAGAACUAGUACUCCCUCCGUCACGUUAAUGUGCAGCCAUAAUUUUUCGUGCACAGUUUCGACCGCCUGUCUUAUUUAAAUUUUUUUUAAAAAAAUUUAAAACUUAAGUCACGUAUAAAAUACUAUUCAUAUUUUAUCAUCUCAUAACAACAAAAAUGCUAAGUUUAUUUUUUUUUAAAUAAGAUAGACGAUCAAAGUUGGGCAUAGAAAUUUAUGGUUGCACUUAAAAUGGGACGGAGGGGGUAUACCGUAACAGUUGGUAGCGGAAGACUUUUGAUUUGCAAACAUGCAGAGAAAACAUAUGAUUCGGGUGCCUUGUCACUUGAAAUCCUAUGGAUAUAAAAAUACAUGAAAAUAAUAGGAUCUAGAUGGAGCGAGGGAAUAUAUAUGAAUAUAAGAAAAAAAGAGAUUACAUAAAGGAUUUUCCCUCUAAAAGAUUGUAUUGAUUUAUGAAACCUAAGAAUUUUCAAAUAAAUUUGAGAGAGACAUUCCUUUGUUCAAAGGACCAUAAAAAAGUUCUUCGAAUCCAAUCACAAAAUUACUUUGUUUCAAAUGAGCCUAAGGGUACACUAUCAGUAGAUUACAAUCUUAGCAAAUAAAAUUUACUAUAGGACACCUACACUUUGUGAUCUUCACUUAUGAUAUCGUAAGAACGUGACACUAUUAUUGGAAAAAACAAAUCUAAUAAUUAGUUACGAGACAACGAAGCCAUUAUUUUUAUUAUAUCUAGUGUGAAUUUCACACUGUGAAAGGAGCGGCACAUUGUUACUAAAUUAGAAUCUACCCCUCCAUUUCACAUUGGAAGUCAUUUUAGUUUUUUUCAUAAGUUAUAAAUUUCUAACUUCGAUCGAGUUUAAUGAAGAAUUUUUUUAUUAAACACACCUUACAAAUUUCUAACUUGAUAGUGUAUUUAUUUGUUAUUGUAGAUGUCACUGUAUUUUUUCUCUAAACUCAGUCGUAGCUAAAGAAGUUUAAGUUAUGACAACUAGAAUGAUUUGCAGCAUGCAUGGAGUGGAACGAAGGGAGUAUGGAUUAUCAUGGGUACAAUUCCAAGCAUAUUUUUAAAGAAAAACCAUCUUUAUCAGUAUUUCGGGCAUGUACUUUUUUUAAACAAAUUUCACGAACGCCUAAAGCUUCCAUGUUAAUACCAUUUAGGCUUUAGGCUGUGUUCGCUAUUCCCGGUUGGGAACUUGGAACAGUCUGCACAGAAAACGGAGCGGUCCAUUAACACGUGCUUAAUUAAGUAUUAGCUAUUUUUUUUAAAAAGGAUUAGUUUGAUUGUUUUAAGCAACUUUCAUAUAGAAUUUUUUUUGCAAAAAAAACUUACUCCCUCCAUCCCUUAAUAUAAGGGACAUUUUGCUUGCACUGUUUAACCAUUCGUCUUAUUCGAAAAAUUUUAGAAUUAUUAUUUAUUUUUUUGACUUAUUUUAUUGUCUAAAGUACUUUAAGCACAACUUUUUAUUUUUUAUAUUUGCACAAUUUUUUUGAAUAAGACGAGUGAUCAAACAGUGCAAACAAAAUGUCAAAAUCUCUUAUAUUAGGGGGUCGGAGAGAGUACCGUUUAACAAUUAAAAAAGCGUGUACGCGGAAAACGGGAGAGAGGGGUUGGGAGGGGAUUAGUAUACUUGGACUGAAAUGCCAAUCAGCCUAGGCGGGGUGUAAAUGGGCCGGACCAUGAAUCUGUAUCCCGUCGCUUACAUGGCCCACAUAACAUGCAUGCCUUCUUCAUAGGCCUGGUGUGCUAUGACGGCCUUAAGUUGUUCCCUUUUUCGUUUGGAAUAUAAGUUCACUUUAGAUCUCUCAAUUUAUCGCCGAAUCUGAAAUCAGUCCCUGCAUCGCAAUACCAGAUAUAAUGUGUUUCUUAACUCUUAAAACCAAUGUGCAAACAAGAUCUUAAGGCCAUUUGGACGGUGGUUUCAGCUGAUGUGACACUUAAAGUAAGAAAAAUAUCGUGGGACCACAUCUAACUACUAGGGCUGUUAAAAAAAGCUCGAGGCUCGCGAGCUGCUCGAGCUCGACUCGUCCUAUGCUCGAUUUGAGCUCGGCUCGAGCUCCAAACGAGCCGAGCCUGAGCCUGUCCCAAAGCUCGCGAGCUUUGUCGAGCCGAGCUCGAGCUUCUAAUAAGCCUAGUAAUAUAUGAUUUUUUAUUGCUAUUUAAUAAAUUGGUAGAUGAAAUAUGUUAUUUGUAUGCCUUGUAUUGGCAUCAUAUAUUUAUUUUAUUCCUUUUCCUCUUCUACUAAUAUGAUAAACCAUAAAUUAAUUAUUUUUAAAAGAAUAUUCUUUAAAAUAUACAUUGUUCUAAUUAAAAAUCAAGCUCGGUAGUCGAGCUCGAGCUUGAUCUAGCUCGAACCGAGCCUGUUUAAAAGCUCGAACAUUUUAUAGGCUCGGCUCUAGCUUGUAUUGAGCUCGAGCCUAGGCAAGCGAGCUCGCUCAAGCUCGGCUCGUUGACAGCCCUACUAACCACCCCUUCUCUUUCCCUUUCUUCUCCCUCCUGGUUUUACCUUUCUUCUCACCGCACGAACGACGGAUAGGGUCCAAGUGGGCGUUCGUGCGAUGAGAAGAAAGGGAAGACCAGAAGAGAGAAGAAAGGGGAAAGAGAAGGGGUGCUUACAUGUUGCCUCACGGAUUUUUUUUCUGACUUUAAGUGCCACGUCAACACCACGUAGUUGUCACGUCAGCUGAAACCAUCAUCAAAACCAUCUUCGGAUCGUAUUUGCACUGGUUUUAGAAGUUGAGGGACACAUUCUAUUUGGUAUUGCGUUGCAGGGAUGAAUUGCAAACUCGACGGCAAAUGAGGGAUGUACAGUAAACUUGUUCAUUUCCAUUUUUGGCCUUCACCCGGUUGAGUGGAUAUGGGCCUUGGCUCGUUUUUCUUUUUGUCUUUUUGAGAGUGAUGCAGUAAGCUCACAGUUCACUUGACCGUCAGUAGCCAGGAUAUGGAUAUGGAGGCUACAUCGGAGAUUUGCCUUAAUCAACAUCAUUUUUUUUCUUUCCUUUUAGCGCAAAUACAAGUUUUCCUCUUUUUUCCCCCUCCUACUAUAUUAGAUCAAGCGACACGUUCACAUCUGCAGUUGGAAUCAGUGAACAGUUGAAUUCAACGUUCACAAUGAUUUGCACCUGACCAUGCUCUUUUUUUCUUGGAAAAGAAAGUAUAACUUUAACUAAGAGUGUGUUUAGUUCACGCUAAAAUUGAAAUUUUGGUUGAAAUUGGAACGAUGUGACAGAAAAGUUAAAAGUUUGUGUGUGUAGAAAAGUUUUGAUGUGAUAGAAAAGUUGGAAGUUUGAAAAAAAAAUUUAGAACUAAACUCGGCCUAACUAAAAAUAUUGUGGAUUAAAAUUUGGAGUGUAGUUAUGCACUUAUCACCAAUACACCAAUGGUGAAACCGUGCUCAUAUAAAAUAAUAAUAAUAUAUUUCAGUCUAAAAUAUAAUUAUUUUUAGCCAUAUAUCUGGGCAAACACUUAUCUACUUCGUCCCAAAAUACACUCCUCUAGUUUAGGAGAGACAAACACUUAUCUACUCACUCCCUGCACUUCCUUUAGGAUGAAUGGAGUAGUGUCUCAGGAGUGCUAGGGACAUUUCGAGUGCACUUACUUUAGGAUGAAUGGAGUAGUGCUAGGGACAUUUCCGAGAGUACCAUGAGCUGAGCUGUGCAGCUAAUGUGACAGAUGCAACCCGUUUUGUAAUCAGCCGUGAACAAGACAGUAGGACUCUACAAACAGCCAAAGAUUCACACCAACAUUGAACAGAAUAAACAAAAGAACAUUGAGAUAGUUCUUCCCUAACUUACAGUGCUUAGAUGAACAACCAAGCUACACUGUCCGGAGCUUGUACUACUAAAGUAAAAUCUUCCCUCUGCCUCAUCGACACACAAGGCCAGGGUAAAUAAAAACUACUAUAACUCUAUCAGACAAAGCAAGGUAAACCGAUCCUCCUUUCUGCUCCUAAAAUGGCAUUAGUAAGAUUGGAGGAUCAUAUGACACUGGUGCUAAACUCUAGUAAAUCUGAACAACUUAUCAAACAAGCAUAAGGUAUGGUCCUUAAUUAUCUCCUUUAGCUUCAUCUUGAGUGAGCGAGCGAUCAGAGCCCCUUGUAGCCCAGCUUCCUCUAUAUACAAUUAAAAUUCUUUUGUCUGGUUAGCGACGCCGCGGUAAUAAUCUGGAGCCGUUCAUGCAUCAAGGAGCUGAUCCAUCAGCAGCCAUGUCCUCCACUGGGAGGUUGAGGUCAGGCAGCACGAAGCCGUUUUGAGAUUCCUGCUUGGCUGCGGGCUCAUCAGGCUGCGGCCUUGCUUGCUGCCCCUCGGAUUUCGUUCCGUUUCGUUUGCUUGAUUUCUCUAACCUUGUCUGCAAAAUAGAGGAAAAGAUUGUUAUUAUACAUUUCAGAAAAAAAAGGUUUUAUGAAACAUAAUUUCAGAUGACUGCAGAAGGCAAAUCUCUUAUGAAUCCAUGAGCCCAACAGAGUAGACUUGGAAAGGAAAUUUGGGUUGUAGUCACAAUCUACCUAGCGUAGUUCUUAUAUUUUGGUAAAAGAGACAUCUCUGUGGAGGUGAAAUGGGAGGCAUAAGAGAAAAUGGACAAUGAACAACCACCAUGAGUCCAUGACCAAGCAUAAACAACCUGAAACAGGACUAAGAAGAUCCAAAAUGUUGGCCAUUACCAUGGCUGGACCUAGCUAGAUGUGCUUUAUGCCAGAGGAGACGAAAGACACACGGGAGAGAGAGAAAACAUGCAUGGACCACUCAGCCACCACGAGGCUCUAGAGAUGACACUGCACAACAACGGUGCAGUACAGGUUAACCGGACCAAAUGAAAUGGGGAGAGCUUUGCCCAACCAUUCUGGCUGGUUAGUACACUGUCUGUAUUUUUAAUGUGAUUGUGGAGCACAGAACCAGUGCAGUGGCAGUGUGGCACGCAAGAACUAAGGGCAUUAAAGAAGGCCACGGGAUUACCAUGUCCAGGAUCCGGGUUGGUGUGCAUAGAUUAAGGUCAUGGCCUGGCAACAUGGCGUUCUUUAUUGGGGGAAAGAUUCCAGACAUGUACGGCUGGUUGAAAACGAAGCAUGCAUGAACAGUCAGUAGAACACCUUGUAACUGCAUCAAUUGCGCAGACAAAGUGCAGUAGCUGAACUGCAUCUAUCACCAACUCUACCUUGCCAAAUGCCAAAGGGUUUUUUUGGGGGACGUCACUUUCCUAGCCCUUCCAAACGUGCAAGCAGCUUGAUGGGUGAAGAGGUGGUUGAGAACUUGAGAUUAUUGAGAUGGAUAAACAGGAUAAGAAUUCGAGCUCCUCCCACUUGCUUGCACUUCAUCCCGAAUGCGAAAGUCAAGAAGGCAAUCAACUAAAAUCCUCACUGACACUCCUAUACCUUUACCGUAAAAUUGACAGCUCGGCUACCACCUCACAGUGGCAAACUAUUGUUAUAAGUUACUAACUAUAUAUAGUACACGAACUUGUCACUAACCAUGACUCUUGAGAUGCAGUACUAGUAGAAGGUACAAACAAUAUUGUAUUAGUAGAAGCUAACCGGAGCUUCCAUACAUCGAGAUAGGAGGAGCUAAGCAGCGCAUGUGUUGAGACAGCUCCAGAAGCAAGCAGCGGCCACAUGCAGGCUCCACCCAGCCUAACUGACAAAGAGCUUCCUAUAAGACUAGAAAAAUCCAACUUACCCUAAAUUAACACGACAGACGCUGAGACGCAUGGCCAAGUCCGGACGAUCCACGGUUCAGUUUCAGAUAAGAUAACGAACGUCUAUCGCCACCUCCAGGUCCCAUACCGUGUGACCAUUUGGCUAAGGUGUCACUCUCCUCAGAAUGACACCCUUUCACAACACGACACGCGUCCUGCGGACUAACAAUAGCCCUAGUAUUUACUUCUCUCGCCCCAAAAUAAAAAAAUCUAGUCUGAUCUGUCCAGUAUAGGAUGUGUCAUUUAUAUCCCGUACUAUAUUUCUUUCACUGGUCCUUGGCUACUUGCCACUACCGUGGUACUACCACUAUCUUCUAAGCAGCUCAAGAGAAGAGAGAUACUGCAAGUGUGCCAGUGAUCCUGUCCGGCACUCCGGCCACACAUGCAGUGACACCGCACCUUUCACCGCGCAAAACAAAUACGUGCUCAUGCGGCAAAGCUAACCCCGGGCAGUUCGUGUAUGGUCAAAAAAAGAAAGCAUGGAAAUCGACAUCUAAACCUGCGAAAGGCUUAUCAUCAGCACCGGUUGUCAUCCGUUUUCAAAGGACAAACGGUGGUUGAGAGGGAUGUGGAGUGAAGAUCGCCACCAAACCAAACCAAGCCACACACAUAGCACUCUUCUCCUAGGAAGCCAGGAAGAGCCUAGGACGACGAAGUAAAGCACACACCAAGGAAGAGAGAGAAAAUAUCGAAGGACAGCAUGCAUUCACAAUGCCAGGGGACCACUAGUUCUCCAUUGGGAGGCUCAGGGGAACUCUACUUUUAGCAAGUUGGAAAGUUCUAUCACUUAUGCUUUAAGCUAUACCAACUGAUCAAACAUGCAGAAUUUUUAUUUGGGUUUUAUGAUGAUUGCGCACUCAGCGCCCCAACCUGGAAGCGAUUGCACGCCACAUGUGCACAAAAGAGAAAGAGGAGAAGAUUUGGUUAGAUAGCAGCAUAUGCCACUGACCUCUAGCUUGCAGUUUUCCUUGGACAACGCCGUGCAAGCUCUCUGCAACGCCACCAUCUCCUGUUUUCGGACGAGAAUAUAAACAAGAAACGGAUAAGAAUUCGAGCUAAAUUAACAGCAUAAUCCAAGUGAGAAGUGAAAAUCACGUAAAGGGGAAAGAAGAACUAAUCAACCUCGCGAAGGCCAUCGUUCUCCACCGUCAGCGACCGCACCAGCUGCUGAAUCUCCGGCAGCCUCUGCACACCAUACCGACAAGAAAACCAAGUUUAGGCCAAAUCAAGCCGUAAUAAAAGCCAAGAAACAAACGCGAUCCUUCUUUUUCUACUACUGCCAUCAAAAUUCGAUCUCGUUUCGUCACAGGACCAUCUGGUGAUGAUGAGCGUGGAUCUUUUCGGGCAGGCAGCCUUUGUCCUUAGGAUACCACUUUUGCCUCCCUCACCACGCUCUCUUUCCGGUGGCAGUGGCCGCACCAGCUGCCGCUUUAUUCUAGACUGGGUGACCGACUCCGCAACUAGAAAACAUUUUUUUAAAAAGAAAAACUCCGGCCAUUUGAACAGCCUACCAUCUCCUGCACGCGACUGGCUGAGUCACUGACUCUACUGCUCUGAGACUACUGUGUAGGCCAAAGACUUUCUUUUGCCGGACCUGUGCCGGACCUGUGCAAUCGCGCAAAUGAUGGGGGUGUACUGCUAGUAGUAAGCUGUAACUUGGGAGUACUCGUAGUAACUUCAUUCAUCAAAGCCCAGACCCAAAGCUGCUGCUCUAUCUAUCUACCGUGCUUUUACUGCAGAAAAAUGCAAAGGUGAAACAAAACAAAACCUGACUGCUUUCUUGUACCACUCGUCACUAAACAAAAUGCGCUUUUCCUGUGCUAAGUGCCGGGUCAUAUGUGUGACACUGAGUGAGUGACUGCAGUAGCUUACCAUCUUCUUCCGUGGUCGCUGUCCGGCGGGCCGGGGAGGCGGGGUCGGUAGGAUCAGCUGGCGCCGUCCGGCAGGGCCCACCUGUAAGCGAGAGAAGAGCACGCACGCCAUUAGUUAUACAGUUAUACUACUACUACUAGCACUCAUCAUCACACACCCAGCGAAUACUGUACUGGAAGUAGCUAGUAACGCGCUGCUGGUAGGAUCAAACAACACAACACGGGCCACUAGAGCCAACCAACUACAGUCCAACCAACGCUGCUGCUGCUGCUGCAUUAAGGAGGCGACCGUAGAAAAAGAAAGCAACAGGCAACGCAUGUUCCACCCAAAAGAAUAUUGUUUUCCAGGUGGUAGGAAGGGAAUUAGAUGAGAGAGUCUAGCUUAGCUUAAGCUUGGCUCUAAUGGGGGAAAACAUCACCUAACUAACUCCUACCAAGAUCCCACAAAACUGCCCCUCAUUGUUGCCCUACCCGCAUGAAGCACAUUUCGACAUGAUAGGAGAGAUCAACAACACGCACGCACAAACAAACAAACUGCUCAUCUUGCCAUCUUAUCCACGAUUAAUUAACCAACGGUGCGUGUGCUCCUAAUUUCUGCACCUAUUGUCCAGUAAUGGAAGCAUGGGCUCUCACCUCACCUGUACAUGACGAUGACAGGUGGGCCCCGCACGAGGUUCCUUCCCUCGCAGGGAAAAAGAAUAAAGAAAUAAGCCCAUAUGAAAUUCAGUUUACUCACUUAAAAUUGAGUAUCCGUUUGCCUCCUUUUCCCGCUAGGAUCGGAAAUCCCACCACAGUGUGAGGUGGGGCCCAUCCCACCAGGACACGUCCGCGAGCAAAGAGAGAGAAAAGAACCUGAAACGCCACGCGCCCACGUGGCGCCAGCCAAGUGGCCACGACGUGUUUCGCAUUCGCAUUCGCACACCCACGCAUGCAUGCGUGUCCCGCGCCGCGCCCACACGGCGCGCGCGAGGCGGCCAAUGGGCAGCCGCCACGUGGCGGCGCCACCCCACCCCUCUCUCUUUCUCUUCCAACGGAGAGCGCCGCGUCGGUUUGACUCCUCACUUCCCACGGCAACGAACGCGAUAGAGGAGGUCAGGUCCAGGAUAAGGGCGGGCGAAAUGACCGGAUUGCCCCCGGAAGUUAGGCUCGAGGCGAAUGGGCAGAUUGGGCAAAAGCGGUAAGCCGCGGCUCGUGGUUGGAGACUUGGGAGUGGGAGCCGAACCGGAACCCACCUACCCUUGUGAAUUGCCGCGGCUGCCCCCCUCCGCAAGGUAGGAGUCAACCGCACCAAACAGACACGCUAUGACAUGGUAGUACAAAUCCACCCCAAAAGAAAAAAAAUUCCCCGAAUUCAAAGUGUGAACUGUACAAGCACCCGUAGAGUCAUAGUGCUACUGGUACAACGCAGAGCUCGAGAGUAGCAGUAGUAGCACGGAGGUGGAGAUCCCGAAAUUGUUCGGAGAAGAAGAGGACGAGGAGAUCUGCGAGGUGGGUGAAGUACUAAUAGCCAUGGAGUUUUUACCGAAAUGACCUGGGUGAAAAGGUUGGAGGUGAAAGAAUGGGUAGGCAGCGAAGCUGCGAAGGUGGGAUUAAGAAAAAAGGUCACGCGAACGAAAAGCCGGUGGGACUAGUGGGAGAGAGAGGAAAAGCGAUGUUUCAUCGAGAAGUCAUCCAUCCAUCAUCCUCCUCUCGUUGCUGACACGGAGGGGUAGUUUCGUCAAAAAAAACCCAGACGAGGAACGGAAAGCGAAGCAGCCCAACCGCGAGCGCGAGCUGUGCGGGGGAAGGAACAAACAGGAGAGAGAGAUAGGGAUGCACGCGCGCGCGGCUGGGAGUACGUACCUUGGCCGGAGAAGGGGUGGGCGCGGCCGUGGGCGUAGUCGCCGCCGCCGCCGUCACCACCGGCGGCGGUGGUGGCGGUGGAGAGCAGAAGGCCCCGUCCUCGCCGCCGCUCGUCGACGCGGCGGAGCCGGAGCCGGAGCCGGAGCCGCCGCUGUAGUCGAGGGGAGACGCCGGGCUACCCCUGGCCCACCUCCCCUUGGUCGCCGCCGACCCCGACCCCGACGGCGAGCGGCGCCGCGACGACCGCGACCGCUUCCCCCGUGCCACCGUCGGCCACGCCAGCUCCUCCUCCUCCUCCUCCACCACCACCUCCUUCCCCUUCGCGGCAGCCGUCCCCCACGGCGGCGUCCACCCGGCGAGGUCGGCCCCGCGGAGCGAGCAGAUGAUGUCCGCCGCCGCGGCCACCGCGCACGCCUCAGCGUCGGCCGCGGUCAUGGGAGCAGCUUCCCUUCGACGAGUCGAGUCGAGACGAACCCUAGAGAAGAAGCCGCCAAAGCGGAGGAGGCGUGGAAGCGAGAGGGAGAUGUGGAGAGAGAGAGAGGAGGAAGGCGAGGGAGAGAUGUGGGAAUGGUGGGGGAGGAGCGAGGAGGAAAUGAGGGGGGCGUGGAGGCGAACCGAGCCCACGGCGUGGCGUCCGGGUUUUUAAACGCGCGGAAUAAAAGCCCACAUAUGGCCAAUAAAAUAAUCCAUUCCCACCACUAGUACUACUCACCACCACCUGUACAUGGCACACGACGCGCCGCGAGACCCUUCCUUCCUCUCCCAUCCCACCCCCACUUACACGUGGGGCCCACCAGCCGGGCCCCAUACGUCAGUGACCGGGUACCCCGCGUGCGUGGGUGGUGGCGGGACGCCAAACCUUGGACGCAGUGGGGCCCAGUGAACCCUUUCCGCCCUUUCGCGCACUGUGCCGGAUAGGAAAGGACGUUUCUAUCCUUUAGUGGGUCCCAUCUGUCGGUGAGUGGAGGUGCAGGGGUCAGUUUGGUAAAAGUGAGGCGUAGUACGCAAGGUAAGGUGGCAGUAGCCUUGGCUGGGGUUUCCGUGUGGUGACGGGUGUGUGCUAUAAAAGCGGCUGCCGGUGGCGGCGAAAAAAAAAAAAGAAAAAUGCCACUGGAUUUGUUUCCCCAUUUUUUCUUUGUUUCGAAAAAAAAAUCGUUUUCCGGAGACGUGCGGCGAGUCGGGUUUUUGUUCGUGUCAAGAUUUUAUUUUUCUCUUUCUCUUGGAUAUAAUAACUGCUUCUGUUCCUGUCGACUUCGGUACGGUAGAGACCAACCAGUGACCGGUUGCUUGUGCAUCCAUCUCGCUGGUUUUGGGACUGGAACGAAUACAACGAAAAUCAUGAGGUGAGUGGUGUUGUGGAUCAUGCUGGAGUACAGUUGGAUGCAGAUAAGAUAAGACGCUCUGUUUUCAUGUGGGAUUUCGGCUGAUUAAACGUGUGUGUUUGUUGCUACUCCUAUGUAUUUUUUGUGGAGUUUAUAGCUAUAAACCAUUCCGCCCAUCCUAAAAUAUAACUAUAUAAGCACUUCAAAAAAUUUACAUACUUUUUUACAUUAGUUAAAAGGAGAGGUGAAAUUAAAUGAUGUAUGGUUGUGAUUGGUUUUAAUGAAUAAGUAGGUAAAGAAAUUAAAUAAGAUAUAGUUGCGAAUGUCAACGAGUAGAUGGGGAAGUUGUCAUAUUUUGAAACAAAAUUUGAAUGAUAAUAUGUUGAGACAAAGAUAGUAACACAAUACUGUUAGACAAACUAGCAAUUAUUAACUUCGUUAUGAAAUAUAAGGUAUUUUGGCUAUCUAUUUGUAUUGCCAAAAUCCUUUAUGCCGUGGGACAGAUAGAUGUGAUAUAGGAUUCAUGACUAUGAGAAACGCCCAGGGGUCUUCCGUCUAGCUCCAAAAGGUGGUGGGCUAGACGACCUGGAUUCGAAGCCUCACUCCUUCUAAUUAUUUGAUAUUAGAUAUUUUCCUAAUAUUCGCGUUUUUUUUGAUUCAUGAAUAUAAUUCACCAAAGUUUCAUGCUUACAAUACUAUUUGAUGCAGUAAUUUGUCAUCUUUUAAGCAUAUAUAUAUUUUUAAAAAAGACGAGUAGUCAAUGUUUGAAAAUAAAAGGCUUCCCUGACAAUUACUCCCACUAUUCCCAAAUACAUGUCACGGUUGGGCACCACGAUUUUAAGCUUAACCACCAAUGUUUUAAACUAAUUAAACUACGAUUAAGGAAAGCUUAAAACUCAUGUUUAGAAUGCAACACUUCGAUGAUACCAUGUCUUUCAAGUAUUUAUAAUUUCUUGAACAAAAUGGCAAGUGAUAAAAUCUAAAUACGAACAAUGAUAAAUACUUGAAAACGGACCGAAUAUUUAAAAACGGGUGGCCUAUCAUACAGUACGUGUGGUACAUACGAUUUGAGCGGCUUCUUCUCCAGUUCUCGAUUUUUAGCUUUUUGAUACUUUCUACUACUAGUAGUACUAAGUACUAUAGCUUGGUGAUGUACCCCACUGUGCAUGCCGUGUUGUCGUGACAGUGCUAGUGUGUGGUGUCCAGCACUGCAGAGCGGUCUCGACGCGACUCUCGCGUAUGUACGUGGAGGGUAUUCUCCCCGCACAGCUAACUCCGGAUAGUUGCCGGUCGAAGCGACUGUUAUUAUGGUUCAGGACUUGCCGUUUGCCCUGAAAUUAGGCGUGUGGAGCUGUAUUUUUUUUAAAAAAAAAUUGAUCAUGUUUGUACAGUAUUAGAGUAUCUUCAGCGAUAAUUUCUAUUUUAAAACUCCUAUAAUUUAAAUAGGGCUGCUCUCAUUUCUUCGGUCCAAACAAUGUCCUCAACUUGUGCACACUACUGGCUGCAGGCGGCGGCGGCCGUGGACUCGUUUGAGAUGUAUAAUUUCUUUUUUUGAGAAUUUAUGAUUCAGUGUAUGGAUUCAAUCUGAGAUAUAUUUGAUUUGUGCUAUAUUUUUAGGAUUUAUGAUGUGAAUAUAUGAUUUGAGAUGUUAUGCUUUGAUUUGAGGAUUUGGGGUUUGAUUGGGAUAUGCAUCCCAUCCGAUUUGGGAGAAAAUUGAAGGAAAAAUCAUCUAGCAAAAAACAAUGAAAAAAGAAAAGAAAAGGUGGCAACCGAGAUUGCCGUUGUUUUCCUCUUUAGUCCCGGUUGGAGUUACCAACCGGAUCUUUAGUCCCGGUUAUUUCACCCGGGACUAAAGAUACCAACCGGGACAACAGUAGGUUCCCAACCGGUGACAAAGAUGGGUUCCCAACAGUGGCAGUAGUCUCCAUUUAUUAGCCCCUAUUUAUUUUCUCAUUUAUUUCAAUAUACACUCUAUAUUUAUGAUUAGUUUAGCCCACAACAAUUCAAAAAUAAAUAUUUCUAAUUCAUAUAAUUCAACAGUAUUUAAAUUCACAAUUUAAAUUCAAAUUCAAAAUUUAAUGUUUAAUGUAGUGCAUAAUCAAGAUUAUACUAUUUAACAGAUCAAAGCAUUCACCAAGAUUCUGGACUAAACAUGAAGUCCGAUCGAAAACUAAACAAAAAGAAUACAACCGUAUCACUGAACCGCGGUGAACUGCUUAUACCGAGAGCCUGUUCAGCAUAGCUCCAGCUCUAGCUCCACCUAAAAUAGGAGCGGAGCUAGGUGUAGCUCUCACAAAAUAAACUAAAGAAAUGGAAUUGGGUUUAGAUAGCUCCACAACUCCACUUCAGAUAAAAUUUAGGAGUUGGAGCUCUAUCGAACAUGCCCUAAAACACCACAACUAAAAUUAAACCGUAGUGAUCCUACUGUCCUACACUCCUACUGGUAGAAGACACAUUAAACAGCAGAGUGAGAAUUACUAACACAUAGAGGCUCCAAAUGCCAAAUUUUUUAACCGUGGAAAUGGCAUAUCCUAAAUAACAAAUAACUUAUAGAAUCCAACGUAUUCCAUCAAAAUAAAAAAAAAGCAUCCGAGAGCUCAAACUUCACCAUUACUAUCAUCACCACCAUCAAACUCUCGCUUGGUGGGAUAUUACACCGUUCCUUCCAAUUGUGGAUGGGGCCGGGGCUGGAGUUGGCCCCUAAGACUUAUUAGGGAUUUUGGGUGAGUGAUUUGGGUGCCUCCCUUAUGUCUAAUAGGGAUCUUGUUGGAUUUGAAGUUUUAACCUCUACCCUAAAAGAAUUGUUUGGGGCCGUGUUUAGGGUCUCUACCAUUAAAAAGAAUAAAAACAAUGCAACUAAAAGUAUUCCUAGCAUAUAUAUCUCUUUGUCCUAUAUCUCUAACUACGAACUUAGACAAGUAUAUCUAGGUUCAUAGUUAGGAUUUGUCUUUUUAGGACAAAAUAGUACUCCCUCCGUCCUAAAUAUAACAAUUUUUAGCCCUCAGGAUUUAUCCCAAAAUAUAACUUCUUCACCAACAUUCUCUUCACAACCAAUCAUAACCCUCCACCAUUCACUUUUCUCACAUAUCUCCAGUAUCACAACCCUCCACCACUUACUUCUACCUACUUUAUUAGUAACCGUGUUCAAUCUUAAAACUUCUUAUAUUAUGUGAAGGAUGGAGUAACUUUUAUACUGAGUGGUUUAAAAGCUAAGAUUGAAUAUAGAAAGCAAUAAUAAAAACAUCUGGAUUAAUUUAAAAUUUUUAUGGCCACCGAGAGAUCGUCGUGUACACAAUCAACGACCACUUCACAAUCUCGGAAUAUUAUUGUACAAGACAAUGUUUGAAAAUUGUGGGAGCCAUGCAUCAUGACCACGCAUGUGCUUUUGUGUACGUACGUGCAUACUCUAAAGAACAGUGAUCGGCAAAUCUAUGGCCAUUUCUAAUCAAAGAUACUAUAAAUAGUUUCCAUAAAUUUCAUAUCAUCAAAAAAAAAACUAGUAUUAGACAAUUCUCUUCCAAUACAAACACCAUUAUUUCAUACUUAAAUUUAAUACCACCUAUCUCAGAUGAUGUCUUGGAUGUUGUGUAAAAACCAUGUCUUAUGCAAGACAUGAUUUCAUUCUCUUUCCUCAUUUAUUCACUUGCCACAUUAUUUUUCAUUCUAGGUGGCAGCUAAUGCUAUGGACAUCAUCUUAAUUAUUGGGUUGGAAAUGACAUAAGAUACCGUCAGUUGUAAUUUUUGAAAAAAACUUGGCUGAUUGAUUGGAUGGCCACUAAUAAAUGCACCAGCUUCCCGUACGUGAUAUUUACUCCUGUACAACGGCGAAAGUGAAAAACGAAUGACUAAGGAAAGAAAAAUAUUUACAUGUAUAGGAGGAUUGGUGCAUGCCGGGCAAAUGUCAUUACUGUGACUUUUUUUUUGACACGAUGUCAUUAUGACUUAUUGUGACUGUGAUAGUACUAAUUCCGAACUAUUUCUUUAUCUAAAAAAUAUUGCCACUUGACAAGAUACUACUACCUCUGUCCCAAAAUAAGUGUAGCCAUGGAUAUCCAUGCCCAACAUUUGACCGUCCGUUUUAUUUGAAAAAUUUAUAAAAAAUUUAAAAAUAUUUAGUCACACAUAAAGUAUUAUUCAUGUUUUAUUAUUUAAUAGCAAUAAAAAUACUAAUCAUAAAAAAAUUUCAAACAAGACGAACGGUCAAACGUUAAACGUGAAUAGUGCAAAACUAUACUUAUUUUGGGACGGAGGGAGUAUAUAUAAUCAAGGUAGUUGCAUUUUACGCCAUGUUUUUUUGUUUCCAAGGUUGGCCAAGUUGAAAUUUGAGAUGAGGCAAAAGCCUUCCUGCCAGUCUAAGGCGCUGCUUAAGGGAGUUUAAGAUUUUGAGAAUAUGCUCGUUGGUAGUCAGCUUUUGAGAAUUUGAAGAAGCUGGGUUUUCCAGCUUUUGGAUUCUAGUACAUUUUCUGUAUUAUACAACUACAGAUUCUAAGAAUCUAGGUGACAAUCUAAACUGUUUAGAGAAGCUGGAGAUUAUGUGAGAAGCUGCGGCUGCUAGAAGCUGCUCCAAACAUGCCCUAAAACCGGUGUGUAUGUUGUUGGUCCACUCUAUUGAGAGGGACGUAUGCCCGGACAACAGAAGGGACUGUAUACUUGUUUUGUGGGUAAUCCCAACCAGAAUGGCAUAAGCCUGAUUCUCAGAAAUCAGAACCAACUUCAGAACCUUGGGCCUUCUCCAUUCCAUUUCACACCAACUUACUUAGAGCAUCUCCAACAGUCUCUCUAAAUUGGACUCUCCAAACAUCUAUAUAGCUAGCUCUCCAAUUGAUUUGGCAAGCCAAACUUAUUCCUCACUCCAACAACCUCUCCAUCUACACUCCCCAUUAUGAGCCUAUGACACUGGGACCCGCACGUCAGCCUCUAUUACUCAUGGCUGUGUAGGAGGCGGCAUCCUUGUGCGCCAUUUCGUCGAACAGGUUGCAGGCAGGCCGCGUCGGCAUGCCUGGGCGUGUAUUUGGUAGGCCAAGCGGGCCAGCAGCGGAGGGCGGAGCAGGCGAGCUCGUCGGCGGCGGCGGCGGUGGCUGGGUGGAUGGCGAGAGCGCGGCGGCCCUGGAGGAGGCAGAGCAACGGAGGCACAUAUCAAUCGAUCGGUGGGCGGCCAGGCGGGGGAGGACGCUGACGGGGAGUAGGAGGGCACCGGCGCAGGAAGGGGAGGGGACAGGGGAGCACGCGGUGGAGGUGGAGCGCACGGCGGAGGAGCGUGGCCACCAUGGGUGGGGAGGCGAGGCGAGAGGAGAGGAGAGGGGAGGGGGAUGACGACACGGCGGCCUCGGCAGUGGACGACGACGCGGCGGAGGGGCAGCGCCGGCGGAGGGACGCGACGGAGGGAGCGACGCCGGUUGUGGUUGGGGACGGAGGCCGCGGUGGAUGCGGCAGCGCCGGACUUGGUCAGGGACAGAGGCGGCGACGCCGGUUGUGGCUGGGGACGGAGGCGGCGGCGGACGGCGGUGCCGCAUGUGGCCGGGGACGGAAGCGGUGACGCCGGUUGUGGCUGGGACGGAGGCGGGGGUGGAUGCAGCGGCGCCGGACUUGGUCGGGGACGGAGGCGGCGACGCCGGUUGUGGCUGGGGACGGAGGCGGCAGUGGACGCGGCGGUGCCGGUUGUGGCCGGGGACGGAGGCGGCGGUGCCGGAUGUGGACACGGACGGAGGCGACGGCGGCGGUUGUGGCCGGGGACGGAGGCAGUGGCGAUGGGCUGUGCGGGAGGCGAGAGCGAAGGAAGAGGAGAGCGAGACAUGUGGGAGGGAUAGUGCGUGGGGCCCACAGUUAGCUAGCGGGUGUGGCUGGCCACAUUUGGCCAGUUCCAUAGGAUUUUUAGCCAGCCGGAUGGCUUGGCUAGUCAAUUGGAGAGUCUGUUGGAGAUUUUUUUUUUCUAUCUUAGCUAUAAUUUAGCUUGGAGAGCCAUUUAGCCACUCUGUUGGAGUUGCUCUUAGGCCCCGAUCGAGAGUGAGGGACGGGGAAUAAUCCCUCCGGCAUGGAAAACGGAGCAGGCCAUUAGCACGUGAUUAAUUAAGUAUUAGCUAUUUUUUUCAAAAAAUGGAUCAAUAUGAAUUUUUUAAGCAACUUUUAUUUAUAAAUUUUUUUUAAAAAAACACACCAUUUAACAGCUUGGGAAACGUGCGCGUGAAAAACGAUGUGGCGGGAGAAGUUGCCCACUGGAACUAGCGCACCCUUAUUUCUUAGGCUGUGUUUAGUUCACACUAAAAUUAGAAGUUUAGUUAAAAUUGGAAUGAUGUGAUGAAAAAGUUGAAAGUUUGUGUGUAGGAAAAUUUUGAUGUGAUGAAAAAAUUGGAAGUUUGAAGAAUUGUUUUGGAACUAAACACGGCCUUAGAUUCAAAUGAAAGAACUUGAUUGGUUACAUCUUUCUAGUAGUUUUGUUUUUCAAGUCACUUACUGUUUCCGAGUUAAAACCAACAAAACUUUUCCCUUCAAAUUUUUUACACCGAAUAGUUGAAAAAGUCAUCCAACUUAUGAUCAAUUCGAGAUGCUAAUUCCAAUUUGCACAUAUCCACUAAUAAGUACUACUCCAUCCUCUCCAAAAUAUAGCUAUUUCUAACACUUAAAUUUUAAGUUUGUAGCAAUGAAAUGUUCAAAAUUCCCCCAUUACCACUUUCCUUAAUAUUUGUUAAAAAACUACAAAAGUAUGGCCUGGUUUAAUUCCCAACUUUUUCUUCAAACUUCCAACUUUUUCAUCACAUCAAAACUUUCCUACACACAUAAACUUCUAACUUUUUCAUCACAUCAUUCUAAUUUCAAUCAAACUUUCAAUUUUAGCGUGAACUAAACACACCCUAUAUUUUGGGAUGGAGUAGUAUCUCUUGAGCCACCUCCCUCAGGCUUGACAAUUUGCCAUUGUGAUAUCUUUUGACACAUGAAUACUGGGAAGCAUUUCAAAUCACCCACCGUCAGUAUUUCUUCCUCUUUGACAUGCAGCUCACCAGCCAGAUAGCCCAACAAAGAAAAAAAACCCAAUGAUACGAGAUGGCUUCUCCAAACAACAGUUACUCAAAGGUCAGCAGCUACAUAGGUACAGUAUAUGCUCUAAACUGUAUGCUCCUAAUUGCCUUUAUCCACAUUUGCAUAUAUUGCAGCACACUCCAAAGCAUUGGAUACAGACUGCCAUCACAGUAGCAAGUUUCAUAUAAUUGCUCAUGUGCAUGGUCAAAAAUUUCUUGCCCUUGUGUAUAUAGUGCUCACUGCACAAAUGGUAUAAGGAAAUACUCAGCGUAGAACAACUGCAAGGAAUACAAACAAUGCAAAUGAUUAACAUUACCAAUGUUUAAUUGGUUAACAAAAUUCAUCGUAUAAACUAGAACACUAUCAUUAAUCACCUUCCAAAUGAACAUGUAAAAUGAUGUGAUCCACGCCUUGUUUUCAACGUCACAGUGCUGUGCUCUCUGCCAAAGUGCAAAGGCAAGCAGGCCAUGGCCGAAAACCUGGAUUAUCAAUGCAACAGCAAAAGGACUUCUCAACUUUCAAACUGGGGAAAUUUUUUUUUGAAAUGAACAAUUUUUCUUCUUCUUUUCAGAAGUGAAGAAUUCACUCACGGUGAUAAUCAUUUGACAUAGAUUUGUAGAUGAUGCUCCAGCCAAAAUGGCAGCCCCAUAUGCUGUUAAUAGUAUGUUUAUGCAGAGCCAAUACACCUAAAUCAGAUAAAAAUAGGAUUUUACACCAUUUUUAAAUCUGGAAUGACAUGUAGAACCAUUAUUUUGUUUUCCAGUGGUAGAAUUGGAUAUGUUCUUACUCUUUCUGGACCCAAACGUACGCUCAGGGAUUCGACGCCAAAAUGUCUGUCACCAUCAAUAUCUGGAAUAUCCUGAAAAUUCAGAAAAGGUCCCAGUGAUGAUAUUUGAAGAGAUGGAUGAAAUAAGGCUAUGACUGAAGAAAAGCCAUUGUGAUCUCACGUGAACAUAUAGUCAACAUAAUUGGGCAUUUACCUUGAAUAAAGCUAUAACUGAAGAAAAGCAACACAUGAAUAAUGUUGCGAAAACCACCGACUUUGUUGGUGCCAAGGGCCUCUUCAGAACAUGUUGCUGUUACAAGAAGAAUUCAAUACUAACCAAAGGGAAAUAAGGAAUUUGAACUUGAGAUGUAAACAAUGUUUUGUACUACCUGCAUAUGUGCAAAGAAAGCUAGCUGAACUAAGACAGCUCUUACAAAUAGUAUACAAGAUGCAGCGAGAAACGCGUUCCUUUUCCACCGGAGUAACGGAGCCUGAAAAAAAGAGUAUGAUGGAUUGAAAAUACAAGUAUUUAUAUGUUAGAUGGGAUCAUGGAACACCAUUUGUACUUACAAAGCUCGGUAAAAACUACUUACAUCAACAGAGUAUGCACUUCCAAGAAAGAAACUGAUAAACAAAGCACAUAACAAAGGAGCUGAUUUGGAUCUGAUUCCAAUGGCAAUGCUCUAGCAAAAGGAAACAAAAUGUGAGGAAGGUGUAUUGACAUAAAACCUGUUUUAUUCAAACUAGAAUAAUUGAUUCUUUAUUCCUGGCGUUGAACCUAAUAUACCAUGAUCAAGGACGUGAGUACUAACACUGCUCCAGUUGCCACUGAAAAUUCUCCUGACGCCAACGGAAGGCUGGGCUUAUUGACCUCCAAAAAGAAGUAUGAUUUAAUCACAAUGAUACUACAUAUCACAUGAUAGAAGAAAAUGUUUUCAAACAGCAAGUAAAAAAUCACCUUAUCAAUCUGGAUGUCAUAUAGUUGAUUCAGGCCUACAACAUAGAUAUUCAUACAUAAAGAAGAGGAUAAAGCCUGCACAUAAGGAAAAAUAAAUGGCUGUUGUAUAUCUAUAGACCAUUAAGAAGAUAACUUUAAGCAUCUGUUGAGCACAGGGUUCAUCAGGAAUUUAAUUUAAAACAUCUCUUGAGCACAGCAUUCAUUACAAAAUUUAUGUAUGAUACCUCAAGAAAUCCCCAUAAUGCUUUCAUAGUAAAAUCAUCUAGGCUCCUCAUUGGCAGGAGAGAAACUGAAGUGAUUCCUAUUAUCUGACAAACAAUCCAAGAACAAUAAGCAGUAGCUAGACAACAUGCAUCCGAAACUGCCAUACAAAAUUGAAUGAAACUCACAGUGCCAAAAAUUGUGUGGGGUCGGCAAAACCGAUAAAAAGCUCCCAGUUUCUGGGGAACUUCUUUGCAAAUUUCUUCAAACUCAGUGGCGAUGGAUUCGUGCUGAUCACCAGCAAUGGCAUAGCAUCUCACUUGGAGGACUGGAGAAUGUUGUCUUUUUUGCCUCCUUAUGCUUCUUGUGAGACUGGUAGCAUUUAAAAUUGCACUUAGUUUUACUUGUGAAGUUGUCAUAGUGGGCUAUCGAAAAUAUUAACCCCAGAUUUACGAGAGUGCUUGCCUUUGACACUGGUGUAGAGCAGAAUUUUCCACCGACAAUUUACCUGUAAUGUGUAAUUGAGGACAAGUGUUUAGUACAUUAGUCACUUUGGACAAAAUUAUAUUUUAACAACUUAUGUUUCAUGGGGGAAAGUGCACACUAACAUCUCUAAAUUAUUCAUCCAUUUUAUCAACAAGGUAUUUUAUUUCUCCUAAAAGAAGAGGAAAAAAAAUACAGUUACUGAAAAGGACACAACUAUGAAUUUGUUAAUUAGGAUAAACUUCAUUUCAGAAAUAUGCACCUUCGAAUUCUUCUAAAACUUAGUGGCUGAAAAAUUGAGGACAUAUUAAUCAGUAAUGCCCUAUAUUUGCAAAUUUUGGGACAAUUUGAACCAUGCCACACAAAUUUUACAAAAUUUGUGAUAUGCCACCCUGACCCACAUGUCAUUGACUCAUGUGGGUCUUACAUGUCAUUGAGAUACGGGUGGCAUAUCUCAAAUUUUGCAAAUAUAGGGUGUCAUGGUUCCAACAAACCCAAUAAUUUUAGUGGGGGCUUCGCAGGGGCUCCCAUGGUCCUCACGUAAGUAGUGGAGGCUCGAGACUCUACCGCCUUCAUGCUAGAUCCGCCCUAUACAAUUAAAAGGAUCGCAAGAUCCUGAAACUCUUCCGGAGAACUAGGAACCCAAAUGUACAAUCUUUUUCUUCAUAGUGAAAAACUUGAAUACAUGUUUGAUCCUGCAAUUAUCAUGCGCAUGCAGUUCAAAUGUUUUAAGGUUUUAUGCUUUAUCCCCCAUCUUCUUCUAUUUGUGGUGCAUCUAGGCUAGCUGGAUUUGAUCUACGAACAACCCAACCCGGAUGCCUGGAAUGUUGAUUUUUAUUGAAAAAACAUACUAAAUAUAGAACGAAAACACGAAUCUCUGUAUACCUCCCCAGGACAGUUUCCUCGUUCCAAACCGAGCCCUGAAUUCCGAUCCCCUCUUAUCUGCAGCACCCAAGUUAAAGAAAAUCCUCAAAUCAAACCGAAGUAAUCAAAGAACAAGACUAACAAAAGACAGUAUAAAAGAGUUGUGUGUCAGCUGGCGGCGGCCGGUUACCUUCCUGGACUUGCACGGUGUGCUGAUGCGCCGCCGGCUUGAUAGCCGAGCACGCCGCCGCCGCCGCCGCCGAUGAGGCUUGCAUCGUCUGGGAUCUUGGAAGAAGACAACGGACGGACGGACUAGAUGAGGAAGAACUGAAGAGGAGGAAAACCUAGGAAUUAAGCCGCCGGCCGGCCGGAUCGAGGAUUUAUGCGAGGGAUUAGCUGAUCUAUCGAUCGAUGGAAGGGAGAUGUGUGGAGUGGGGAUCGAUGAGUUGGGGGACGCAAGCUUUUCUGCUGCUGAUUAAUGCACGCAUGCAUGGCGUGCAUGUAACCGAACCAGCUAUGCUAGCCGCACUGCGCAUCAGCCAGCAGUGAUGACGACGCAGGCAGGCAGCUAUCCCACGCCGCCUGCCUGUGCUGCACUACAACUCACGCGUUGGAAACCAGGCCAUGGUCCACGGGAGUUAGCCGGGCAGUCAGCCCAUUGGGCCGCGAAAACGCGCGUCUAAAAAACCGCCGCAAGUUAUUUAGGAAAAACUUUCAAAUCUAACUAUACUACAAUUGUAAUAUAAUUCCACUGUAACUAUAAUAUUAACUUGUAUAUAAGUAUUAAAAUAAUAUACGCAACUUUAUAUCUAACUUAUAUAGAGAUUACAAUGUAGUUACAGUUAUAUUGUAGUUACAAAUUACUCCAUCCGUCCCAUAAAAAACCAACCUAAUACCGGAUGUGACAUAUCCUAGUACUAUGAAUCUGGAUAUAUAUCUGUCCAGAUUCAUCGUACUAAAAUAUGUCACAUCUAGUCCUAGAUUUGUUUUAUGGGACGGAGGGAGUACAAUGUAACUAUAGUGAAUUUACAUUAUAGUUACACUAUAACUAUACUAUAGUUACACUUGAAAGUUUUUUCCUAUAAAACUUGCGACAGUUUUUUUUUUAGCAAUUUUGGUUCUCGUUUGGAAUAAGUUUGCUUGCCAUCCAUCACCUUCACGUCGAGUUUAAACGGCAUCCUUAGACUGCAAUACUAGAAAUCUUCAACCCCAACUUGCAAAACCGGAUUAAUUAAGAUCAUCCGUCAGUAUAGAUGGUUGGUUUCAUUGACAUAACAAGUUGACUCGGUCCACUCAUGCUGACUAGGCGUAUACGUGAAAAAAAAUAAAAGUGAGCCCCCACAUAUAAUCCUCGCUCUCCUCCCAUUUUCUCCCUCCCUCAUCUCCAUUUUCUCUCCAUCUCCCUUUGGUUCUUGGAGCUUGAUGCAUCGAGCACGUUGCUAGAGAGCGGUGAUUGAGAAGUGGGGGCUAACCAGGAGCGGUGAUGAGGAAGCAGCUCAAGGCGAGGAGGUCUAGUGCGGCGAUGGGUCUGCCAUGGUGGUGACAGAGGCCAAACCGAAGUAGAAACAUCCGUAUAGAGCAGGGACUUCCUCAGCUUCCGAAUAGGAGGAGGAGCUCGUCAUCCAGGUUGGCUCUUCCCCUUUCACCUUCAACCUCAUCAGCUCGCCGCCUCCGUCGAGCUGUCGGGUAGGCGAGAAGCGACAAAAAGGAAUCGGGCUGAGCUACCGUUGCUGACUCGAUGUGGAGCGCUUCCUGCCGCAGGAGGCAUGAUAGGAGUUACCUAGCGAGUCGGGCAGCGUGAGUGGCUUGGGGCUGGAACUAGGACAUGGCAACGACACCACCGCUCGAGCUUGAUUUCCAUCGCCACCACCGUGGCAUCCCUUCCUCAACCUAGCGGCUCCUCCUCUCACUCUCGACAUAAUCAGGCAGCGACGGUAAGCCCCACUCCUAGCGGUAGGGAAGAGCCCAUCCCCAGUGUCACAGGACCACGUACAGGAGCACCCGAGGCGGAGUUACCGGGGCAUCGGGUCCUCUCCUCCGUCAUCGCAGACUACCAUUGCCCUCUAUCCUCUUCGACUGCUCACCGCCACCUUCCCAUGGACUGUCGGUGAGCUAGAGCUCGCCGACUCCCUCAUCUCCCUCCUCUUCUCCUUUUGCUGCCAUGGUCCACAAGAGCCCUCUCAUCACCGACCUCCCACCGCCGCGCUGUCUCCCGCGGACGGGCUUGCCAGUCGCUGCCACUCUCUCCUCCAUUGAGCUCCUGGGAAAGAGAGGGGAGAGGUGGAGAGAUGGGGAAGAGAGGGGAUAGUUGAGGAGAGGAGGAGGUCCACUUACAUGUGGACCACAUGUUUUUUAAUUUUCUUUUUGCUGACUAAGAUAUGACGUCAGCCCAAAACCAACCAUCCGUACUGUCAUGGAACUUGGCUUGGCCGGUUUCGUCUGUAUAAGGGGUGAAGAUUUUUGGUAUUACGGUUUAGGGAUGUCAAUUAAACUCCACGAAAACUGAGAGGCGAUAUGUGGACUUGUUUCUUUCUCGUUUUCUCCCGGAAUAAGUUCAUCUGAGGUCCCUUAACUUAUCGACGAAUCCGAUUUUCGUCUUUCAACCAGAAAAUCAGAUAUAAUAGGUCCCUUAAUUAUCAAAACCGGUGCAAUAUAGGUCAUAAGGAGGUUUGGACGGCGGUUUUAGCUGACGUGGUGCCUACGUGGCUAAUUUGACUCGGUCUUCAUCUAACGCGGCAUUGACGUGGCCCUUACGUGGCAAUUUGAUCCGAAAAAAUAGUAAAACCCGUGGGAACCAUAUGUUAGCUUCACAUACACAAUAAUAAAAAAUGGUGGGACCCAUGUGGGCCCUGCAUGUUAUUCUCAAUCCCCUCCUCUUCUUCCUCCUGACCUCCUCUCUCCCCCAUCUCACCUAUCUUCACCUCUCUCCCCUCUCCUCCCUCCUCUCACCGACGGAGAUGCGGACGGCGUGGAGGCGCGACCUCCUCCACUCCCGUCCCCAUGGGCUUACCGCCGACAGCCACCGUGCCUGCUUCCUCUGCCGCUGGUCGCAGGUGCAUCUGAGCAAGAGGAGCCACAUGCGGGACCAGACUGUCAGCGCCAUGGAUGCAGCUACAUGGCUAGGGAAUGGCUCUAAGCUGCUGCCGACGUGCAGCUCAUGGGCGAUACCCUUGCAGUCACGUGGCGCGUGUGUUGGAGGAAGCAACGGAGACGGGGAGGUGGCCGCGUGUCACUGAGGAGGACGGGGGCCCGGCGAAGGCAAGAGCGGCAACCGUUUCUGAGGAAGGCGCGGGGGCAAAAGGCGGUGCUGGAGAACGGCCACCGGAGGUCGAGGCGAGGGGGAAGCGGCGGCGACGGCAGGAACAUCCGGAGGCGGUGGAGGCAGGCGUGGCGGGCGACGAGGAGAGGGGUGGCGGAUGCCUGUAGUAGGCCCAUGGGGGGCGAGAGUGGAGGAGGCUGCGUCUUCAAGCCGUCCGUUUCUCCGCCGGCAAGAGGAGGGAUGAGAGGGGAGAGAGAUGAAGACAUGGGAGAUGGGGAGAGAGGAGGAAGAAGAGGAAGGGAUUGAGACCAGGGGUUUAUGUGGGCCCCACUAUUCUUUUUUAUUAUUGUGUGUGUGAAGCUGACAUGUGGGUUUUAUAGGUUUUUUUUUUCAGAUCAAAUUGCCACGUAAAUACCACGUUAUAUGAAAAACCAGUCAAAUAAACCACGCAAGCUAAAACCAAACCACCGGUUUUGACAAUUAAACGACGCAUUGGUUGACAAGUUAAGAGACACCAGAUGAACUUAUUCCUUUUUCUCCCGUAGCGCGCGCGGCCCACAGCCUACACGGCCCACCUCCCGCGCUACCCCCCAGUGGGCAGUGGCGACGCUAUCCUCUCCAUCCGCUCGCGGCUCGCGCUCGCCCAUCCAAUCCACCGCAAGCCGAAGCGUGAGCAAAGUGCCCUCGAGCCAUGGCCAUGUCCCUCUCCCUCGCGCGCGUCGCGCUCCCGCCUCUGCUGCAGCAGCAGGGGGGCGCCCCCAGGAAGCUCCACCCCGGCGCCCUCGCGUUCCCCGCCAAGUCGUUCUUCGGCGCGCCGCUGGCGGCCGUCGCGGUCUCCCCCGCGUCGGCGGCGGCGGCGUCGCCGCUCCGUCGCAGGCCGUCGUCCGCCUCCGCCGUCGUCGCGGCGGGGAAGGGGUACAAGAUGAAGACCCACAAGGUACGGCGCGGCUUGGUUGGUGCUGUUCUGGUGUGGAUUGCUGCUGCUGGGGCUGAUUGAUUUCUGUGGGAAUUUUUUUUCAGGCGUCGGCGAAGCGGUUCCGGGUGACGGGGAGGGGGAAGAUCGUGCGGCGGCGCGCCGGGAAGCAGCACCUUCUCAGCAAGAAGAACACCAAGCGCAGGAAGAGGCUAUCCAAGAUGGUAUGCUUCUUCUUCUUCUCUUCUCCCCCCACCACCCUGCAAUCCAGAUACAGUGCAGCUCAAAUUCUGGUCUACUAGUUGUCCAGCUUAUCUAGCCAUGGAAUUUGCUGGUGUUCCUAUGCUUAAUUUUGGAUUGGAUUGCAAUGUGAGCUGUGGAAUGCUAAAUUGCUAAGUGAGACUGUGAGAGUGACUGAGUGAGUGUGGUUCAGCUCAUGGUGCUAUGGAAUGCGCCGAAUUUGGGAUGUUCUAUUUGUGAAUUUCGGGGCAAUAUGCAUAGCUGUCUCCUAGUACCUAUGUGGCUGAAUCUGAUUGUGGGUCACAUAUCUGUGCAUUCUAGAUUGUAUGGGAAUCAAAUGAGUGGCAUUUGUAGCUUCUUUCUAAACUUUGAUGUGUUCAGCUCUGCUGUUCGCGAUAACUAAUUAGUAAUUUCACUCAUUUUUUUUCAGAGUUCAUGGUCCACUAUUAGUUCUUACAACAAAAAAUAUUUUUAGAAGCCACUUCUUUAUGUCUAUGUGCUAUUGUGCUAAGUCCUACUUAAUAUUAGCAUAUUUUUAAAUUGCUGAAUAAUAAUAUGCCAUGCUCUUUGAGUAUUUUUUGGGAAGUUAAAAGAUUGUCGAAUGUCUUAUCCAUUUGAUUAUUGGGGAUCUGACAACAUAAUUAACAGCCAUAAACUUUGUUGUAAUAUUAGAAGCUCAGUAGGUUGAGUGUUAUAAUUAGUGUGCACACGCAAAAGUACAUACCAGCAAUUGAUAAUUUAAUUGCUCAUCUAUCCCAAUCUCCCCUUGAUAUCAAUCCAUGAUUGGUAUGUGUCCUUUACAUUUUUCUGUUCUAAUAAUAAUGUGCAAAUGCAUCAUACACAUUUUGCAUUGGAGUGUUUUGUCGAAAUGAAGUCCACUAUUUUUGUACACUUCUUCUGUAACUGAGUCUCCAUAUUAUUUUAUAGAGGUUUGGUCUUUCCCCCCUGAAGUUCAGUCUUCCCAUUUCUUACCUCUCGGAUCCUUAAAGUAAAGCACACCCUACACUAAAUUUGAGAUAGGAAGCUUUCUUGUAGGCCCAACAUCUGUUCUACUUGUAUCACCAAUGUUUGGUAAUUAAGCGGCUGAAAAGAAACAUUAUUACAAUAAGAAAAUAACAAUGAUUUGCUGGGGGUGUAGUCUAUUUUAGUAGCUUCUGAAGUCCUAAAAGUGUCAUCAUAAAUCAAGGACAACUUCACUGGAAGUCUAAAACUUGUCAUUGUCUACCGCCCUCUAAGAGAACAUUGUUAUCUUUCUCGCAGAUCCAAGUUAACAAGAGCGACUACAACAACGUGACGGGCGCACUGCCCUACCUCAAAGUGAACAGGAAUGCAGAAUGAGAUCUCCUAGGUCUUGCAAACAUGCUUCUGUUUCGUUUCAUCAAAUUGUAAUUUUGUGUAUCUUCUUUGUAUUUCUUUUCUGAAUACCAAGGUCCCAAGUCAUACCAAGCAAGCACAAACAAUUAUUCAUGCCAACAUGUUCAAAAAUGAGUUGCACUUGCACGAGCUAGUUAUUUACAAGUCCUUUUUCCCCUUUUGACAAAGAAAAUUCCAACUGAUAAUGAAAGCAACUAUUAAGGAGUAAGAACAUGAGUGGUUGACUAUGCAAGGCGUCUCCCAUUAUACCUGUGACUAAUAGCAUCUGAUUUAAUUUGCAUUAAGUAAUAUGUGCAGGCUUAAGAAGUGAAAAAAGUCGUUUAUUUGAGCUCUUCUGUGUGAAACUGCGAACUCACCUAAAUGGACAUCUAAGCAUUUUUUGGACUAUAAAAUAAACAUCUUUUGCUUAAUUUAGCAAGGAGACCGUUUAUUUAUUGACUCGUUCACACGAUGCCAAAGUGACAUCUAUGUAUUUUUUUUUAAUUUAGCAAGAAGACCGUUUAUUUAUUGGUUUGUUUGGUUGUAUGGCGGCAUGGCGCCACCCAUUGCCCAAAUCUACUGAGUUAGUGUUUGAUUAGUUGUUGCAAUUGUGGCAAUCCAUAUUUUAGUACUCCAUGCGCUCAAAUUCCAUACACACAAUUCCUAGCUAAACAAUGCCACCCCGUUGGCAAUCCACACUGGUGACAAAUUGAGUUAUGACACGGUUAGGUUAUAGUCUAUCAUGUCCUCAAUCUGCAUAUGUGGUAUGCACAUACAUUUUUAUUGACUUCCAUGCAUAUAGCAAUUGAUUAAUAACAUUGAAAUAAGGGAGGAUCAAAAUAGAAUAAGAUUUGUUUAAGUUUAGUUGUUGGUGGACCCCCACCAGGCCACCACAGAGAGGCAACCGUUUGAAGGAAAAGCGAAAAACGAAUUGUGCAUUAACUAAAGUCAUUCCACUUGGAGUUGAUAUUCACUAAAGAAAAGUUCAAAAACAAACAUUGAUAACCUACUGCAACCUAUGGAAAGUCAUUCUACUCGAAUCCAUGAUUCCAAUAGAAAUCUAAAACCACAGUAGCAACGUUUAUUAUACAACAAACUCAUCCCAAAACCAUUAAAUAUCAACCACAUCCUCCUACUUCUAUGGAAAGUAAUGCUGCCCGAAUGAUAGAUUCACUACAAAAUGUGCACAACUGUAAAAAAAUAACACCAGACUAUUGAAAAACAUAUAGAAAAUCAUUCUGCUCAAAUCCUAAGAUUCGCUAGAGAAACCCGAACCACACUAGUGACAUUUAUUAUACAAGAAUGUCAUGGUAGAAAUAAUUAAAUUACAAUAAGAAGUUCCAACUUCUACGGAAAGUAGUUCCUUUGAAUCAAAGAUUCUCAAAAUAGAACAUGCAAAACCAUCAAAUAAUAACUAUAGGCUAUUGAAACUUAUAAAAAGCCACCCCGCUAGAAUCCAAGAUUUGCUAGAGAAACCCAAAACUACACCAACAACUUUUGUUAUAGAGCAAAUUUCACAAAACCUCAUGUUUUGGGGGCAUUAGAAACAAAUACCCUUGGUCUUGUAAUUUGUUUCAACAAGCCCCGAAUUUUGAGGCAACAUGUUUUAAAAGACAUAAGCACAAACAUUGAUUGUCCAUUUGGCUGUAUAAUAAUUGUUUAAAAAAAUAUAUGAGACAUUUUACUAUGUAUACACAUUGGCAUAUUUUUCAACAAUCAUUGGUUGUCGAUAGUAUGAACAUUUGUAUAUAUAAAUGGUAGACAUGGCAUUAUUAGUGUGGAUUAUGUUAUGAUUUUUCAAUCAUAGAGUGCGAGUGAGAAAGGAGAUGAAGCAGAAAGAAUGGACGUGUAUUUAGAGCAUAUUAAUGUGAAUAUAUAUCUAAAUAAUGUAAUGCAUAACAUUGGAAGUGAGUUUUUUUUUAAAACAUAAACCUAGUGUUUCUUGAAACAUCUUGCCCCCAAAACAUGGGGUUCCUUGAAACAAAUAAGAAUAAAUAGGGUUUUGCAUCACGGAUGCCUCAAAACCAGGGAUUUUGUGAACUUACUCGUUAUUUAUAUAGCAAUGCUAAUGUGAAAACCAUUAAAUUAAUAACAUGCUAGUACUUCUAUGUAAAGUAAUUCCACUCAAGUUAGAGAUUCGCUAAAUAGAAUAUGGAAAAUUGUCAAAUUAUAAUAAUAGGAUAAAUGAAAAACUUAUGACAAGUCAUUCUGCUCGAAUCAUGAGAUUUGUAGGAGAAACCCGAAACUACACUAGCAACAUUUGUAAUACAACAAUGUCAUCACAAAACCAUUAAAUUACAACAACAAGAUCCUAUUUCCGCGGAAAGUAAUUCCGUGCAAACCAGAGAUUUGCAAACUAGAACAUGCAAAGCCAUCAAAUAAUGACUAUAGUUAUUGAACCUAGAAAGUCAUUCUACUCGAAUCCCAAGAUCCAUUGAAGAAAUCCAAAAAAUGCACUAACAAAAAAAAUUAUAGAGUAAAUUUCACUAAACCCUAGGUUUUGGGACAUUUUUAGCAUAAUACCCUAGGUUUUGUAAUUUGUUCCAACAAACGCUUGGUUAUGGGGCAUCAUGUUUUUUUUUAAAAAAAAAUCACAGGCACAAACUUAGAUAGUACAUUGGGCUAUAUAAUAAUUGUUAAAAAAACUCGUAUGGUACUUUUUUUUACUAUGUACACACAUUGGCCAUAAUUUUAACAAUAGUUGGUUGUCAAUAGUAUGACCGUUUGUGUAUGUAUAUAAGUGGUUGACAUGGCGUUAUUAAUGGGGAUUAUGUUAUUUGCAUUCAUAUAGUGUGAGUGAGAAAGGAGGCAAAAUAGAUAGAUGGGCAUUGUAUUUAUAGCAUAUUAAUAUGUGAAUACAUGCAUAAAUAAUACCAUGUAUAACUACAAAACACGAGUAUUUUACAUAAAACCGUGGUUUUUUGAAAUAUUUUUACCCCAAAACAUGUGAUUCCUUAAAACAAAUCACAAUAAUGGGGGGGGGGGGGUUUGCAUUACGAAUGCCCUAAAUCUUGGGAUUUUGUGAAAUUUACUCUUUAUAAUAUAUUAUAGAGCAACACCAACAUGAAAACAUUAAAUUACAUUUCAUCAAUAAAUCCACUGUUUUUGUGCACUUUUUCUGUAAAUGAGUGCAAUGGGUGUUUUGUUGAAAUGUAAAUCCACUGUUUUGUGCACUUUUUUAGUAUCCAUUAUACUUUAUAGAGGUUUGGGGUUUCCCCCUUGAGGUUUGCUCUUCCUGAUUCUUACUACAUCUUAUAUACUUAAAUCUUACCUUACACUAAAUUUGAGAUAGGCAGCUUUCUUAUCCUUCCCAACAUUAGUUCUACAUGUAUCACCAUUUUUUUUUCAGAAUUAAGGACCUGAAAAGAAACAUUGUUAUUAUUAUUUUCUUGUAAGAAAAUACCAAUAACUUACUGGUUAUGUAUAGUCCAUUUAAGUACUUUAGUCCUCAAAGUGUCAUACUGUGAAUCAAGGGGUAACUUCAUUGGAAGUCUAAUACAUGUCGUUGUGUGCUUCAAAACACAAUUUACAUGUCCUCUAAGAGAAUGCACAUUGCUAUCUUUAUCGCAGGUCCAAGAUAACCAGAGCGACCACAACAACGUGAUAGGCACACUGCCCUAGCUCAAAGCGAACCAGAAUGCAAAAUAAGAUCUCCUAGGUCUUGCAAACCUGCUUCUGUCUCAUUUCAUCAACUUGUAAUUUUGUGUCUCUUAUUUGUAUUUCUUUAUGAAUAUCAAGGUCCCAAGUUAGAUCAAGUAAGCAUAAACAAUUUUUCAUGCCAACAUGUUCAAAAAUUUUGCACGGUCUAGUUCUUUACAACAUUUUGCAAGUUUUUUUUCCCCUUUUGACAGAGAAAAUUCCUGUUCAUAUUGAAAGCAAUUAGUAUUAAAAAGUACAAACACGGGUGAUUGACCAUGCAAGGCCAGCUGAAAUAAACCACAAAAGGACAAUCCCUAUUAUACCGGUGACUAAAUAACAUUUGAUUUAAUUGCAUUAAAUAAUAUAUGCAAGACUUGAGAAGUAAAAAAACAAGUCAUUUAUUUGAACUCUUCUAUGUGAAACUGUGUGCUCACCAAUUGAAAUCUACGUGCUUUUAUUGGAAUACAAAUAAACAUCUCGUGUUCAGUUUAGCACGAAAAUCGUUUAUUUAUUGACGUAUUCACGGCUUCAUGCCAUGCCACAGUGAUAUCUAUAUUUUUUUUAUAGUAGAAGAAUAUCAUUCUUUGAGGGCUUCUUUGGUUGUAUGCCACACAUUCCCUAAGCCUUAGGUGUGUUACAAUUUAUUGGGUUAGUGUUUGAUUUAUUAUUGUAAUUAUGGCAAGCCACAUUUUGUUACUUCAAAUGUCAUACACACAAAAUUCAUAGCAAAACAUUCUCACCCUUAUGGCUAAUAAAACAAUGGUCACACUUCGUGAGUUUGUGUGGCAAGUCACACUUGUAAAAAAAUGAGUUAUGACAAGGUUAGGUUAUAACCAAACAUGCCCUUAAUCUCUAUAUCACAAAACCUCUAAAUACUAGCUAAAGUCAUUCAACUUGGAACCUGUAUUUGCUAAAUAAAUGAACAAAAACUUAUGUAACACUCAUAAUCUAAUAGAUAAAUCUAAAACUACAUUAGCAUUGUUUAUUAUACAAUAAGCUCAUCGAAAAAUCAUUAAAUAUCAACCACAUGCUCCUACUUCUAUGGAAAUUGAUUCCUCUCGAAUCAUAGAUUCACUAAAUAGAACAUUCAAAAUAAUCAAAUAAUAAUGGCAUGCUAUUGAAAAAUGUAUUGACCACAUUUACUCUUUAUUCUACAGCAAUGCAAACACGAGAACAUUAAAUUAUAACAACAUGCUUCUACUUGUAUUUAACAAAUCUCUGAUUCAAGCGGAAUUACUUAUCAUAGACCUUGCCACCGUGCUAGUGUGAGUAACAUUUAUUAUCCAACAAAUACAACGGAAGCUUUAAAUAAUCAUUUUGUUAGUAUCAUAGUGCUAGUAUCAUCAUUUUGCUGUAUUUAUAGCGUAACAAAUACAACAAAAGUUUCAAAUAAUAUACACUAGUACCAUCAUUGUCACCAAUGAAUUAAUUGAAAGCCAGCCACACUAGAGAUGGUUUUCAACUAUAGCACACAUGGAGUAAGAGCAUUUAACUAUUUACCAUUAUUUGGCAAUCAUAUCUAAAUAACGACAAACUAUUGAAAGUCAAAGAAAGUGACAUGUUAUUGGGACCGACAGAAAGUAAUUUUGCUUAAACCCAAAAUUCACCAAAGAGAAACAUAAAACCACACUAGUAAAAUGUAUAUAAAAAAAUUAAACCCAAGGGAAGAGACGUUCUAAAUACAUUGCUUUAAGAUAAAAAAAAAAUCCCUAAAAGCCGGUUAGAUGCACCCUAUCACCUUAGCUACAUGCCACGACCACGGAAAACACAUAGCGAUGGACCUUUUUUUUUUGCGUGAGCCAGUAGUGAUUGAGCCCUCGUCAGCGGCCUCACUCGUUGGGAUCUUACCAUCGUGCUAUGAACAACAUAUAUAAUUCAACAAAUACAAUAAAUGAUUUUUAUAUUAUACACCUAGCUUCAUCAUUUAUGAAAACCAGCAAAACCAGAUGUGGUUUUCAACUGUAGCCCAUAGAAAAAGGGCAUUUAAACAUUUACCAAUAUUCGGUGCACACACAUUUACUCCUCGCAUCAAGGCUCUCGCAAAAGUGGGAAGAACAGUCCAAUAGAACAUCAACCAGUGAAGUGUUAGUGGCAGCGGAAGAAGAAACAUGCAUGCAACAAUAGUCAGGAAUUUAAAGCUAGGGAUUUGCACGCACACAGGCCAAAAUACCUUCCAAAUUUCUCUGCGAGGGAGCGCGUGAAUUCCACCCCCAUCUACUGUCCUGAUCCUCUCCUCUCCUCGUCGAUAUAAAUGACGCCCUCCCCCUCGCUGUUGCACCCAUCCCUCUCUGACCUCGAGUUGCAGCUUCUUGUGCUGUUUUGAGCCAGCAUUCGAGGGAACCCAUCGGAAAAGAUCUGAAAGGUGGGGGUUCUAGGAGGGUUUCUUGGUGUUCUUGUAUUGGUUUUGGUGGGUUCUUGCUGGGGGUGCGGAGGGGGAGGGAGAUUUUGGUGGUCAGUCGUUCGUCCAGAUUGGGGUUUUCUUGUUGCUGAUCGUGUUUGUUUUUUUUUUUACCAAGGGGAUCCAAGGGACGAACAUGGCGGCGACGCAGGCGACGGCCGCCAGAAAAUUCCCAGAGGGUUUGCGCGUGCUUGCCGUCGACGAUAGCCCCGUUUGCCUCAUGCUCCUGGAGGCGUUGCUUCGCCGGUGCAAGUACCAACGUGAGUUCUUGGCUUGUUAGCCGAGUUGUUUAGUUAGAUCUUUUUUUUGUAUAUAUUUUUUUCUUGUUGUUUGCUUGAUUUCUGCGGUGGCCGGGAUGUAGCGACGAUGACGAGGGACGCGGCGACAGCGCUACGGAUGCUCCGGGAGAGGCCGGGGGAUUUCGACCUGGUGAUUAGCGACGUGCACAUGCUGGACAUGGACGGCUUCAAGCUUCUCGAGCUCAUCGGCCUUGAGAUGGAUCUCCCCGUCAUCAGUAAAACCCCUUCCUUCACACCAACUUUCCAUUUUUCAUGCAUGUCAUGGCUUCCCUUUCUUGGUAUUUGUCCCUUUUCUCUUGGAAGUAGAUGUCUAAAGAAGUAGGAAGUGUUGCUUUCAAGUAGAUCUGUUGAAUGGUUGUUUGUUAUACAUUGGAUACCACGUGAGAUCCUGUAUAUUUAUUGACUUCACACUCAUACUUGGGCUGAUAGAUGGUACUAGGUUGGAGAAAAGUGGUCACAUGUCUAUUAUGUGCUUGGUCUUCACAUUCAUCAAUAAUAAUCUGAACAUGUAACGGAAUUUCAGUGGGGAUAUUAUGUCGUUGUUUUAUGAUCCGUUAUAGUUGUUGUUUUGUUGGCGUUACUACUUCCAAGUAGAUAAGUAGAUAAAUCAAAUGGUUUGUCGUACAUUGAAUAGUACUUGAUAUUCUGUAAAAUUAUUGACUUCAUUCAUACUUGGGUUGGUAGAUAGUAGGUUAGAGAAAAAUGGCCAUUUGUCUAUUAUGUGCUUGGUCUUUAGAUUCAUCAACAAUAAUCCAAACAUAUGUAUAGCGGAAUUUCGGUGGAUGGAAUAUUAUGUUGUCGUUUUAUGGUCCAUUGUACUUGUUCUUUUGUAGGCGUUACUAUUUGCAAGUAGAUAUAUUGAAUGGUUCGUUGUACAUUGGAUAGCACGUGAGAUCAUAUAAACUUAUUAACUUCACCCAUACUUGGGCUGAUAGAUGGUAGGUUAGAGAAAAAUGGCCACGUGUAUAUUAUGUGCUUGGGUUUUAGAUUCAUCAAUAAUAAUCCGAACAUGUAACGGAAUUUCGGUGGAUGGAAUAUUCUACUGUUGUUUUAGGGUCUGUAGUAGUUAUUCUUUUGUUGGUGGUACUACUUUCAAGUAGAUAAAUUGAAUAGUUUGUUGUACUUAGAUAGCACGUGAGAUCCUAUAAAUUUAUUGACUUAAUUCAUACUUGGGAUGAUAGAUGGUAGGUUAGACAAAAAUGGUCACAUGUCUAUUAUGUGCUUGAUCUUUAGAUUAAUCUGAACAUAUAACAGAAUUUCAGUGAAUGGAAUAUUCCCUUGUCGUUUUAUGGUUUGAUAUAGUUGUUCUUUUGUUGGUGUUAUUGUCGAAUCUGCAUUCGUGUAAUCGUGUUACAUGUAUUGUCCUAUUUUUUCUAUUUAAUGUGCAAAAUAGUAAAACCUAUAUCAUUUGAAACCGUCGAACAUAAAAGUGACCAUAACUGUAGCAUGUCAUUGUCUAGCACGUGUGAAAUAUUUGCUUACAAUAAAAGAUGGGAAAAACAUGUGUAAUACCUUAAAUAUAUUCAAAAGAACAGAGUCCAUAUAUAACUAGCAUCAUCUACGCCACAUUUUUUUUCCUGAUCCGGAUCCACAGGCAACAGUUCAUGAUGCCCAGUUUAUUGAAACAAAUUCUGAUUGCUGACUAUACGCUGUGCAGUGCAAUCCGCAAAUGGGGAGCUUGAAACUAUGAUGAAGGGCGUGACCCAUGGGGCAUGUGACUACUUGGUGAAACCAGUGAGCCUCAAAGACAUCCAGAACAUAUGGCAACAUGUGUGGAGGAAGAGAAAGCUUGACAUAAGGAACCACAAUGGCGGUUACAACGACGGCGGUGAGCUGGUUGGCGCGACGCGGACCAAGAGGAAGUACACAAGGAAGAUGAGAAAUGAUGGAGAUAAUUAUGGUGAGAACAAAGAGAACAUGGAUUCAACUCUGAAGAGACAAAGGGUUGUCUGGACACCUGAGCUGCACCGGGACUUUGUCAUUGCCGUCCAUGAGCUUGGAGUUGAUCGUAAGAGCUCAUGCAUCAUGUCUCAGUUAUCAAACAAUCUUUUUCUUUUUUUCAAUUUGUCUUAAGCAAUAAAUAUUUUGAUUAUGUGAAUGUAGGUGCUGUUCCAAGGAAGAUAUUGCGGAUGAUGAAAGUGGACUACAUGACCAGAGAGAAUAUUGCAAGUCAUCUUCAGGUUUAUAUCUACACUUAUGUUUAAUUUCUAUGUUUCUAUAAUUAAAGAUAUUUGGAUUACUCUUUUCUGAUCGAAAGUGUUCCAUACAUAAACCUUUCAUAUCUUCUUUUAAUGUGUGCACACAACUAGUAAUCAAUUUUUUUGUGAUUUUUUUAUUGUUUUCCAAUGAGUAUGGACACAUCUCAACCAUGUGUUUGCCUUUCUUGGUUUCAGAAGUAUCGGUUAUACCUGAAAAGGAUCAGCACUCAAACAGGCAUGGAUCCUGAUCAAUUUCCUGAAAAAUGGAAGUAUAUGAAUGAACUGGAUGCUCUGAAAAAUUACUGUGAAAAUGGGAGAUACCGUCUAACCCCAGCCAUUGCCUCCUCAAGCUCGAGCAAUCCAUUUGCAAGGAUGAAUUCUGCAUCUGCAUUGGCAACAAAUGGCUUUCUGCCCACUCACUCAGUUCAGCUCAAGAACAGCCAGAGAAACAUGGCCAUGGGGACAGUUGGCCAUGGUGGAAGCCCGGGCAACAAUCCUGUGUUUCAGCCACUGCAGAACUCAUCAAAUGCAAGAAAGUGCUUCCCAUCUGGCCCAUCUGGGAGCUCAUUUGCAAACAUAUCAAAUGGCUUGGUGUUGGAUACAGACGAUUCUGGUAGCUCAUAUGCUGGCAUGUUCUGUAAGAGUAUGUGGGAGACAAGCAAUGGCUCUCCAUCUUGCCAUUCUGGCAACUCGUCUGCAAACAAGUCAAAUAAUGGGGUUUCGGCGCCUGCAAAUCAGUUUCAAGUACAGUCAAAGUUUGGGUUUUCAGCUCUUGCAAAUCAGUUUCCAGUGCAGUCAAAUUGUGGGUUUUCGGCGCCUGCAAAUCAGUAUCAAGUGCAGUCAAAUGGUGGGUUUUCGGUGCCUGCAAACCAGUUUCCAGUGCAGUCAAAUGGUGAGUUUUUGGCGCCAACAAAUCAGUUUCCAGUGCAGUACCCUGAAGUGAAUAAUCAGCCUUUGGUUCAGAUGAAUCAAUCUUCUACAAACCACUUCAGCACAAUUGGCAAUGAUUACCAAUUUCCGGACCUUGCAAACUGUAGCAAAUACUGGCAACCUACAGCACCAUCGAUGUUUCCUGAUCUUGGUCACAAUGAUGGGACAUCUUUCCGCCCGUCGCAGGCGAACAUCGCCAAUAUCAACCAGCUCUCAAGCUUUGCAGCCUCCAGUGGCCAGGAACCGAUGUUUGGAGAUGAACUACAUGGUCAAAUGUCACCAAUCAUGAGCACCAUAUCACUGUCAGAUUUCGAUGAUCAGAUGGGGUCAUUCAACAUAGGAAACGACACAAGCCCAGCAGAGAUGAUGCAUGACAACUUCUCACUUGGUAGUGACUCGAACAUCAGUUCUUCAACACCAACUGAUUCAAGCUUCGGUUCUACAUUUCCUGACUUUCAUCUCGACAGCCCUGAGAUGCCGGCUCAGAUGCUGAAUGGUGGGGAUGAAGAUGGCAUUCUUCUCCCUGUGCUCGAUGACACAGUUGAUCAGCAAGAUCUUUUUGAUCAACUAGAUGAAAACAAUGGUAGGGAAAAACUUGGUAGUGGCCGAUGUGUUAGGAAGGGUCCCUUUGAAUGUUUCUUUUAGAAGAGCAAUUGUAGGGAAAAACUUGGAAGAUUGGCUUGAAAUUGUUUCAAAGGUGGUGAGUGUCAAUUUGAAUGAUAAGCAAGACCAAUUCUUUUGCAAGAGCAAUAAAAAAGGGUUGUUUUAUGUUAACUCCAUGUAUAAAGCCCUUAUGCUUAAUGGUGUAAUACAUAGGAAAUCUUUAAUUUGGAAGCUAAGGAUUCCUUUAAAAAUUAAAAUUUUCCUUUGGUAUAUUGAAAAGGGGGUGAUUCUAACAAAAGAUAAUCUUGUUAAAAGAAGAUGGAAGGGUAGCUUGCUUUGUAGCUUUUGUAACUCUAAUGAGUCAAUUCAACAUCUCUUCUUUGAUUGCAUAAUGGCUAGAUACAUUUGGAAUGCGAUCUAUCUUACUUUUGGAGUCAAGCAACCCCGUAAUAGUUCACACUUGUUUGGAAAUUGGUUAAGAGGUUUUGAACCUAAGCUUAAAAGACAAACUUGGGUAGGCAUAGCGGCGAGUUGUUGGGCUUUGUGGCUCAGUAGAAAUGACUUAGUCUUUAAUGGCUACAACCACGUAUCUUUUUUGUAGGUAAUUUUCAAAGCAACUCAGUUGUCAAGGCUUUGGUCUUUGCUUCUUAAAGAAGACGAAGGCAUUGAAGUAAUCGCGAAGUGCAAGCUUUUAGAGAAGCGUAUGAUGGAGCUCUUCUCUACUUUUGGGUGGAACUUUAGAAGAAGGAUUGAAGCUUAGCUUUUAGUUCCUCUUGCUUGUUAUCCAUCUUUAAAACUUAUUUAUGCUUUACCCAUGUAACGGGAGAGUCUUAUGUACUCGUGUUUGUGACUUUUAGGCUGUGUACACCCUCACAAGGUGUAGAGGCCGGGUUUUUUAUAAUCCAUUAUCUAAAAAAAAAGAUGAAAACAAUGGUUUCAUCACAGGAACAAAUGGUCCAGAAGGGACAGACACCUUGGAUGACAUUGUUGCUGAGCUGUUUAAUGAUGUAAGAUACUCUCCUUUUUCCUGCAGAUCGGCAGCUCGUUUUAUUCUUCUUUUCUCUCUGGUUUCGAUUUUUCUUCACAUACCUGUAGCCAGUAUUCACUACACUGCUUGAUUCAUACCGUUGGUUCAUGCUUAUAAUAUUGAAACAUUGGGCAUCUUUGAAGUAUAUUUCGUUUCGGCUUGCACUUUACACUUGGAAUUCGCUGAGAAGUGCAUCUGAAUGGAACUUAUUUUCUCACUGCAGGAUUUCAUGGAAGGUUAUGAUGCUGUCGUAGAUGGAGACCAGGAUUUUGUUCCUUAGUCCUGACUAUGUGAGAUAUGUUCUGUAUCUGCAUAGGCUAGCUGCUGAUUUAAUCCAUGGCUGUUGCACAUUGUGUGUGCAAAAUUGUGCCAAUUGUAAUAGGCUAGUUAGAAGCAGGUCAUCUUCAGAAAAAGCCCCAUUUCCAUCUAGAGUAGUCAGCUCAACAAAAGAUUUUAGCUUCGUCGUGGUUUUUGAGAUCAUAAAAAAACACAUUGAAGUUUUGUCAGGUUGAACGUGUUCUGAUUGAUGUGUUAGAUGGUUAAAUGGAAUAAUUUUCAUGAAUUAUUCGAAAUGGUGCGCUUUAUCCAGUUUUUAUCUGGCAAUACUUUUUUUUUUUCGGGAAUACAUCUGGCAAUACUGUUCCUUUCUUAGAAUUAUAGAGAUAACGCUUGUUUUACAUGCAUGACCAUUUACUGUGCAGAUAUAGAACCAAUUAUUUACUGGGAGAUAAAUGGAACCAUGGAAUAUUUGGGUGUCACAAUUUCUGAUUCUGACUGGGUGUAAGUGGGUAAGCCGCGAACCCACUUAUAGGUCAAAAUAAACGAGUUUGUGGCUUAUUUUGGCCUAUAAGUGGGUUUCGCGGGUUAGCCGCUUACAACCUUUCUGAGUGACUUAUUGAGUUUCCACUGUAUGUUACCUUAAUUUAAUUUUCUGUCUAACAGCCUGCAAGAAAGAAAAAUUCCUUUUCCUUAUUUUUUCCAUGUAGCCAAAAACAGUUGAUUACUGUGUAGACAGUCUCAUGUUUCGAUUGUCUGUCGCAGUAACUGCAUCUUCUCAUUUUGAUAUCUGUGCAAGGUCCUCGUUGUACUGAUCUAUCCAUCCCUGUAUGAUCUUAACUUCUUGUCUUCGUUGUUCUACAACCCAAUCUGGAUCAUCUUUAGUUGCUGAUCUGAAGUCCAAAUGAUGAGCUCCUGUACAAAUGGUAUCAGCAUAAGUCUGUCUGAAAAUAUUUUGACUUUACACGUUAUCUUCAGAAUCUUGUUUACCUUUCUCCGUGACAAGGGCAAUGAUACUAGAUGAUAUGUUCUUGAGCACCCUGAUUGCAAAGCAGUAGGGAGGGAUAAAUACAUUAUGGUUUGCUACAGCUGAAAAGUUUAUCUGAAUUACUGAAACUUAUAACAUGAAUGAUCAAAUGGUGAAAUCUUUCAGGCAUACCCGCCACGGCUCCAUGGGUCUCGCAUUCCGUUGGAGAAGAUGAUGUUGCUCCCAAACCUCUUGAGCACCAGGUCAAUUCUCUGUAUCAAAAUGUGGAAUGCAACACCAGGUGAAACACUUCGAAAACCUAUCAAUGUUGCUACUACCUGUUCAUAUCUGAAACUGCAAACCUGAAACAACACUCACAUUUCCACCAUAUUCAGUGGUGAUCCAGUGUGGUCUCGGACGAACACCGUAGCUCUGGAAACAGUCAUCAGAUUUCCCCUCAUAAGUGAAGGUGAAUGGAGGGAACAUGCUCUCGUUCGAUAUCGUCAUCGGCAUGACCAUUUCUGUGCAGGCCUGCAAGAGAAGUUGCUUCAGAAAACACAACUAGUAUCUAUCUCAGUAUUGUCAGUGGCAUUGUAUCAAUCACCUGCCAUCCCCAACCACUGAGGCCAUGGGGGUCUUCUCCAUCCUCUAACUGGAAGCAUGUUUGAUCUCCUGUGUAAUUGUAGUACAGACUCGCCGCUGCGAAAGCUUUGUCAACGAUGUCUGCUCCUGCAGGGAAGCCGUGGAUGAUCUUGCACAUCUGUAGAAAUUUCAUGAGAAAUUUACUGAGAACUGAAAUUCCCUGGGAAUUAUAUGUUCAGUGAGACAGAAGAACAGGCAUGGUUUCUGCUCAGCUCAGUUUGGUGUUUCUGACACAAUCUUGGUUAUGCAUUUGGUUGAAAUGUAGAGAGGAGAUUUGGACAUUGUUUGCAGAACAUAGGUAGAGAUGGCAACCUCCUUGAUAGGAUAGGCAGGCAGAUUCAUCAGGAAAUUGGCCGGGGUUGGAUAGUCCACCAUGGCUGUGUACACAAAUGCUGUCCAUAGCCAGUUUCUGAACGAGUAAACCGAUUUCACAGUCCUAAAAUUUGAGGGAGGAAAAAGGCAAUAUUGUGAACUCAGGUUAGUGUAAAUCCAAUCAAUGUCAUUCUUCAUCUAUUCAGAAGUUGGGAAGAUGACCUUUAAUCAAAGAAUGAUCAUGGCUGUCAUAUAUAUAACUGAUAAGGUCUAUGUCAUUUUUUUACAUAAACCUGUUCUGUCUGGUAUCUUAUCUAUCAAUAUAUUAGGCAAUCCUUAUUGCCUUCUUAAAAAUGGAUAAGUUUUAUGCCACCUGUAAAUUUAUAUAGUUUCUUACACAUCACGACAAUGAAGCAUAAUUACUUGAAUUUGUGUGUGUAUAUUAUCCUUUUCUGAAUCUGCAUGCUAUUUUUCUUUUCUUGGUAUUGUUUGGUUGAUCACUUGCACUGCACACAUCUGGAAUAUAAUAAUUACAAUGAUCUCAAUUUUCUGUUUUCCUUUAUAUCUAAUAAGACUAUAAGACGUGGAUAAAAUUUUGGAUAUUCGUGGCACGUUUUUCAAACUACUAAAUGGUGCGUUUCGUGCGAAAACUUUCUAUAUGAAAGUUGCUCUAAAAUAUCAUAUUAAUCUAUUUUUUAAGUUUGUAGUAAUUAAAACUCAAUUAAUCAUAUGUUAAUACCACCUCGUUUUACGUAAAACACUUAAUCUUAUUUUUCAUCUUUAUCUUUAGGAGAAAAGAACACCACCUAGGUAGUGUAUUAAACCAGCAAUAAACUUACUUGCAGGCUCUGAAGGUUUUGCUGAGCUGUAAGAGCCCUGCAUCAGUGGAUCCCCUCUCAUCUAUCAAAUCCCAAGCUGCCUUGAUAACACUGAAGCAAUUGAAGCUUUCAGACUGCAAUAUCAGUUGCAAGUUAUAGUCAGUUUACAAAAAGAUUAAUCGAUGGUCAGUCACACAAAGAUGCCAAAUCUUACUCGGAAAAAAAAUAGAUCUGGUAAAAAAAAGAGUAAACAGCUCAGUCAAGUGGUUGCUUCUAUGAAAUACAUUUUUGACAAAUCGAAGAGAAGAUUUAUAGCCAGUCGCCAAGAAAGCGACUUUAAGGUCCUGUUCUUAAUGUCCGUAUCCGUGGAUUAUUUGUGGAUUAUUCAUACCACACUUUCAAAAGUACGAUUUCUCGACAAACUUUCUAAUAGAUCACUCAUCAGCCCUCUCCACAUUUCAUUGGGCAUUUGGGCCCUUAAAAAGCAGCAACCAUGUCUGUACUCUUGAUAAGCCUAUGGCGUGGUCACUCAAGCGUCGCAAUCUAGCUAAUUAAACAGUAUAAUCACAAUCAGCCAUGCAGGUUGCAUGGUCUUCAGGGCCUUGUCUACCUGAAUCAGGUUGCCAUUUCAAUCCAGCAUUUAAGCUGAAUGUACAUGAACAGUGCAGAGGCUAAUAGUCCAUCAUAACAAAUCCAUCAACUACUAACUAACUAUACCGGCAAAUGCUCAAUGAUCAUUCAUCAUUGGACUUGUAGUGUAGGCAAUCAGCUGCAGGAGGAGACAUGGCUGCCAUGCUUACCAACUUCAAGCCAACACGUACUGUCAGUUACAGUAGAUGUACUGCAUGCUGUGACUGACAGGUCAAAAGAUGACGAUUUUUACUGUACGUGACAACGGUCCAGUGACAAUGACAGUGGGCCACACCUAGAUAUUUUUCUUUCGUCAGAUUUCCAGACAAACUGGCACCGGUCGGUCAGUAGUUGACUUUCAACAUCUAAUGCACAAUUUCCUUAAACAGUUCUAUGAAAUUAUGCAUCCCAAAAUAAACCUGUCCUUGAACAUAAAUAUUAAUUUUGGUUACAAAACGCAUAACUAGUUUUCAUUAGUAAGAUUUGAUUUGGUUAAAAAAAAUACCGAUACCUCACAGUGCCAAAUCGUUUUCAAUCAUUGGAUCUAGCUGGGCAGGAUUGACAUUGUUAGAUUCAACGAUCGAAAAUGAUUUGAUACUGUGAGGUACCAGUACCUCGAGGUAUUUUUUUGUUGGACCGGAGCAAAUAUCAUCAUUAGUACCUUGUAAUCUUGCGAGACGGCCUCGUAGAAGCUGCUCCAUGGAGUUAUGUAGUCGAACUGCAGGAUCGGAGCAGAGGACGCGACGGCGCCAAUGGUGACAUGGGGAUACUUUAGCCUGAACCAUGAAGCCAACACUGCAAACAACAAGCAAAACAACAAAAAAAAAAGGAUUAGUUCAUCCUAAUCUCGCUAAUCCUAAUACGAACAAAACCCCACGACGGCCAAUGUCAGACACGCAGUACAACAAUUAUGGUAACUUUAUGAAUCAUCCGUGUGUUUAUAAUCUAAGAGAUCCAGAUCCACGCCGCAACGAACAAAACAAAAAACACAUGACACAUGCUAAGUUCCUUAAUAGUAACUUUUAACUAUGCAUGUAAAUACAAAGCCUCGUCGUUCCGUUUAUGCUUAUACUUACUUGUAAGUCUAAAUUUAAAUUUUAAAACUUAAUUUUAAGUUAAUUUCGUGGUUUUCCAUCAGAAUUUAUUUUACAACAUUUUAUCUUGAAUCGUGCUAAGGACACGUGUAAAAAUGUUUUAUCCAUAAAUUAUUGUUUUUACUAAUAAAUCGUUUGGAUAAGCAAAUUAGUAGCGGAAAUAAUGGGACUGACAUUUUUUUUAAAUUCAUUUUUAGAAAUAAUGGAACUCACAUUUGUUUAGAUUUAUAAUUAGAAAUAAUGGGACUCACAUUCGUUUAGAUUCAUUGUCAGAGAUUGUUAUAUUAUGAGGAAUGGGACUCACAUUUGUUUAGAUUCAUUUUCACAUUUGUUUAGAUUUAUUUUUAGAAACAAUAGAAUUCACAUUUGUUUAGAUUUAUAGUUAGAAAUUGUUAUAUUCUGAGGAACAUCUAUUAUGAGACGUAAUAGUUAAUUAAUUACAAUGAGAUUUGGAUCAAACAUUUUCUCUAAAAAGAAAUUAGAACAAACAUUUUUUAAAAGGAAAUUAUGAGCAUGUUGAGGAUUGAACGUGAGGCAUUAGAAUUGAAACCACACACCAAUUACCACUGCACUGAUAGUGCAUCUCAAUACGUAAUAGUUAAUUUAAUUAUUGGUGACUUACUGCCGCCGUAGGAGCCACCGAAGACGACGACGGGGGAGGAGACGGCGGAGAGGUUGUGCUUGAGGCUGGUGAUGAGGACGGCGAAGUCGGCGAGCGCUUGCGUCGACGUCAGGUACCCCAGCUUCUCCGGCGAGCUGUUCGACUCGUUGCCGAACGGCUUCGACUCCCCGUAGAAUCGAUGCUGCUUGCUCAAAUCAUGCUCAUCAACCGUAAGUACGGUGUUAAUUCAGUGUGAUUAGUGAUGUGUGAUUGCUUGCCUCGAUGAAGACGAGCAGGGCGCCGAAGCUGGGCGCGAUGUCGAACAUGAAGCCGGUGUUGGUGGCGAACCACUCGAUGUCGCCCUCGUUGCCGGUGUACACGAAUAUCGGCCCGGCCGGCGUCUCGCCGGCGGCGGCGCUCCGCCGCCAGAAGGUGUCGUUGACGAGGUACUUCUGGUAGAAGACGGCCGACGCGUUGGGCGUGAAGGUGAAGUGGUCCAGCUCCUGCGGGAAGUAGUGCGCCGUGAACGGCUUCGCCGCCGCCGCUGUGCCGUUCCCUCCGGCCGCCGCCGCCGCCGCGGCGACGACAUACCUGCUGCCGCCGGCGGAGCUCGCCGGCCGCCGCUGCUGCAGAGCUUGCAGCUGCAGGGGAGGGACUCCGGGGAAGACGGGGCUAGCUGCAGCUGCUGCAGAGGGGGCUGCGACGAGGAGGAGGAGGAGAGCUGCUGCUAUGGCGGCGAGAGGGUGGAGUGGCGAGGCGGGUGCCGCCAUUUUUGCAGCUCGUCCGUCUCACUCGCUCGUGUGGGGGUUUAUUAAAGGAGCAGAGAUGCUCUGCCAUGUCGGGCCCACAUGUCGGUGCCCCAAACGGCAGGUAAGACGUCGGAGUAUGGUAGUACGUAUUUUGUGGAAUCUGUGUCCGGCCUUGCAUAUAUUGCAUGCAAAUCGUUCUGAUGCUUUCGUGAGUUUUAUCCUUAAAAAAAAAGGCGAAUACUAGGAAAUAACUUAAUAUCAAAUAAUUAGAAGGGGUGAUACUUCGAACCCAGAUCGUCUAGCCCACCACCUUAUGAAGUUAGCCGAAAAAUUCUUAUGUGUUUCUCCUUCCGAUUUGAACAAGAAUAUAUACUAAAGAUUAAUUGUCAUUUAAAUUGACGGACUUUGGGUCCAACGACUUUGGAUCAUAGCGUGUUACGUCUGAGCUCUAGGAUAUUGUCAUUUGGUUUGUGGUCUUGUGGACAAUAUCGUAGCCUCGUAGGAGACUCGGCUAUUACAACAUGUAUCAGCAAUACAAUGUGUCCCUGCAUCAAAAGAUACAGCUACCUCUAGCAUUUAAAUUUGUUCAAAAUAUGACUAUUUUUUCUUAUUAAUUUCAACUGAUCACAACAAUCGCCAAUUAAUUUCUUCAUCAUUUUCUUAUCUCAACCAAUUACAACCAUUCGCCACAUCACUUUACCUACUUUAUUAAUCUUCGUGCUUGCAUAGUUUCAAAGGUAGGAGUAACUAUAUUCUGGGAUGGACAGAGAAAAUGAGAGAAUGUUUAUGGUAGUUGAUCUUAAACGCAUUUGCUCCUAAGCCUCUUUUGGAAUGCAAGGAAACUCAGACACAAAACAUGGAUAAAAUUACAGAAAAUAAACUAAUCUAUAUAGCAUACUAUAAAAAUUCUUACAUUUUAAAAAGAGCACCUAAGAUCGAAAGGCUGAAAAUUAUUUCGAGGCAUGGAACCCCAUUUGCCUUUAUUAAAGAAACACGCUCUCUACUAGUACACAAGUCCGGAUAUCGUCCACACACAAGGUGCCGAUGCAGACCGGCUGCAUCAUUCCUAACGCAACCGGACGCUCUAGAGUCUAGAAACAAUCAACAAGAGAGAAAAUUGGCUUCUAGAGUGACAUGGACAGAUUGUUUGCCUGUUGAAGCUUGCACAUGUGGAUUACCUCGAGGAUAAUCCCCCGAAAUGUGGGGAAAAUAAAGUAAUUAAAUGGUCUCUCUCUCUCUCUCUCUCUCUCUCUCUCUCUCUCAAAUGACAAAAUGAUCUCUUUUGUGUAUAUAUCAUUAUCCUAAGCAAAUCCAGUUGAUCAUAUUCAGUCAUGGGUCCAUUCAUGUUGUCCAAUCCAAAUCAGCUGCAAAGCUAGGCUAAGCAUCACGCGUCAAAGGCGUUUGGAAUAUUUCAUCCAAUGCGUGUAGUGUGUGGAAACAUAGGAAUUAUAAUGGUAUUGGGCUGAUUGAUUGCUUGCACAAGGCUCAUCUUGCCUCUUAUACGUAGUAGAUGCAGUGUCUUUUCAAAAAAGCUUUUUUUCUUUCUUUGUUUGAUGGAAAAGCGUUUGCAGGUUAUCAGUGGAGUGAGCCAGAAUGACCUCACGAGUUUGUUUGAUGAAAAAUGUUCCAUUUGUCUCGUAUGUGGUCAAAAGGAACAUGUAAAUUCCUGCUUAAAUUGGACCCUUUUCAUGUACUAAAUAAAAUACAUGCAUUCGAAAACUUGCAAUUCUCCUGUAGAGAUCAGAUAGAGACAUCUCAGUGCAAUCAAGCAUCUUAGUGACAGGAAUCUGCCGACGGGGCAGGCUGAUGAGGGUAUUGUUUGAGCCCAUCAUGUGGCCGUGGACUAGUUGGGCUUUGUUUGGGCCCACAACUGGUGUCAAUGAUCCCAAGAUUUGACCUUCAGCUGCAAAAAGGAGACAGCUCAGAGCUCCAUCAUAGCGGCAAUCUACGUUGCCAUGAACUUCUGCACGGCUAAAUGUUUUGCCCUUUCCCUACUCUCCCGUGCUCUAGCGUCAGCUUCAGAAACAAAAUCUACUGCCAAGUAAACGUAACAAAUGCACCUCAAUUGAUUAGGUUUUCUACGAUGAAAAACAACCCAUCCAAGUUUAAAUUCUAAACUUGACAUAAAUGCAUGCUCAUAUUUAUGAUUAGUUAAUUUUUUUCAAAGGUAAACAAUAUACCUGUUAGUAGCGAGACAUCCAUAGUGGCAUCGUCAAUCUUUCAAACUAGUCUUUCGAAGGUGUUUAUAAGAGUAAGAAUAUGCAUAUUUAUUUAUAAGGAUGAGUAUGCGUGCAUUGUGAGCGGUUGCAUUUAUAUUGUGUUUCUCAUAAAAAGGAACAAAAUUUACCCACAUCCCAAUGAGCGAGCGUGGUAACUUAUCAAUCUCAAUAUAUAUCGGACCAAUCUUAUGAAGAUGCUAACUUAGGAUGGGACAUUUAAGAACCUAGGAUGGGAGGUUCUUAUAUUUUGGGACGGAGGGAGUAUUUAUUAAGAUAAGUGCGAUUCGUUAUGAACAAUUGUAUUUAUACCAUGUUUCUUACUAACUCCGUCCCAAAAUAAGUGCAGUCAUGGAUAUCCGUGCCCAACGUUUGAUCGUCCGUCUUAUUUGAAAAAAAUUUGAAAAUAUUUAGUCAUACAUAGAGUACUAUUCACGUUUUAUCAUCUAAUAGCAAUAAAAAUACUAAUCAUAAAAAAUUCAAAUAAAACGAACAGUCAAACGUUGAACGUGAAUAGUGCAAAACUGCACUUAUUUUGGGACGGAGGGAAUAAAAAAUCUACUAACGUCCCAAGGAACGAGCGUAGACGGUGACAACUCGCACGUCAUUAGUUGCAACCGUACAUCAUUCCCGUGCUACAGGGCGCCCCUUGAUCAGUCGUGUCAGAACACUCUGCUGCAAACGGUCAAAAGAAGCAGGUUACCACCAUGUCCACUAGUGAUGGUUACCACCAAAAUCUACCCAGUUGACGAACGCACAGACAGUGUCAGUCAUCACAAGGCAACAAGAUACUCAAACUGACCUUGCAAAAAGCUCAGUGAUUUUUCAAUCACUCGCUGCGGUCCUGCACAAGAUCUGGAAAUCUAGGCGUCGGAGAGUCCCCAACUGAUCAUGUGAGUGCAUGAAAGCACUAAGCAGACAAUGCUGUGCCACAGCAGUGGCUUGUACAAUGCAGCAGUACAGCAGAAUAGUUGAUCAAAUGAGUGCAAUAGUGGAUCAAAUGAGUGAUGCACUUUUACCGAUAAACACUGAAGGAAUAUGAUAGCGAUAAGAUAACAGAUCCACUAUAUAGUGUCACCCAUGAAAGAGUUGAAACCCUAUAAUCAGUUCCACAGUAAACUCCAACAAGUGCACGGAUUUAGCAGCAAAGAUCAAAUAGGCUUUUCACUCUUAAGGCAAAUAUGAAGGGUAGAGCUAUCAGAUUAAUAUACAAGGCACGUCAGAUCACUAUUACAUCACAAAUAUUGCAUUGGCAAAUAGUUCACUGCCAAAACCAUAAUGCCGGUUGUUGGGAGAAGACAACAACAAUAAAACAAAACAAGAAAAAAAGUGCUGGUAAAGGCCGAAGAUAAAUAAUACAUAAAAGGAAGGCUUAUUUUGUUCUUUGGAACUAUGUAUAUACAAGAUGGUGGCCUUGUUUGUAACCUGUCUAAGUAGGGAAAUCAGCACAGACAUGUGACAAUGCUCAAAGCAUUUUAUCCCGUGAUAAUUAUUAUGAGGAUUUAGAUGGUUGGUACCUCCAAUUUGCAUGAAUCCUUUCUGUUCGAAGUCUGCCAGGAAAACAAAACAAUGCGAUGUGUAUGUAUAAUAAGCGUCAAUACAAAUACAGAGAAUAAAAGAAACUAAAACUUGCAAACUAUCAAAAUAAGAGGGGAGAUUUUUGCCUUUCGCCACGGACUUGUUACAUCAUCUCAUACAUGCCACUUGAUUGGGUCAGCGCAACAUGUAAGUGCAAAUUCAGUGGCAUAAAUGAAAGUAAAAAUGUGUUUUAUGAAUCCGAAAAAAUCAGUUCUAUACAAUUAUUAGCUUCUCAGCAAACAGAAAAAUACCAGACAUGGAUCUAUACAGAUACAAUACAACCAUAAGAAACUAAGGACUGUUUUGGGCAAAACAUGGUUGAAAACAAAGAAAAUGUACUAGAAUGGCUCAGGUUAACCCAAACUGUCAAUUCCCAACAGUUACAAAUGCCCACGGUUCUGGCAACAUGUACAUACUACCUCCGUCCCUCAGUACAUGAACAAAUGAGUAGAAUCAUUUAACAUGUACUAACAAGAAAUAGCUGCAACCGGUAACUUGCUGGGGAGCAAGGCCUCCUAGUAUGACAGCCGAUUGAACAUAUUACCAAGGAACCAAGGAGAUGCCAAAUGAUCUCCAAGGGGCAGUCAAAUCAUCACAGCCACCAGUUCCAAAUGCCUGUGUGGUUACAACCGUAAGAAACUAAGGACUGUUUUGAGUAAAACAUGGUUGAAAACAAAGGAAAUGUACUUGAAUGGCUCAGAUUAACAACUGUCAAUUCCAAACAGUUACAAAUGCCCUUGGUUCUGGCAACAUGUAACUACUCCCUCCAUCCCAGUGUACAUGAACAAAUGAGUAGAAUCAUUCAUUAUAGCAUGUACUGACAAGAAAUAGCUGCAACUGGUAACUUGCUGGGGAGCAAGGCCUCCUAGCAUGACAGCUAAUUGAACAUAUUACCAAGGAACCGAGAAGAUGCCAAAUGAUCUCCAAUGGGCAGCCAAAUCAUCAUAGCCAUUCAAGAAAUAAAAAAAUAACAAACAAUGAAAUAUGCAUCCACAGAAGUAUGCUGUGAAAGUAUGAAACAACAAAAAGAAAGAUCACGCUAAAGCUAACUGAAUAAACAGUUAACAUUCCUUUAUUAGUGUUACAUUACUUAAUUUUAGAAAAAAGAAACAAUUAAGCUCCUAUGAGCAAGUAUUGUCAUCACCGUGCAGUAAGCAAGUUAGACUACAAGUAUUGCCCUGGUACCAUAACAUCCCCCCAUUUAUGAUUUAUUCAUUCUGGGAAGACUUCGUGCUCAUUAAAGUGCCUGCUGGUAAAAAAGUAAGAACUAAAAUACCAUUGAGCUGAUUACCAACAGGAUAUUGCAAUGGGUAAAAAGUAGCAAACUGCCAUCGCGAGACAUGCUUGCUAAUUUGCCAGAGCACUGUAAAAUGUCGGUUGUGGGAGAAGAUAACACGAAUAAAACAAAAGGAAAUAAGUUGCGCUGAAGUGCUGAUAAAGACUGAAGAUAAAUAAUACACAAAGACGACUAUUUUUUGGUCGGUAGGGAUAUCAGCACAGGCAUGUGACAAUGCUCAAUGCACCCAUUGGAAAUUAGUAUUGAGAAUUCAAACGGUUGGUACCUCCAAUGGGUGAAUCCUUUCUGCUCUAAAUCUAGCCAGGAAAACAAAAUGAUGCAACGCGUUUGUGCAAAUUCCGUGGAAUACAGAAAAUAAAAUAAAUUUACAAACUCAAAUAUCAAAACAAGAGGGGAGAUUUUUUGCCUUUCGCCACUGGAUAAGAUCAAGGCAACGUGCAAGUGCGAAUUCAGUGGCAUACAUGAAAGGCAAAAUGAGAUUUAUGAAUCCAGACAACUCGGAUCCAUACAAGUACAACCAGGAAAACUAAAGACUGCUUUUGGGUAAAAUAAUGAUUGAAAAGAAAAGAAAUAUAUUUGAAUGGCUCAGAUUAACCUAAAUGGCAAUUCCAACAGUUCUGAAUGCCCGUGGUUCCGGCAACAUGUAAGUACUCCCUCCGUCCACUUUGUACAUGAACAAAAUGAUGAGUAGAAUCAUUCGUUAUAGCAUGUACUGAGAAGAAAUAGCUGCAACUGGUAACUUGCUGGGGAGCAAGGCCUCCUAGUAUCACAGCUAAUUGACAUAGGCAUGUCCUGUAGCAAAAUUUGCCUUGAACAUAUUACCAAGGAACCAAGAAGAUGCCGAAUGAUCUCCAAUGGGCAGCAAAAUCAUCACAGCCAUUCAAGAAAUUAAAAAUAACAACAUGGCAUUUUCUGACAUUUAAGGUGGUGUUUGAAUCUCCUGAAGAUGAAGGCUGUGUUUAGUUCACACUGAAGUUUGAAAGUUUGGUUUAAAUUGGAACGAUGUGACUGAAAAGUUGUGUGUAUAAAAGGUUUGAUGUGAUGGUAAGUUGGAAGUUUGGAAAAAAAACUUUGGAACUAAACAGGGCCAAAGAUAAAGAUUAAGUGUUUCACGCAAAACGAGGUGGUAAUAAAGUGAAAUACUAUGCCACUGCUUCAGAUAUCAAUGUUGCAUUUGCUGACAUUUAGUAGGUAUAUGCAGAAUGGAAUGACCCUUUCCAUGUGAAAAUCAAUCACCAAGAAAACCAGAUAGAACAAAACGGAAAUAUUAGGGAAGGACCUAAUAUCAAAUAAUUAUAAGGGGUGAGGCUUCGAACCCAGGUCGUCUAGCCCACCACCUUGUGGAGUUAGCCGGAAGACCCCUAGGCGUUUCUCCGGAUAGAUAGAACUGAACCCCAUAAAACCAUUCGUCCGUAUUACUCCAAAUCCCGUUGCAAAGCACGGGCAUAGCACUAGUGCAUGAAAAGAAAAAGGAACUGUAGCCAAUGCGAAGAAUACAAAUGCUUGAGGAACACAACUGCAUCGAGCACCUUCAUUGGGCUCAGCUUCGCCUUUGAUCAAUCAAAUAACCCAACCCCCACCAUCCCUUAUCACCAGACCUAUCAGUUCUAGCGGUAGUGGAGCUACCCUGGUUAUCAUUCGAAACGAAUGACCAUCCAAGGACAAAGCCACUGGCAUUAGCACAUGACUAGAAAGGCUCAAAGGGGGUAGAGGGAGGGUCCAAUUUAAUACCCACAGCAGCCUCAAUUGCUUGAAGGCAUGCUUAUUUCAGCCAAGGUCGAUCGUCAUCGCCCUCUGUGUUCAUUGCGGACCAUACGUAGUACCCUGCCACAAAUACAGCAUAUGCUGAUGCGAUCACCAACACUAAGAGCAAGUAUAAUAGUAUAGCCAGAUCUACAGCCUGAUUUUCUUCUUCUUCUUCUUCUCUCUCUCUCUCUCCUCCAAUUGUACCUGCUCUAACGAGCCAAGUCGGCUCAAGCUCACGACGACGACCAAAACCCCCAAGAGUCCACAGCCGAUCCGGACACCACCCUAGGUUCCAAUUGCCUUCACUGCACGGCGGCGGCUCACCUUAGAGAUGGGAAUCCGGACGCUGCGGCCUCUCGGCGGAUUGAUCGUCGGCAAGCUGUGGGAAGGAAUUCCUGCGAAACCCCUUUUAACAAUGGCAUAAUCUCCAAUUUCUCGUCGUCAGCAAGCAACUGCACUUGACAUUGGGUCGGUUAGGGUAUAAACACACAAGCACACAGCACACGGUGCGCCAUAGAGGCCGUGAGGGAGAAGGACGAGGAAGAGAGAUUGUGGUGGUGAUGACCGAAUCUCGAAAACGUGGCUAAAAACGAAAUCGAAAGAAAAUCCAUGGCGAGGCGGCUCAGAUCUCACCUUGGCCGACCCGCCCUCCCCUUACCGGAAGCCGCGGCAUCGCCUCCCCACCGCCCCCACGGUCCCCGAUCCCCCAACGCCGAUGCGCCCCGUGGCGGCGCGGACGGGGGGAGGGAUGGCCCCGCGAAGGCGGAGGGUUCCGACGCGCGCGGCCGCCGCUCGGGGAGACGCGUCCGCGCCAAGGGCCGGGGCCUCCUCAUCGCCGCCGGUGUUCCCGAGAUGGCCGCGGUCUCGAUCGGGUGGUGCGGUCAUCGGCCGCCGCGAGCAGGACGGACGGAGCGGCGAGGUCGAGUACUCGCCGUCGCCGGCGCCGCCGCUCGCGGUGGCCUCACACUUAAACUAAUGAUGAGUGAGCGGCGGUGGAGUCCGCGGCGGAGGGUUUUGUGUGGGGUUUCGGGAGGAAGACGAUGCGGUGACGUCAGCCCUGUCCACGCGUCGCGUCAGGAGGGCUGUGAGGAAUAGAUCCAACGGACAGGAUUAGCGCCGAUUACAGUGGAGGCAGCAGAUUGAGCCCGACUCGGUGGCAUAGAACCACGGGUGGAUUCAAGUUAAUGCAUUUUGGUUGAAAUUUAAGGAAAAUUGGUUGUGUGACAUUAAUAGAUGUCGAUUUCCAAAAAUAAACCAUCAAAAGAUUCCAAUACUUAGGGGGCAUGUACAACGGUCUUUAUUAGUGGUCUCUUUCUAUUGUCAUGCAAUUAAAUUCGAUGACGCUCUCUAUUGUCAUGCAAGUAGAUUCGAUGACAUAGAAGAAAGAUAAAGGAGUAUGACAUAGAAGAAAGAUAAAGGAGUAUGAUUGUUAUGCAUGACAACGGCUCAGAAUCGACUCUUAACAUUUAUUAGAGCAAAUUUUGUUGCAUGGUGAUGAAAGAAAGGAAAGAAGAGUAAGAAAAAGUAUUUUGAUACAUUAAUGAUUAGAGACCAUAUUAUCUCUAACUGUUGUAGGAUGCUAGUCUCUAGAUAACGUAGAGCUCAUUUCUGACUCUACCUUUGUAUAUGCCCUUAUUCCCAAAAACACUCAAUUGAAAUAUUACAAUAUUUAAAAAUAUACCACUUUAGAUGUUUUACACGUUUCCUACCAUGUGAGCAAGAAAGUGGUAGAUAGGGCACAAUCUCUUUCCCUCCCGCUCUCCACCUUACUCUUUCUCCCUCUAUCUCUCACCACCUAACAACACAAACAAGUGACGACAAGAGCCCUCCAACAAAGCCCCUUCUCCUUCCUCCAGCCUUCCUCCAGCGAACUCCAAUGAAAGAAAUGGUGCAGCAAUAAACUAAGCACCUUACUACCUCCAAUAACAUCAUUCCUCUAGCGGAUUCCCUUCGCCCUCUUUUGACGACGCCAGAUCUAGCUCUCAACUCCAAUACCUCCCUCUUCUGCUUCCACCGCCACCACCUAGCCUCGCCACCGCCAAAAAGUAUCAAUGUAUUGGCUUUGCCUUCUCCCUCUCUCCUUUGCCUCCCUUUGCCACCACCGCCAAUGUCGGCCCAUCGUCCGCUGCCGACCCUAUGCCUUCGAUAGCACCGCCACCUCCGCCUCGCCCCACCCUUAUCCGCAAGUCCAUCACCUCCAAAGCCAAUCUAAGCUCAGUCCCCACUUUCCCUCUCCAAUAGCUAGCCCUUCCCCUCUACCCCACCCUGUCCCGAGCUUAACAUCACGUGAUCAAAAACCACACGUGACAUAACCCUGGCACGCGUAUAAAUUAGGAUUCCUGUCUAUUCUGUGCCUCCACACCAUGAACUUUCUUUUGCCCUCGAGUAUUGCAUUGGGAAACGAGAGAAACCUGAAAAAUGUUAAGAGAAAUAGACAAUGAUAUAAUUUACAUGAUUAUAUCUUUUAGUGGUAUUUAAAUGUACAUAUUUCUAAAAUCGAUUUUUUUUGGUGUCAUCGAACUAAUUUUCCCUAAAAUGUAGAGUCCAUAUCUCUCAAAUGGCAGUGAACGAAUGAUAUCUCGAGUGGCAGUGAACGAUUUAAGUCAUUGUAGUGGAAUAUAUUUUGAGUUUCUUUAAAAAAAAGAAAGAAGAACACUCCGCAAGCUGCCGUGCUAGACUACAUAAAAGAACUGACUUUUAUAUCCUAGUUUAAUAUUAAUUAAAUGUGAUGACAUUGUAAAUCUUAUUACAAGAAAUUGGUCUAAACCGAACGCGCAUUGUUGUAUUUAACUUCAAAGUUCAUAAGAAUACUCCCGAUGACACCGUUGAUUUUUUCUUAUAUCUUUGACCAUUCGUCUUAUUUAAAAAUUUUAUGCAAAUAUAUAAGAUAUAAAUCAAGUACUAUGAGUGAUAAAACAACACAUAACAAAAUAAAUUAUAAUUACGUAAAUUUUUUGAAUAAGACGAAUGGUAAAACAUGUGAAAAAAAGUCAACGGCGUCACAGAGGUACACAGAGGUAGUACUACACCGAGUGCAUUUUGAUUAUUAUGCUUCCUCCAUUCUGAUAAUCACAAGCGCAAAGUAUUCCGUUGCGGACAAGUCAAGACAAUGUUAAAACGUUAAUUCCAUUGCACCAUCAUUAAAUCUAAGUUUGCUACAUAACGAGCAUAGAUUAUUGUUAAGUGAAAAUGAGAGAAGAGAUAGAAGUGCUAACUACAAAAAUUUCAAACUGUUGCAACUAAAACAAGAUAAUAAUGACAUAAAAAUUACAACCGUUCAUUCCAGCGUGCACCACUGGCAAUGCCUGCUGAUUUCAUCAUGUGGCAUUAGCAACAACAAUUUGUCAGAAAACUGGUUGCAUAUCAUGGAGCAAAACCUCCAAAUUUAGCCACAAAAUUCCCUCCCCAGAAAAAGAAACAAUUAGCCAAAGCUAACGAGGGACUAACAGAUGAUGUUGAAGUUACAUCCGUAAUAAGCUGAAGCCGAAGAUUCGCAAAGCAAUUCACACAAGUCGAUGGGUUCGUCCCUGGGGCCAUUACCAACAAACAUUUUGCCAAGACUUCGUGCUUAUUAAGGCGCCUGCUGGUAAAACUGUAAAGAACAAAUACCAUUGGGGCAAAGCAUGGAUGAAAACAAAGGAAAUGACUUGAAUGGCUCAGAUUAACCCGAUUGCCAAUUCCAAACAGUUUAAUGUGCCUGUGGCUCCGGCAAAAUGUAAAUACUCCCUCCGUCUCUCUGUACAUGAACAAAUGAGUAGAUUAGCAUGUACUAUCAAGAAAUGGCUGCAAGCCUGCAACUGGUACCUUGCUGGGCAGCAAGGCCUCCUAGUAUGACAGCUAACUGAACAUACUGCUAAUGAACCAACAAGAUAUUUAUUUUAGAUAAUGGAUUAAAACAUGGCCUCUACAUCCAAGACUGAUGUACAUGGCCAAGAACGAGAAGAUGUCAAAUCUUCAAGGGGUAGCCAAAUCAUCACAACCAUUCAAGAACUAAAGAAGUAACAAACAGCGAGAAGAUGUCAAAUCAUCUUCAAGGGGUAGCCAAAUCAUCACAGCCAUUCAAGAACUAAAGAAGUAACAAACAUCAAAAUAUGGAUGAACAGGAGUAUAUCCUUAAAGUAUGAAAGGACAAUAAUAAUGAUCACACUACAGCUAAGUUAAUAAAUAGUCAACAUUCCAUUCCUUAAGAAAAAAAGGAAUGAAUAAACUACAUAGAAAUGAAGAGAUAUUUAACUAUUUACAAGUGGCAAUUAAGGAUUUGCUACUGGAUCCACAAUGUCUGUCAUAGAUUGUGAGUAACAAAUUCUUAAUUGCCACAUCUUAAAAGUGGCAAAAAGUUAAAUGCCUCAGCAAAAGCAAAACUUGAAAGAGUUCCAACAUCUCGCAUAUGCUACUGUAUAUGAACAGGGCGACAUGCAAAUGACAACUGAGUGGCCUAAAUGGAAGUCAAAAUGAGAUCAACGAAUCUAAAAAAAAAUUGUUUGUAUAGUAAUAUUAAUUUCUCACCAAACAGAAACAAUACCAGAAUACCAGACUCAGAUCAUUACAAGCACAGCCAUAAGAAAGUAAGGAGGUAAAACAUGGUUGAAAACAAAGGAAAUAUACUUGAAUGGCUCAGAUUAGCCCAACUGUCAAUUCCCAAUUGUUACAAAUGCCUAUGGUUCUGGGCAACAUGUUGAUAGUACUCCCUCCGUAACUCCGUACAUGAACAAAUGAGUAGAAUCAUUCGUUACAUCAUGUACAGACAAGAAAUAGCUGCAACUGGUAACUUGCUGGGGAGCAAGGCCACCUAGUAUGACAGCUAGCUGAACAUAUUACCAAGGAACCAAGAAGAUACCAGAUGAUCUCGAGGGGGCAGCCAAAUCAUCACAGCCAUUCAAGAAAACCAGGCUAUCGAAAUCGCAAAAAAUCCAUUAGAAAAUUUAAUAGCAACUUUAAGUUAGGAUCAUGAUUAGGAAUCAUUUUGUCAUGCGAGCUAACCAAUAAAAUUUUAUUGAUGCAUCUAUAGUCUCGUGAGUCGACAAUGGGGAAUGGUUUUAGAAAAAUGAAGUUCUCUUUUAGAAUUCUGUUGUAACGCACGAGCAUUUAGCUAGUACUAUUAAACUUGCUCUAAGCAGAGUACAUACGUACUCAUGCAGUCAGAGAGAGGGAGAAGAGGAAUGGCAAUGUGCAACAAAAUGGCAACUAAAUAGUGAAAAAUCCAACAACGGCAGGUCAGAUUUCGCAUUGCUCGGUAAUCCCAGGCAGGAAGCCAAUGCGGAUAUAAUUGCAGAGUCCCCAACACCCACUGCCACAGGCACCACCGGCAUUUGUGGCUGCCAAAGUCGAUGGCCUCCACACCAAUGCUGCUCAGCGCACGCUAGGUGGCGGGUAAUGGCCCCGAGAAGCUGAAAUCUGAGGUGGCCACCGCUGCUCGGGAGAGGCACCCUAGCCAAACGGCCUCAUUCCUCAUCACCGUGGGGAAUUUAACUAUUUGCAACUCUUCAAAGAAGCCGCGGUUUUGAGCGAAUGUGAUCAUCACCAACUGCUAGAGGGAGAGAAUGGCUGAUGUAGCACUUCACCUCGCGGCUCGCUGAGCAUGGGAUUCAGUUGACCCCAAGUUUUUCGGGGAAUAAACUCUGUUAUUAGUAGAUCUAGAAGAGAAGAUAGGGUUAACGCAAAUUCGACAAAAUGUGCGGGUAGAGAGAGAGGGAUGAUAAAGAGGAAGUGUACUUGAAUGGCUCAGAUUAACCCGGCUGUCAAUUCCCAACAGUUACAAAUGCCUAUGGUUCCGGCAACAUGUAAUAGUACUCCAUCCGUCACUCUGCACAUGAACAAAUGAGUAGAAUCAUUCAUUAUAGCAUGUACUGACAAGAAACAGCUCAACCGGUAACUUGCUGGGGAGCAACCGAGCAAGGCCUCCUAGUAUGACAGCUAGCUGAACAUAUCACCAAGGAACCGAGAAGAUACCAAACGAUCUCCAAAGGGCACGCAAAUCAUCACAGCUAUUCAAGAAAUAAAAAAUAACAAACAACGAAAUUUGGAUGCACAGAAGUAUGUUCUGAAAGUAUGAAACAAUGAAAAUAAUGAUCACACUACAACUACCAAACAAACAAUUAACAUUCCUUGAGAUAAAAGUUAUGAAUAGACUACAUACAACGAAACAUACAAACUUGAAAACCAGGCUAUCACUCACAGGGCAACUGCAUAACAUAGUAAUUAAUCAAACCGAAGGAAGAUGCCACUGCUUUGGACCAUAGCAUCACACACACUUUAGUGUUCCAUAACAUAACUAAAUAUAAGCUAAGGUAGCAUCUACCUUGUGAACAAAAUUGAGUACCUGGUCACCGCCAUGGUGUCAUUUAUUAGGCAUAAGAACAGGAUAAUGAACAAAUUUGCAAAUAUAUGUGAGAAGAAAAGCAAUUCAGCACACCAGAAAUGUCUGCUCUAGAGAAAAGCAAAAAAUAAACAUGCAGAGGUACACAAACAGAAACUUGAAGAACCAACAAAAACAUGCUUCAAAUAGCAAGUUCCUGAAAUGAGCUCAAAUAAAUGAAUGGCAUAUGUGCACAAUUUUUUUCCUAAUCAAAAUAUACAAAAAUAAAAGGGCAAAAUCUUGAGAGCUACUGUUACGAUAGUAGUAGGUAGUAACUGGUUACUGACAGAAAUAAGUGAAAUGGGCAGUAAGAUUCAAUUAAAUAAAUGAAUGGAGUACUCAGAUUUUGCCUCUGGCCAUUCAAAUAAGCCAAAAUUGAAGAACCCAUGAAAUAACCUUGCCAACCCACACAAUAGCAAGUGCUGCUACAGAACUAAAGCACUCAACUCAACAAUCACCGCAAUGGAGUUCUGAUGUGCAUUUCCAGUAGCAUCUAAGAUCCAACCAUUUGUCUACUAUUCAAUCAACCAAAUAUGCUAUGGGGUAUUUCACUUUUCUUGCACCCAAUCUUCUGUCUGUAUGCAUGGAAAGGUAAAUUCUGAAAAUGGAAAGUCCCAGUGUUAGCUAAGAUCACAAAUAGGUAACAUAAUUCCUAACAUUUGAUAUCAUAAGAGGUAUAUCGGAUAAGUGAUGUGUUGUGGUUAUCCCAUUUCAGCUUCAUAUUCUGUCUCUUGACACUACACUACAUCAACCAACUUCCUAUCCUACAGAUAAAUAUAGGGGAUGCAAAAAGAGUUGAAAACUUUUAAUACUCCCUCCGUUUUCAAAUAAUUGUCACAAUUGACUUUCUCCAUCCAAACUCUAAUCGUAGAUGGGUCUUAUUAAUACAUAUACAAAGCCUUGUGAACAUACAAUUAAUAAAGUGCUAUUCUUAGAUAACGUAACUAAAUAUUUUCAAAAUUAUUAUUUGUGAAAGUUUGAAGGUGUCAAGCCAAUGGCAACAAUUAUUUGAAAACGGAUGGAGCAAUUAACAGUAACCAUACCAUUGUCAUCCCAUGCAACUUUCCGCGUUCAAAUGGCUGCCUGCAAAAUCAAACUAUCCGAUUUUCGGAGAGGGAGACUGGGAGGUAUGGGUGUACACCCCCACCACCCACGUCAAGUCGUCUUCAACUCUAUCCUAUCAUCAAAUGUUUCUUCCCUAUUAAAAUGAUACUAAGUUCUUCAUUGGCAUCCUUCAAUAAUUGAUAGUGUGUUGUGCACAGCAGCUUCAAAAUGAUAAAUCAGUUCGAUUGAUGUUCAUCCUGCUGAGUGUGCCUCUUAAUGAGUCAAAUUCAUCAUUUCCAGCAGAAGGGCAAGUAGGAAAAAGUAAUACAAAAAAGUGCUAAGAGAAUUGAUGAAUAUAUCCACUCCAGGUGAAAGCUGGGAGUUGGAGGACAAAACAACGGAAUAGGCUAGAAACAGAAAAAAAAGAAGCAAGCACAUGUUUAUAGAGGCUACAAAAAGGAUAGAUACUGCAGAUUAUGCUGAAUGUCCCCUGAAUAAAGUAAAAGUACAUGGUUAAAAACAAAGGAAAUGUACUUGAAUGGCUAAGAUUAACCAAACCAUCAAUUCCCAAACAGUUGCAAAUGCCUUCGUUCUGGCAACAUGUAUUUACUCCCUCCGUCCUCUCUAAAUCAACAAAUGAGUAGAAUCAUUCAUUAUAGCAUGUACAAACAACAAAUAGCUGCAACUGGUAACUUGCAGGGGAGCAAGGCCUCCUAGUGUGACAGCUAACUGAACAUAUUACCUAGUAACCAAGAAGACACCAAACGAUCUCCAAGGAGCAGGCAAAUCAUCAGAAACUAAAGAAAAGAACAACAAACAAUAAAAUAUGGUUGCACAAAAGUAUGUUGUGUUGUGGAAGUAUGAAAAAACAAGCUAACUGAACAAACAGUUAACAUUCCUUUACCUGAGAAAACUCAUGAAUAGACGACAUAGAAACAAAAUAUAGACUUGAAAACAAGGCUAGUACUCAUCACAGCAAAUGCAUAACAGAGUAUUUACAUCAAAUAGAAUACGAUGCAACUGCUUUGGUCCAUAACAUCACAAAUUGCAUUGUUCCAUGAAAUUAUUGAACAUCACAAAAUUGAGAACCAUGUCACUGGGCAUGGUGAAUUUACCAGGUAAAAGCUGAACGGAAUGCUGAACUAGUUUGCACAUAUAUGUGAAAAGUAAAGGAACUAUAGCCAACGUGUAAACUCUCACAUGCUUGAGGAACUUUCCCACACAUCCAGCAAGAAUGGAUGGCAAGCAUACCAAACCAAAUAAAAAAUUGCAACUGAUUCUGAAACAGGAAAAAACUAUCAUGCGGCAGCUCAGAUCUCACAUCGCUGCCUGAAAAAUCAACCCACCAAAAAAACCGCCACAUAUAUGACUGAACCCCAUAAAACCAUUCGUCCGUUUUCCUCUCAAUCCCGUUGCAAAGCACGGGCACAGCACUAGUAUUCCAAAUGUAUUGAGUUCACCUCCCUCUGCAUGAUCACAGAAUGAGAUUGUUCAUGAGAAAACCACCUCCACUGCCACCGCUAGCACGCAAUAUGGUAACUUGCUGCAAAGCAAGCCUCCUAGUUGGAGGCUAGCCGAUCAAUUGAACAAAGAACCAACUCAGGAGGUGUUAAUAGAUCUCCCAACACCAAAGGGCCAAAAAUUCAUCACAGCCGAGCAAUAAAAAAAAAGUAGUGUUUUUCUCAAAAUUAGUUUGGAACAAACAUUGCAAGCAACCAAAGAAACUGUUAGUCUUCACUUCUCUGUGAGCUGCCUUGGAAAAGGUUUAACAUCAUCAUCAUCAUUGCAUUCCGUCGGAACAAGUCCGGGUCCAUUGUAACAGGGAAGUGAAGAAGAAAAUGCUGGCAUAGAAACACAGUUCACAGAGAGAAAGUAACCAGGGCUCCUUUGGAACACAGGAUUUUCCCAGGAAUUAGUUCAACAACCAUGUAAAUCCUCCACUCUAUAGGAGGCCCAAGUAGGCUCAGAUUCGCCUUUACUCAGUCAUACAGACCCAACCGCCACAUAUCUUGCACCACAAUCUACGCAUCGUAAUGUAAGUGGAUUUGCCCUGGCUAUCAUUAACAGAAUGACCAUCCUAGUUGCAAGAACCACCUAACAUUAGUGAGUGGAUAGGUUGCCAGAGAUGAUAGGACCAGGUCCAAUUGACACCCACAGCUGCCUUGAUUGUUCAAUGGCAGGAUUGUCAGAAAAGGUUGAUCAUCAUUGCCCUUCUUCCACUAACCAUUUCAUGUUUCCAAAAUUCUAGACACAGAUGAUAAAACCAUACAUAUAUACUCCCACCGUUCCAAAAUACAAGCAGAAUAACUAAGUGCGUACGUACUGCCAACGAGAUCAGCUCGCAAGCUCUCUCUGCGGCGAGGAGAGUGAGGAAGAGGAGGAAUGGCAGUGUAGAGUAAAAUGGCGACCAAAUAGUUUAAAAUCCAUCAAUUGGGAAGGAAACUGACAAGGAAUAAGUUCACUUUAGGUCCCUCAACUAAUGUAAAUGGAUCUGCCCUGGUUAUCAUUUAUCGGAAUGACCAUCCUAGGCACAAGAACCACCUAACAUUAGCAGGUGAAUAGGUUACAGAAUGGCCAAUUUGGUUUACGGUUUGGAGUUUGCAUGUACUGAACUGUAACCAUACAUAUAUAUAUGCAUACAUACAUGCCCACAAGAUCAGACUCGUGAGCUUUCUCACGUGAGGUUGCACGGAGACGGAGGAGGGAGGGGAGAGAAGGGAUGGCAAUGUACACAUUCAUGACCAAAUUGUGAAAAAUCCAUCAAUGGCAGCUCAGAUUUCACGUUGCCCAACUAACCCGGAGGCAGAAAGCCAACGCGGAUACAGCCUCAACAGUCCCCACCCCUUCUGCCACAGGCACCUCAACAUCAGCGGCUGCCAAAGCGGUGGCCUCCAUGCCAAUAUGGAGCACCACAUGCGAAGCAUCAAGGAAUGGCUCUGAGAAAGCGGAGAUCAAAGUCAGCCACCACCGCUCACGAGAAGCACCGGAGCAAACAGCCUCCUUCCUCAUCGCCGCCAUUCCGAACACCCAACUUUUAGGGGGAACAAACUGUCUGUUACUCGUACUAAGGUUAAGGCCCAGAGAAAAGCUUCCAAACUUCCAGAUCUAGAAGAGAAGCUAAGCUUUAAGACAGAGAGAAAGGCGUGGGUAGAGAGGGAUUAGAAAGAGGAUGCACUACGGAUGCUCACCAGAGAGUAUGCGGCGGAAGCAGCAGGACAAUGGCACAGCAGCUCGCGGGAUGGAGAUGGGGGGACAGGGGUGCCAUGGAGCUCAGGCAGCAAGGGAGCCCCCAAUGGUUGACAGAUGUUCUCGCAGCGAUUUCCGGAAACAUACCAUGGCACUCCCAGCGUCAAGCCCAGGCAGACAACACCCCCCCCCCCCCCAUGAGGAGGUGCCUCCACCACACAAUGGUAGCAGCAGCAGCAACAACAACAAAGUAUAUACAUGUGUGUGUGUCUAUAUAUAUAUAUAUAUAUAUAUAUAUAUAUAUAUAUAUAUAUAUAUAUAUAUAUAUAUAUAUAUAUAUAUAUAUAAGAUCGUUACAGCAGCAGUAGCUGAAUGACGAGGAGAGCUCAAGCCAGCGGUAACAGCGAAACUUCACAAAAUCGAGAUUGAAAGUCCAAAAUAGCCAUUCAUCACUGACAGGAGCUCAGGCCUCAAGGUCCGAUGACCAAACCCUACCUGUCACCAUGGCACCGAUGCCACACCAGACAAUACCAACCUACGGUUCCCAGCCCCCAACGCCGCCGCACGGCCAUGGAUGAGAAUCCAGGCAACCGCACGGCGCACGCGUGGUGGAGGCGGCCCCGGAGUGUCAAAAUAGUGGCAAAUAGUUACAAUGGCAUGGAUCCAAUGGCAAAUAGUUAAAUUUCCCCAUGAUUUCUGCUUGCCCUUAUAGCUCAGUUUGUAGAGCGUCCAACUGAUACACGCACGCACACAAGCGUACACAGUGAGGAGAGUAUCAGAGGAGAGAUUGGAAGGAGGAGAAGGCGGCGGCGGCGGCGGCGACGACAGUGAAUGGCAUUACAUCGAAUGCCAGUUAAAGUGAUGCCAUUCCAGCAAAUCAACUCUUGCGAUGGUAGAUGUGCAAUUUUCUCACCAGAUUUGGCUGAUAGCCAUUAGUCUGCUGUACUAUUAAACCUGCUCUGAUCUAGGGUUCCAGCCCCCCACCACGGCCGCACAGCCAUGGAUGAGCAUCCAAGCAGCCACGCGCGAGCGUGUGUGGAGGCGGCCCAGACUGAAGCAAAUCAGAAAUCUGGUGAUGGUAAUGGUGAAGGCGAGCACACCAAACCAAAAACCAAAUCAAAAGCUCAACUGAAACAAACGUACGAAUCAUCCAUCCAUCGCGCGGUGGUGGCUCAGAUCUCAGCGUGGGCUCGGCGCGGUAGCCGCACCGCACCGCACCCCACCCCACGAGCCAACGGAUCCCAAAACCCCCACCCCACCAAGCUCGCCGCGGCGGCUGCUCCUCCACUAGGGGGGAGCAUCCCAAGCCACAGCGUCGCCGCGCGGAGGCAGGGGUAGCACCGGUGGAUCGGGGGGCCGAUGCCGCCGCCGCCGCAUCAGUCCUCAUCACCACCAUUCCCACAAGGUCUAAGGGUUCGAUCGAUCGAUCCAUGCCAUGCAUGAUGAUGCAUAGGCCACCACGGGUGCGGCGAGCAGCGUCGCUCGGCUCGCGGUUAGUCAGCUCUCUGCCACCCACCCGCCGCGGCGGCCUAGCGAUUAGAGGAGAAGAGUGAGAUUGGGAGUGGUGGUGGGGGAGAAGGAAGAGGAGACGAGACAGACGAGUCCGAUAGGAAAAAGUACACCGAAGGUCCCUCAACUUGUCAUCGAGCUACAAAAUCGUCCUUGAACCGCAAACUAGAGCUCAAGCUAGCGUUAGCAGCGAACUUUGCAAAAUCGAGACCGAAAGUCCAAAAUAGCCAUUCAUCACUGACAGGAGCUCAUGCCAUGGCACAGAUGCCACAUCAGACAAUACCAACCUACGGUUCCUGGCCCCCAUCACCGAGGAACGGCCAUGGAUGAGCAUCCAGGCAACCGCACGCAUGGUGGAGGCGGCUCCGAAGUGUCAAAAUAGUGGCAAAUAGAUAAAUUUCCCCAUGAUUUCUGCUUGCCCUUAUAGCUCAGUUUGUAGAGCGUCAAACUGAUACACGCAAUGAGGAGAGGAUCAUAGGAGAGAUUGGAAGGAAGAGAAGGCGGCGGCGGCGACGACGGCGAAUGGCAUUACAUCGAAUGCCAGUUAAAGUGAUGCCAUUCCAGCGAAUCCACUCUUUUGCAAUGGUAGAUAUGCAAUUUUCUCGCCACAUUUCCAACAAAGAUCCCGAGAUAGAUGUGGCUUAUAGUCUGUACUAUUAUACUUGCUCUAAUCUACGAUUCCCGGCCCCCACCACGGCCGCACAGCCAUGGACGAGCAUCCAAGCAGCCACGCGCGAGCGUGGGUGGAGGCGGCACCGAAGAAAAUCCCUUGAACACAAGUGAGUUGCCACUUUGUUCAUAGAGGGGGUGUGUGUGUGUGAGAGAGAGAGAGAGAGAUGAGAUUACGGAUCUGUAGUUAUAAUGGCAUUGGAUCCAAUUAACCCACAGUUAAAUUUCCCCCUUGUUCUUGUGGGGAAAUCUUGACAUUGUGCCAUUGUCAAAAAUGGGUUCAAAAGGAGAGGGGAGCAGAGCAGAGAGACUGAAACAAAUCAGAAAUCUUAUGUGCAAACUGUGCAAUUAGGCUCAACAAGAUUCGUCUCGUGAUUUCCAUGGUAAUGGUGAAGGCGAGCACACCAAACCAAAAACCAAAUCAAAAGCGCAACUGAAACAAACGUACGAAUCAUCCAUUCAUCGCCCGCGGUGGUGGCUCAGAUCUCCCCGUGGCUGCCCCGCCGCGGCACUCCGACCCCAACGACCCAACGGAUCCCAAACCCCCCACCCAUCGAGCUCGCCACGGUGCCUGCUUCUCCACCAGGGGGGAGCAUCCCAAGCCGCAGCGUCGCUGCGCGGAGGCAGGGGUAGCACCGGUGGAUCGGGGGGCGGGGGCAGCGGCGCCGGCGCCGCAUCCGUCCUCAUCGCCACCUUCCCCACAACACAAGGUCCCAGGUUCGAUCGAUCGAUCCAUGUCAUGUCAUGCAUGAUGAUGCAUAGGCCACCGCAGGCGCGGCGGGCGGCGUCGCUCUGCCCUGCUAGGCUCGGCUAGUCAGCUCUCCGCCGCCGCCGCCCACCGGCCACGGCGGCCUAGGGAUUAUAGAGAAGAGUGAGGUUGGGGGAGAAGAGAAGAGGGAAGAGGAGACGAGACGAGUCUCCGAAGAGAGAAAUUUGCGAUUAAGGCCGUGUUUAGUUCCCGGAAUAAUUAACUAUUUGCCACUGAUAACAGAUUUGCCACUGAGCUCAAGCCAGCAGUACCAGCGAACUUCGCAAAAUCGAGACCGAAAGUCCAAAAUAGCCAUUCAUCACUGACAUGAGCUCAGGCCUCAAGGUCCGACGACCAAACCCUACCGUCACCAUGGCACUGAUGCCACACCAGACAAUACCAACCUACGGUUCCCGGCCCCCAACGCCGCCGCACGGCCAUGGAUGAGCAUCCAGGCAACCAGCCGCAUGGUGGAGGCGGCCCCGAAGUGUCGAAGAGUAGCAAAUACUCCAGUUACAAUGGCAUGGAUCCAAUGGCAAAUAGUUAAAUUUCCCCAUAAUUUCUGCUUGCCCUUAUAGCUCAGUUUGUAGAGCGUCAAACUGAUACACGCAAGCGUACACAGUGAAGAGAAGAUCAGAGGAGAGAUUGGAAGGAGGAGAAGAAGGCGGCGGCGGCGGCGAAUGGCAUUACAUCGAAUGCCAGUUAAAAGUGAUGCCAUUCUAGCGAGUAGAUAUGCAAUUUUCUCGCCAGAUUUGGCUGAUAGCCUGCUGUACUAUUAUACUUGCUCUAAUCUACGGUUCCCUGCCCCCAGCACCACCCGCAUAGCCAUGGAUGAGCAUCCAAGCAGCCACGCGCGAGCGUGGGUGGAGGCGGCCCCGAAGAAGAUCCCUUGAACACAAGUGAGUUGCCACUUUGUUCAGAGAGGAUGUUUUGUGUGUGUGUAAGAGAGAGAGAUUUGACAAUGAGAGAGAGAGAGAGAGAGAGAUCUGCCAAAUAGUGGCAAAUAGUUAAAAUUCCCCCUUGCCUGUUCUUGUGUGGAGAAAUCUUGGCAUGGUGCCAUUGUCAAAAAUGGGUUCAGGAGAGGAGAGCAGAGGAGAGGAGAGACUGAAACAAAUCAGAAAUAUGGUGAUGGCGAGCACACCAAAUCAAAAGCGCAACUGAAACAAACUUACGAAUCAUCCAUCCAUCGCCGCGGUGGUGGCUCAGAUCUCAGCGUGGGCUCGGCGCGGUCGCCGCACCGCACCCCACCCCACCCCACGACCCAACGGAUCCCAAAACCCCCCACCACCGAGCUCGCCGCGGCGGCUGCUCCACCACCAAGGGGGGGGAGCAUCCCAAGCCGCAGCGUCGCCGCACGGAGGAAGGGGGUAGCACCGGUGGAUCGGGGGGUGCCGAUACCGCCGCCGCCGCAUCCGUCCUCAUCGCCACCUUCCCCACAAACAGAAGGUCCCAGGUUCGAUCCAUCGAUCCAUGCCAUGCCAUGCAUGAUGAUGCAUAGGCCACCGCAGGCGCGGCGAGCGGCGUCGCUCUCUGCUGAUCUGCUCGGCUCGGCUAGUCAGCUCUCCGCCGCCGUCCACCGGCAGCGGCGGCCUAGGGAUUGUAGAGGAGAAGAGUGAGGUUGGGGGAGAAGAGAAGAGGGAGUAGGAGACGAGACGGAGAGAAAUUUUAGCGUGAAACUAAACACAGCCUUACACCGGGGUCGCCGGCAGAGAGAAGUUUUUGUACGGGAAAACUCGGGAAGGGAAGGGAAGAUACCUGUACACGAUGGGAGCGGUGCACGUGGCGAGCGGAGAGGGCAUGUGGGAGAGGAAUCCCAGGCGGUGGCCCAUCUGGGCUGGUGGUUCAGCCUGUUGGGCCGCUUGUGGCCUCAAAACGAGCCCAUGAAUGCGUUGGAUCAAAACAAGCUAUGCAUUUUCCCGAGGAAAAAAGUACAGCGAAGGUCCCUCAACUUAUCAUCUGGGCCGGUGGUCCAGCCUGUUGGGCCGCUUGUGGGCUCAAAGCCAAAUCAUGACCGCGUUGGAUCAAAACUCAAAGCAUUAGCUUUGCAUUUUCCCGAGACUACGGGCCUGUUUACGGGCCUGUUUGGUACAGCUCCAACUCCUAGAUAUAACUCUAGGAGUUGAGUCUGAAGUAGAGUUAUGAGCUACCUAAACCAAGCUCCACAGCUCUAGUACAUUUUUUUGUGAGAGAGCUCCAACCAACUCCACUCCUAGUUUUAGUGGAGCUGAAAUUAUUUGGCUGAGCUCCAGCUCCAGAGGGGUGGAGUUAGAGCUGGAGCUGUGCCAAACAGGCCGUAAUGUGCCCAUGCGUUGCAACGGCCCGUAAUGUGCCCAUGCGUUGCAACAGAAUCUGGAGUAAUGCGGGAUCUGCACGCAGACACGCAGUAGGAGGGAGGAGGAACACUGCAACUUUAAAUUAGUAGAGAAAAAAAUACAUAAGAUUGAGUAACACUGCAAAUUCGCAUGUAUUGGUUGAAAACAAUGGAAUUUGAUUAAAUCUGGAGCAAAAGGUUUUAACAAAUUCGAAACUGUACGGUUUCAACAAAUUUUCAGCCGGAUUGCCCACAAGAAAAGUAAGCUUAAAAUUUUAAGGGCAAGAAAAAAUAUGAGUUUGCGCACAACUGCAAAAUAUUACUCCCUCCAUCCCUUAAUACAAGGGAUUUUGAUAUUUUGUUGUCCUGUUUAUGCACACGUCUUAUUUAAAAAAAUUGUGCAAAUAUAAAAAACAAAAAGUUGUGCUUUAGAUAAUAAAGUAAGUCACAAAUAAAAUUCCAAAACUUUUUGAAUUAGACGAAUUGUCAAACAGUGCAAGCAAAAAUAUCAAAAUACCUUAUAUUAAGUGACGGAGGGAGUAGUACACAUGUUAAUUGAAAACAAUGAAAUUUGAGCAGAUCUGAAACAAAAGAUUUCAGCAAAUUCGAAACUUGCUGUUUGAAAAUAUUUCCAACCGUAAUUAUUUGAGAAUCACACGAGCGGCAGGCACACUGUAGAAUUUACAAGAGAAACGAGUCGCUGAAUAAAAAAGUAGUGAAAGUGCAAUAUAAAUCAUCGAAGACAUUCAAGCUUCAAGCCCAGCAAAAUUAGAUCAGAACAUAAAAAUUCAGACGAUAAAUAGAUGAGUUUUCCCAUCGAAUUGUUGACAACGACAACAGAUGACACAAUUUUUCAGGCCAUCAAUCAGUGACAAAAAAAAAUAACAAAACAAAAAAGAGGGUUGUCUGAAAGAACAGAAAAUAAAUAUGCCUUCUGGAGCAUUUCCCAAAAGUACCAGCAGGCAAAUAGUACAACUUUCAGACAAGCAAGUGCAACAAACAAACAACGAGGAAAUCAAUAUACACUAGAAAUUUAAAUUAGAAAAUCUUUACGGAAUGGCUCAGAUUUCACCCCCAUUAUGAAUCACCAAAGUUGGAUCAUGCCACUGUAGCAGAACAAUGCAAUAGAAUCUGUCUCAAUCUCUCUCUAUAUAUAUAUAUAUAUAUCUAUGUGCAUGAACCAUCUAAUGGGAUUGGCAUGUUCAUGAUAGAAUUAGAUCAUAGAAGUAAUAAAAACCUCAGUCCGCCACCACCACCGCCACCGCCAGCAAAUAGCCGCAAACUGGUAACCUGCCGCAAAGCAAGCCCUCCUAGUUUGGCGACCAGCUGAUCAAUUUAGCAAGGAACCAACUCAGGAGGUGUUAAUAGAUCUCCCAACACCGACAAAGGGGCAGCCAAAUUCAUCACAGCCAUUCAACAGGUAACAUAGAAAGGAAAUGCAACAAAACAAAAGGUAAAGUGUUUUGCUGAGAAAUCAAUUUGAAGCACUGCAUUAGUGUCAACAAAAGGAACUGUUGCCAUUUGUUCACCCAGGUUAUCACAGCAUAUACCAAAAAUACAUGAACUAAGUUCAAACAAGGCAUUAUAUGGUCCCUUUAUCCAUGACCAAAUGCUGAUUUCCAUAGCACGCAAACAAAUCAAACAUGUGAUGUAGGGCAAUUGUAACACUAUUACACAAAGAUGUGAAGCCAACCUUCAGUAAAUGCUAAAAGGAAAUAAAGCAAGAAAUCCAAAACAAUUCAAUUUCACACAGGUCAACAGAUACAAUCAGAACUAGAAGGGAACAAAUGAUUCAGAGCUCCCAUUCAAAAAAUCACCAUGGCAGAGUGAGCUCAGUUUCACCUUUCCUCCAUCGUACAAAACCCGAUUUUCACAUCUCUUGCUGCACAAUCUACUCAUACUAAUGUAAGUGUAGCUGCACUGGUUAUCACUCGUCAGUCAUCAGAGUGACCAUCCUAGGCACAGAAUCACUAACAUUAGUGGAUGGUUGAACAUCAUUGCCCCUCAUCCACAUUCCCACAUUCCAUUCCAUGUUUCCAACAUUCUGGAGGUUUCAGAAUCCCACAAGGAACACAGGCAGCAGAACACACCAUAUGUAGAGAUGAGCAAGAGGAGAUUACAGUGGUGACAGCAGGAGUAGCAACUAGUAAAUCAAAACCAUCAGCACCAUACCAAUCCAUCCAUCAGAUUUUAAGAUCAGAUCAGAUCAGAUCUCGCAACUACCCGCUAAAUCCUGACACGGAAGCCACACCAGACUCCACCGUGGAUUCCCAGCCUUUGCUGCUAUGAAUCCAAGGCAAUGGAGCAGCAGAGGCGGCACCCUGGAGGUGAGAACUGACACAGAGACCGGUUGGAAGUAGGGCUGUCAAAACUCAGCUGGAGCUCAAAACAAAUACUCUUGGAGAAGAGUAUUUCAGCGCAGAAGCGCUAAUUUAGUUUAUGAUUUUGGGUUUGGAUGGCGUGAACCUUCUCUUCUAGAUCUAGAAGUUGUUUUUCUCCUCAGUACUAAUAACACAGUUUAUUCCCCAAAAAUAAUCAUGGACGAGGGAUGAAAAAGUGCAUGUGAACACGUACUGUAUGGGUGCUCACCUGCGAGCGAGCGAGGAUUCAGCGGAAGGAAGCAGCGGGAUACCAGAACAGCUGCUCAUGGGGUGGAGAUCACCGCUAGCCAUGUACCUGUAGUCCUUUACGGCGGGAGCAUGCACGUGGCAAUUGCACAGGGCUCGUGAGAGUCACCAUCCAAUGUCCCCCGUGUCCACAGAUGAGUGGCUCACUGAUCAUCUGGGCAAAUGAUUAAGAGUUCUCAUUCAAACAAUUCACCAUGGAAGUGAGUGAUAGGCAGCAUUAAGUACUCAAUACUCAUUAACUUCAGCUUUAAAUCAGCAUGUAGCUAAUUUUCCAACACAGCAAACUGACCACUUGUAAGUUGGCAAUUAGCUUCAAAAAAUAACAGAGAAGUGCUAUGUUAAAUUUACCAGCACAGUAGCAAUAUGAAUAGUGUAAUGGCAUUGAACGGGCUCAGUUUCGCCUUUCCUCCUCAAACCUCGUGCUCCACAAUCUACUCAUACUAAUAUAAGUGGAGCUGCACUGCUUGUCACUCAUCAGUCAUCGGAGUGACCAUCCUAGGCACAGAACCACUAAGAGCAGGUACAAUAGCAGACUAUAAGCCAACUAUAAACGCAUAUCGAGAAGAUAAAUGAGGAGAGAUAAGAGCAGCGGGCAACAGAUUUGUAGCCAGCUGCAGCACAGACUAGGUGUAAUAUAUGUAUGACAGGUGGGACCAUGUAUUACUUGUGUAGGAGUAUAAGUUUAUAGGUAACUGUUGUAUAAAUUGGCUAUUAAAUUGACUAUAUACUAUUUGGAGCUAGUAGUUGGCUAUACUAUUAAACUUGCUCUAACACUAGUGAAUGGUUGAACUGACUCCAAGAGAGGUGAGAGUUGGUUCUUUAAAACCACAACUGCCUCAGAAAAGGUUUAACAUCAUCACCAUCAUCAUUGCAUUCCGUUGGAACAAGACCAAGUCCAUUGUAACAGGGAAGUGAAGAAGAAAAUGCUGGCAUAGACACACUAUUCACAUAGAAAAGGUACUCCAUCCGUCCCAAAAAAUAAGGUACUUUGACCGGAUGUGACACAUCCUAGUAACAAGGGUUCCUUUGGAACACAGGAUUUUCCCAUGAAUUAGUUCAAUACCCGUGAAAAUCCUACAAAAAUCCGCCAUUAUAUAGGAGGCCUAAUUGGGCUCAGAUUCGCCUUUACUCAACCGUAAAGAUCCAACAGCCACAUAUCUUGCUCCACCAUCUAUCCAUCAUAAUGUAAGUGGAUUUGCCCUGGUUAUCAUUAACAGAAUGACCAUCCUAGGUGCAAGAACCACCUAACAUUAGUGAGUGGAUAGGUUGCCAGAGAUGAUAGGAUCAGGUCCAAUUGACACCCACAGCUGCCUUGAUUCUUCAAUGGCAGGAUUGUCAGAAAAGGUUGAUCAUCAUUGCCCUUCAUCCACAUUCCUUUCCAUGUUUCCAACAUUCUAGAGACACACAGAUGAGAAAACCAUACAUAUAUACUCCCUCCAUUCCAAAAUAUAAGCAGAAUGUACGUACAUUGCCAACGAGAUCAGCUCGCAAGCUCUCUCUCGCGCGCAAGCGCGCAGCGAGAGUGAGGGGGGAUGGCAGUGUAUAGAGCAAAAUGGUGACUAAAGAGUGAAAAAUCCAUAACAGCGGCUCAGAUUUCACAUUGCCCGACCAGCCCCAGGCAGGAAACUGACACGGAAUAAGUCUAUUUUAUGUCCCUCAACUGAUGUAAAUGGAUCUGCCUGGUUAUCAUUUAUCAGAAUGACCAUCCUAGGUGCAAGAACCACCUAACAUUAGCAGGUGAAUAUGUUACAGAAGGGCAGAUUUGGUUUAGGGUUUGGAGUUUGCGUAUAGCGAACUGUGAUCACGCAUGCACAGAUCUAGAGAAGUUAAAGGUUAAGGCAAAGAGAGAAAGGUGUGGGUACAGAGGGAUGACAGAGGAUGCACGUAUGGAUGCUCACCAGCGAGUAUGCAGCAGUACUAUGGCACCACUGCUCACGGGAUGGAGAUCAGGGACCAGGGGCGCCAUGGACCUCAGGCAGCGAGGGAGCUCCCAAUGGCUGUCAAAUGUUCUUGCCGCGAUUUCCGGCAACAUACCAUGGCACUCCCAACAUCAAGCCUAGGCACGCAGACACCCCAUCCCCCCCCCUCCUCGACCUGUGAGCAGGAGGUGUCUCCACCACACGAGGGUAGCAACCAGCAGCAGCAGCAGCAACAACAGUAUAUAUCAGAUCAUCACAGCAACAGCAGCUGAAUGCCAAGGAGAGCUCAAGCCAGUGGAAACAGCGAGCUUCACAAAUUCGAGAUCGAAAGUCCAAACCAGCCAUUCAUCACUAAAAGGAGCUCAGGCCUCAGAAUUCUGACGACCAAACCCUACCCGUCACCACGGCAUCGAAGCCACAUCAGACACCACCAACCUACGGUUCCCGGCCCCCAACACCGCCGAACGGGCCAUGGAUGAGCAUCCUGGCAGCCAUGAGCGUGCCAAAGGCGGCCCCAAAGAUCCCUUGAACACAUGUGAGUGAGUUGCCACUUUGUCAAAGGGGGUGUUGCGAGAUAGACAUAUUACAGUUCUGUCAAAGAGUGGCAGAUAGUUACAAUGGCAUGGAUCCAAUAGCAAAUAGUUAAAUUUCCCCUUAUUUUCUGCUUGCCCUUAUAGCUCAGUUUGCAGUAGUGCGUCGAACUGUACACGCACGCCCGCGAGAGAACACAGUAAGGAGAGGAGAGAAUGGAAGGAGGAGAAGGGGUGGUGUUGGUGGUGGCGGCGGCGGAGGAGGAUGGCAUUCUGCAUUCCCAGGUUUCCAACGAAUCCACUCUUUUCUGAUGGUAGAUGUGCAAUUUUCUCGCCACGUUUCCAACAAGGUUGAGACAGAUGUGGCUUAUAGACAUUAGUUGGCUGUACUAUUAAACUUGCUCUAAUCUUCGGUUCCCUGCCCCCACCACCGCCUGCACAGCCAUGGAUGAGCAUCCAAGCAGCCAUACGGGCAUGGCGGAGGAGGCGGCCCCGAAUAAGAUCCCUUGGAACACAAGUGAGUUGCCACUUUGUUCAGAGAGGGUGUUGUGAGAGAGAAAGAUGAGAUUACGGAUAUAUCAAACAGUGGCAAGUAGUUAUAAUUUGCAAUUGAUCCAAUUAACCCAUAGUUUUUUUUCCCCAGUGCUCUUCUCUUCUAGCUCAGCGUGUGUAGAGCGUGGAACUGUACACACACGCAAGCGUACACUGCGAGGAGAGGAGAGGAGAAACUGGAAGGAGGAGAAAAUGCAACUGAAACAAAUCGAAAUCUGGUGAUGGUGAUGGCAAGCAUACCAAACCAAAUCAAAACUGCAACUGAAACAAACACGUACGAAUCCUCCAUUGCCGCGGUGGUGGCUCAGAUCUCGCCGUGGCAGCGAGGCCACCCGCCACUCCAACGACGGGAGGCCGCACCGCGCCCCCACGACCAACGGAUCCCUAACCCGCACCAACCCGCACCACCGCCGGAUCCGCUGCGGCGGCGGCUCCAGGGGGAACAUCCCAAGCCGGCCGCAGCAUCGCCGCGCGGAGGUAGGGGUAGCACCGGUGGAUGGAUCGGGGGGAUGCAAGAUGGGGGAUGAGUUGUAUCUGGUUUUGCGGUUCAAGGACGAUUUUGUAACUCGAUGACAAGUUGAGGGACCUUCGGUGUACUUUUUCCUUUCCCGAGACAAGUACUGUCCCAUGCGUUGCAACGGGAUCUGGAGUAAUGCGGGAUCUGCCCGCAGACACGCAGUAGGAAACGGAGGUAGACUGCGUCUUUAAAUUAUUAGAGAAAAAAAACAUAAGAUUGGGUAACACUGCAAAUUCGCAUGUAUUAAUUAAAAACAAUGAAAUUUGAUUAAAUCUGAAGCAAAAGGUUUUAACAAAUUUAAAACAGUACGGUUUCAACAAAAAUUUCAGCCGGAUUGCCCGCGAAAAAAAUAAGCUUAAAAUUUUCAGGGCACGUAAGAAACAUGAGUUUGCACAACUGCAAUAUAGUGCACUUGUUAAUAAAAAACAAUGAAAUUUGAUCAGAUCUAAAACAAAAGCUUUUCUCAAAUUCGAAACUAUGGGGUUUGAACAAAUUUUCAACCGUAACUAUUUGAGAAUCGCACUAGGGGCAGGCACACUGUAGAAUUUACAAGAGAAAACGAGAUGCUGAAGAAAAAAAGUAGGUAGGGAAAGUACAGUACAAAUCACCGAAGCCACUGAAGCCAGAACCACGCUGCAGGCCUGCAAUGGCUGCUUGGCUAUCGCUCAAGCUUCAAGCCCAACAAUAUUAGAUCAGAACAUAAAAAUUUAGACAAGAUAAAUAGAUGAGUUUUCCCAUCGAAUUGUUGACAACGACAACAGAUGACACAACUUUCCCGACCGUUUUCAUCCCCACUAUAGUUCGAUUCCCAUGAAAAUGCUCCAAAAAUAUCCUCCUUUGAAACACAGGAUAUUCACAGAAAAUAGUUCAAUUCCCGUGAAAAUGCUCCAAAAAAAUCCUCCACUCCAAAAGAGGCCUAAGUGGGCUCAGAUUUGCCUUUGAUCAAUCAUACAGACCCAACCCCUAUAUAUCUUGCUCCACAAUCUACUCAUCCUAAUGUAAGUGGACCUUCCUUGGUUAUCAUUAACAGAAUGACCAUCCUAGGUGCAAGAACCACCUAACAUUAGUGAGUGAAUAGGUCACAAGAGAUGAUAGGAUCAAGUCUAAUUGACACCCUCAGCUGCCUUGAUUUUUCAAAGGCAUGCUUGUCAGAAAAGGCUGAUCAUCAUCGCCCCUCAUCCACACUCUCACAUUCCAUUCCAUGUUUCCAACAUUCUGGAGAAGUUGGUCCAGGUACUUUGGCAUCAGAUGGCCACCUUGAAUGUCCAACAGCAAGCAUGCUUUUGUGAUCAUCACUGCUCAUUACCACAAUACGAAGUGAACUGGAAAUUAUUGUAAUAUUGCACAUCUGCCAGGAAUUCUGACCCAAGUUUAAGAAUCCCCAGAGGAACACAGGCAGCAGAGCACACUAUAUACAGAGACGAGCAAGAGGAGAUUGUGUCGGCCACAACAGCAAGCGCAAUAGCAGGAGCAACUAGCAAAUAAAAUCCAUCACCACCACACAUCCAUCCAUCCAUCCAUCAGAUAUUCAGAGAUCAGAUCAGAUCGCGCAUCUACCCACCAAAUCCCGACGCGGAAGCCGCAUCAGACUCCACUGAAGGUUCCCAGCCUUGGCUGCUACGAAUCCAAGGCAAUGGAGCAGCAGAGGCAGCACCAUACAGGUGGGGAACUGAUGCAGAGACCGGUUGGAACUUGGAAGUAGGGCAGUCAAAGCUCAGCUCGAGCUCAAAACACACACCCAUGAAGAUAGUACUUCCUCCGUUUCACAAUGUAAGUCAUUCUAGUAUUUCCCACAUGCAUAUUGAUGUUAAUGAAUCUAGAUAGAUAUAUAUGUCUAGAUUCAUCAACAUCAAUAUGAAUGUGGGAAAUACUAAAAUGACUUGCAUUGUGAAACGGAGGGAGUAGUAGUUAGCUAUACUAUUAAACUUGCUCUAAGCAGAGUAAGUAGUACCAGCUUUCUCUCUCACGCAAGCACGCGGAGAAAGAGAGGGAGGAGAAAGAGGGGUAGCAAUGUGCAACAAAAUGGCGACUAAAUCAAUCCUACUUAAAAUGUUUACCCACAAUAUUAUCACGCCACCCUCCAAAGAGCCCUUUCCAUUUCACCGUUGGUUCUUUUGAAUUUCGAAAUCACCUACUUGUUCAAUAAGGAAAAUCAUCAUAGAAGUAUUGCUGUGCUUAUACUAAAUAAGCUAGAAACUCAAUUUGUUUUUUUUUUCCAUUGCAACGCACGGGCUAGUGAAAAAUCCAACAAUUGCGGCUCAGAUUUUGCGUUGCUCGGCCAACCCUGGGCAGGAAGCCAACGCGGAUACCGCCACGCACGGUCCCCAUCCUCCACCGCCGCAGGCGCCGCGACAUCGGCAGCUGCCAAAGCAGUGGCCUCCAGACCAAUGCCGCACGGCGUGCGCGACGCGGCUGGGGAUUGGCCCCCGAAAAGCGGAAAUCCGAGGCGGCCGCCACCGAUCAGGAGAGGCGCCGGAGCUAAACCGGCCUCAUUCCUCAUCGCCGCGGGGAAUUCAGGGUGUGUUUAGAUCCAGGGGUGUAAACUAUUUGCAACUCUUCAAACGAGCCGCGGUUUUUUGGAGCGAAUGCCAUCAUCAGCCACCGCUAGCGGAGAUGAAAUGGCCGAUGUUGCAAUCGCCUCGCGACUCGCUGAGCAUGGGGUUCAGCUGAACUUGAACCCCCACAUUUUGGGGGAAAUAAAAUGUGACAAAAGGCAGUUUCCAGAUCUAGAAGAGAAGCUAGGGUUAACGCAAGCAAAUUCCAGACAAAGUACAGAUACUGGCCAGCGAGCGAGGAUGCUCGCGGGAUGGAUGGAGAUCGGCGCAGGCAAUGUACAGUAAAAUGGCGACCAAAUGGUGGGGGAAAACCAUCAAUGGCGGUCAGAUUUCGUUGCCCGGGCCAAGCCCCCGAGCAGGAAGCCGACGCACGGGGUCCCCCAUCCCCCGCCGCCGCAUGCGCCCGCGGCAUCUGCGGCUGCCGAAGCGGUGGCCUCCGUGCCAACGCCGGCGAGGCGCAGCUCGGCGGGGGGGAUGGCGGAGAUCCGAGGCGGCCGCCGCUGCUCGGGAGACUCGCCGGAAGCAACGGCAUCUUCCUCCUCCUCCUCGUCGUCGUCAUCGUCGUGGUUGGUUUCCGGCGAUGCAGAAACCCUUCCAUUGCUCCACCACCACCCAAGCAGCAAAAUCGCAACAAAAACUGAAUGGUUUGAAAUAAGAUCAGGAGGGAGGGAAAGAGCGAGAAACCAAUCCGACUCUGGAUGGAUUCAUGGAUUUUCCAGUCUCCAGUAUCCACCCCUUCACCGUCUCAGUUCUCGCUAGAGGCGGAGGACGAGACGAGAGGAGAGGAGAGAACUGAGAAGAACCCAGCCGAGUUUUUUUUUUUUUUUUGAGAGAACGGGCCGAGUUCGGCGGUGGGGAAUGGGGAUGGGGAUGGAGAUGGGGAGAUCGAUGGAGGGAAAUAAAUGGGGACGGAAAGAUCGGUCUCGGCGACUCGGCCCAUCCAAACACUGUCCGUGCACGUCCGGUGUACACGUGUGCGGUGUGCCUAUGCUUCGAUGGACAAUACGGGGGAUAAGCGGCGUUGGCAUGUCACAUCUGAUAUUAUAUAUAUUAUAUAGAGUAUUGUAUGGUUGUUUGGGUAUUAAUAAAAAACUAAUUACAUAAUCCAUCAGUAAACCGUGAGAUGAUUUUAUUAAGCUUAAUUAAUACGUCAUUAGCAAAUGUUUACUAUAGCACAACAUUAUUAAAUCAUGGAGCAAUUAGGCUUAAAAGAUCCAUCUCUCAAACUAGUCGCAAUCUGUGUAAUUAGUUAUUUUUUUAGCCUAUAUUUAAUACUUCAUGCAUGUGUUAAAUGUUUGAUGUGACAGCAUGUAAAAUUUUGGAGUGGGAUCUAAACACCCCCUAUGUCAGGCGUGUGUGGAGAAAGAAUGCAUUCAUGUAGUGCAUGUCCAUGUGCGCUAUUUUGAAAAAGGUUUAUGUGGUUUAUGUAGAUGUUGGGUUUAAUCAAUAAAUAACCUUGCCAUAUGUCCGACUUAUUUAUUCAACCGGUAUACGACUAAACGGUAGAACAGCUCGGCGCAUGACGGCGUGAGGCAACAGCAUGGGUUGGUCCUAGAUCGAUGGCAUGCACUUGCAUGCAUUACGGUCGUACAAGAGUCGGACAUAAUAGUCUUGGGUAUAGCAUUUUUCUUUAAUCGAUCCAUUAUAUAGGAUAAAACAAAAAAAAAUCGAAGCAAUGUAGUAAUACGUGCAAUAAUAUUCAAGUGAAUGUAUUGCCCCCAAAUUCACGGUUUGCUGAAGAUACCACACGCAUCGCCCCAGCAUGCAAUACAUGCAAGACGCCUUGCAUGUGAGGUUAGAGUCACGCUACAAACAACGUGUUGAACUGUGUGAUCAGGUCUGGCAUAGAAAAGAUAUAUUCAACAUCUUUAGUAAAAGUAAUCAAAAUGGUCGGUGUUCCUUUUUUCUUAAAAAAACAACAUUUACAGGAUAGUGCGAUGUUUCGUAUCAAUGUAGCAGUAACAAGACUACAAGUCUACAGCCCUAAGAGGCUAUGGCCAGGAAAGAAAAAACACACAGUCACACCACGCAUCUACGACCAAAAUCCACCACCGAAGAUCAAAGCAAACUACGAUAUCCCAAAGGGAAUGGAUAUUCUAAAUGGCGUAUUCAGGAAGAAUGUGGCACCGAGAGUGCUCCCACCACCUGCUCUGAGAUGACAGGACGUGGUUUUCACCUAAAUAAAUCCAUCACAUGACACGAACUUCAAGCAAACAACACUCCCAAAUAGGAAAAGUGAUGCCUGCAGUCGUCGCCGUUGCUAGCCCAAAGGGCUGUGCUUUCACUUGUGAUCUUUCUGUCCUCUUAUGUCAAGGUUAUCUGCCAAAAACAGUGGCCACCACCAACUACACCUUUGAUGUGUAGCCAAUGUGCCAGCCGACCAUCAAGGAGGAGCUCAACAUUCGGCGCGCUCCAAGUCCAUACACAUAGUUGCGUUGGAUAUGAAGAGGGUGAGAGAAAAGAAUGGAUACCCUAUCCCCCACACUAGCCCGCCCCAACAAGGGCAUCUUGUGCCGUCACCACAAGAGGACUGUCAGCUAGAUCGGAGCUCGUCGGGGGCCUGCAACGCUCACCUUAAAGCACCACUGUCGUCGCUGCCUCGGCUGACUGCCUAUAUCACCGCCACCUUGGUCGGAUUGCCCGUAUCACCGCUACCUCAGACCGCCAGCCCACAUCGUCGUCACCUCGCCCCGCUGUCCCCUGUCGCCUUUGGUCUUGCCAUAGCACCGUCCAGCCUCGCACCCGUGUCGUGGCAGCUCUGUCUACCAUCGGCGCCAUGCAGUUCCCCUGUUGUGCCACCGGUCACGCGAACCACCGCACUGGUUCCCGUGGGUGGUCGCGCAUGGCUUGCUCCCGCUGCAACCUCCAUGCUACAUCGGCCUCUCGCCUUUGCCGACUGCGCACUACACCACGUCGGCCUCCCACCACCGCCAGCCAUGUCGCCCUUUCACCCCACCGCCCCGCUCGCCCAGAUCCAUCCCAAGGUGUCUGGAUCCCGCCACGGGGAGGUCUGAUCCAGUGGCGUCGCCCUCGGAUCCAUGGGCUCAAUCACCGGGGUGCACCGCGUUGGUUUAGUUUCCCUUCUUUUCUCGCGCGCUAGAGACCGAGCAUCACCGGGUUAUGGCCCUGCCACUGCCUUCCUAGCAGGCCGCCCGGUUUUUGGGUGGCAUGCUCCGACGACAGCGCAGAUGAGGAGGAGGGCGGGCGAUGGUUGGCUAGGGUUUUUCCCGUGUCACCCGCGCGUAGACGACGCGGGGAGAGUGUAACUUGGUAGUGUUCCCGAUUUAUCUUAGUUGUUGUUUGGAUCACCUUGAUUAAGGAUGAGUUUUCAUAAAAAUGGUUUGGAAUGAUCUUCUAGUAAACCAACUUUACUAACCAGAGGGGAAAAAAUGUAACAUGAGCAAAAUGUUGCUAAAAGCCUAAAAACAGGCAACCAAAUUGCCAUCUGAAUUCUCAAAUACGAAGAGACGUACACAUGGUACAAACAAAUAUAGAACCGGACAUCAGUCAGACUAAUUGAACUGCAUUUGCCCCAAACCCGAAACAACAAACUUGCUUAGAGAUCACCUAAGAAAGGCUAACACUAAACUUCGGUAUGAACUGUUCACUAUAACUGGCGUAAAACUCUACAAAAAUACGUCGCAAGUGCCACGCUCCAGCGUGUCUGCGUGUGUGCCCCAUGAAGCAAUAAUCCUAAAUCAUGUACAAAUUGCAGUAUUGCGCACAUGAAGCAUGCCAGCUUUGCAAUCACCAUGUCUGCAGAAACAAACAAAGCAAACAGAUACAAUCAUCAGGGCAAGCAACACGAAGAACACACAUCUUUAGCAGUGAUUUCCAGUGGAGGGGGAAGGUCGAUAAUUCGACGUGCUUACCACAACAUAGUACUACUGUCCUGUCGCAGCGCGAGCUUCGCUGUGUCCUUCCACAUGGACACCUCCAUCUCCUUCUCGACGAGCUUCUUCUCCGCGCGUUUCAGCGCGAGUUCCAGCUCUUCGAUCCGCUCCUGGUUCCUCUGAUGGAGGAGCUCGUGCAGCCUCCUCUCAAGCUCGACGGCAUUGACACCAUUGUAUUCAGCUUCAUCGUCGUAGUCUUCGUCCUCCACUACUUCAUCUUCUCUCCCAACAUCAUCAUUGAAUUCUUCCCGGCAUUCAGUGAUCUCAUCCGGUUGCUGAAUCGCAAUCAAACACAAAUUAGACGCAGCUCAAAUCAAUCUCACUGCAACAUUCUGUUCACAGAAGCAUACCUCUGCAUCAUGUUCUUCAGGCAAGAACAGCUGAACAUCUGAACCAUAGUUAACCUGGAGAAGAUCGAGCUCGGCAUGGAACUCCUCCUCGAGCACAUCCAUCCUCGGGAAGCAGCACUCGUACUCCUCCGCUGAUUUCUCGCAGCUCACUUCCUCCUCCUCCAUGUGGUUGGACGACGAGGUGGCCUGAUCCUCCAUCAUGCGCGCGCUCGCCCUCUCGUUCUCGUUCGUGUCCGUGAGGCAGCUCGACGCGGCGGACUCGAGGUUGCAGCGGGGUUUCGAUGCGUCGUCGUCACCAACCCCUCCGCUGCUGCUCUGCCUCACCUGCUCUUUGAUCUCUCUCAGCAGCGUCUCCAUCUCCGCGCGAACCUUCGCCAUCUUGUUGAACUCGUCGGAUGUCUUGGCGAGGAGGAACACCAGGCUCAGGCCAACGCCGAGGUCGGGAGUCCUCGUGUGGCUCUCGUUGUCGAACACUAAUUGCAAAGAAGAAAAAGGGGAGAAAUCAAUUGAAAUUACCUCCAGAAUCGCGUGAUUGCUACGUAUCAUUAUCUUUUGCUACCGAAAUUUCAGGGCUCUAUCCAGCCAAUACGAUCGCAAUCUCGCACAGGUAACGAAUCGAACAGCCAACGCGAGAUGAUUCGACGAGGAAAUCCCCAAAGAAACCCAAUAGAAACUGCGAUUUAUCGAACAGCGACGAGCUCGACCGAUGGCGCACCUGAGGUAGAGGCGACGGUGGCGGCGGCGGCGGCGGCGGCGACGGGCUCGCCGUUCUUCUCCACCGCAAUCUCCUCCUCCACCACCACCACCCCCUCCUUCUCCGCCUUCCCCUUCCUCCCAAUCCUACUCGCCGCCCGGGCCCACCUAAACCUCGGCAGCAGCGACCUCGCCGCCGCGAGCGCGGGGGACCGCGGCGUCACCGCCGGCGACCCCUCGAUCCCGAGCUCCUCGCCGUCGUUGAGGUAGUCCGCGAUCCUCCUCCUCCUCCUCACCACCUCGGAUGCCAUGGCGCGCGCGGCGCCCGAUGAGGCGAGCGAGCAGCGCAAAAGCAGAGGAGACAGAGAAGACGAAGCCAAGCCAAAGCGGGUUUUCAAAUUGGAGCGGGUGGCGUGGAUCGUGGUCGUCGUGGCGAGCUCACCGUGGGCCCCACCCGACAGCGAACUGGACCCCCGAUCCCGCCGUCCAUCCUCGAAUCGACGACGGCCACGAUGAGCCCGAUUAGAUGGGACGGCACCAUUAUUAGCUCUCCCCCUCCAGGGAAUCACACAUGAUAUCAUCGUUUAUAUUUAAAAAAAAUGGAAGAGAGGAUAUAUCUAUCGAUGAUUUUUAUAUUUCCGAGAUGGAAUUAUAUUCCCGGAAGAAAAGAUGGGGAUCAGGUUUGAUGAUUAUUUUUUUUUGUGUAGGUCCGGUGUUGCAAUUUGGUGAUUUGAAAUGCUGGGUAUUCUGAGGUUUCAGAUUUGUUUGUCUGUUCCAUUCCAAAUUUCCAUCCAUGACCCACCAUCCGACUCUAUUGGUAGGACCCCAGGCAUAGAAAUUUUCUGUCCAAGUUUACGAUGUCGCCGUGGUUUUAAAAUCUGAGUUUUAAAGAAAAAAAACAUAGUUGGCCAUAAUCCGGCGAAUUAUGGUUUGGCCAAUGGGAGUUGAUGGCUGGCAAAGCACGCAAGCUUGCUUGCUGGGAGGCUGCACGCGUCGUGUUUCCGGGGUCCCCUGCCACUGUCGAGCGCUGGAGGCGCCGAGGUGGAAGCAGGAGCCACGAAAACAUGGAGCCAUGUAGGCAUCUCCAUCACUUGCCUGACACACCAAGCGAAGGCCUGUUUAUGACAGUAGAAAAUGAACACUAGCUAGAAGCAAAAAGCGAGCAUUAGAGCAUCUCCAACAGAGUUGUCAUCUCACUCUCCAAUUUAAAUUUUGGUAAUUUUGAGCAAAAAACGGGCUCCAACAGACUUACUAAACGGCUGGCUAAACUCCUCCCCAGGCUGGCCAACUUUAGCCAGCUAGAGUUGCCUUGCCAAAUCGUGGGCCCCACGCUUUUUUCCCCAUCUCCUCUCUCCGCACUCGUGAGCACGCCACUGGCGGCCUGGCGCCGGCGCCAUCCCUGCUGCCGCCCGCCGCCGUCCCUACCGCCGUCCGCCGCCUCCGCCGCCGCCGUCGCCGCCACCGCCGCAAUCCCUACCGCCGUUCCCCUUCUCCUUUUGCAUCGGCCUCGGGGGAACUGGUGGCGCCGCCGCACCGCCGUUCGUCUUCACUCACAGCAGCGCCGCCGGUCCGCUGCUCUGCUCUCUCCGGUCUCCGCCACCCACCGCCUCCGUCUUCCCUUGGCCGAAGGCCACCGAAGCUGCCGUCGACGCCGACUUCAUCCUGCUCCGGGCCGCCACCGCGCCAAGCCGAGCGCCGCCCACGAGGCCGCCUCCCUCCCUAGCACGGGUCGCAGGCCCCGAAGCCGCCUCCUCACUCCGUCCCUGUCCGGCCGGGUCGCCACCUCGCCGUCGCCGUCAUUGUGCCGUGGCUGCCUCCGCCAACCGUCGCCCCGCAUCGACUCCUUCCGGCGCCCCCUUGCUCCCGCCUCCUCCGCAUCACCGCCCUCCACCGUCGCCGCGCCGACCGCCGCCCUGAUCCGACCGCCGUCGCCGUGCCCAUCGCCGCCUAGCGUGGCUCCCUCCCGGAGUCGGUAGGAGAGAAGGAGGAAGGGGAAUCGAGAGUGAGAGGAGGGGGAGAAAACGAGAAGAGAAAGAAAAGAAAAGAAGGGAAGGGAGAGAAUGACAUAUGGUACCCACUGUUAAAUUGGAUAUUGAAAUGGAGAGACUGUUGGAGUGAAACUCAAAUUUGGCUCUCUAAAUUUUUGGCAAUUUGCUAAAUAGGAUAUUUGGAGAGCAAAAAUAGCCAUGCUGUUGGAGAUGCUUUUAGAGCUUGUUUAGAGCAUCUCCAACAGUCUCUCCAAAACUAACUCUCCAAAUAUCUAUUUGGCCAACUCUCCAUCUAAUUUAGCCAGUCAAACUCUUAUUUACUCCAACAACCUCUCCAUUCAUCCUCUCUAUUCUAAGCCUAUGACAGUGGGACCCACGUGUCAGUCUCUACAACCAUUUCUUCCUCCUCAUCUUUUUCCCCCUUUUCCCAAGCCCCUCCGCUCAGCUCGCAGCAGGUGAGAGUUGGUCCUCUCCGCCGCCGCCGCCCCAUCCCCAUCCGCCGCCACCGCCGCUCGGGCUGACCUCGGAGACGACGGUAGCGGACGGCAACCUCGGCUGGCGAUGGAUCUGGCGACUAUGCUGGCGACAGCGUCGUCGACGGCUGGCGACGGCGCGGAUGACGGCGACGACGGCGGCGUCCGCCAACGGCCACCUCAGAGACGACGGCUGGCGACGGCGCGACGACGGCGGCACCCGGCAACAGCAGAUCUGGCGACAGCGCAACGACAACUGACGACGGUGACGGCGCUGGUGCCGACGGCGGCGGCGUCCGGCAACGAUGACUUCAACUGCAGCAAUGGCAUCUCGACGACGAUGGUAGCGGAGAGAGAAAGGGGGAGAGGAAUGCUGUCGGCGUGGGACCCACAAUUGGCUAGGCUAUUUUGGCUGGCCAAAUUUGGCCAGUGGGAGGAGGACUUUGGCCAGCCAGAUGGCUUGGCCAUCCGGAUAGCCAGUCUGUUGGAGGGUGAAAUUGAGCCAAAAUUGCCAAAAUUUAACUUGGUGAGGGGAAUAAGGAGGCUGUUGGAGAUGCUCUUAGUUGGCGAAAAGAAAUUGUUUUUAGUAUCACAUCGGAUGUUUGACCGAAUAUUGGAAGGGGUUUUCAUAUACGAAUGAAAAAACUAAAUUAAUUCGUCAUUAGCACAUACGGGUUACUAUAGCACUUAUGGCUAAUCAUGGACUAAUUAGGCUUGAAAAUCCGUCUCGUGAUUUCCCCCUAACUAUGCAAUUAGUUUUUUUAAAAUCUAUAUUUUAUGCUUCAUAUAUAUGUCCAAAUAUUUGAUGUGAUGUUUUUGGAAAAAAAAAUUUGGGAAGUAAACCAGGUCUUAGAUUUGUUAGCCGUAGUCAAAUUUUAAAUUUAUAGUUAUUUUGAUUUCUUUUAUUAUAGUUUAUUUAUGUAAGAGUAAAUUUCACAAAACUACCCAAUUUUGAUUAAAUUAUCCCAAAACUAUAAAUUUAGGAUUGUGUAUCACAAAACUACCUAUUUAAUACGAAAUUUAUUAUAGACCAAUAGAUUAAAGGUGGAGUAUCACAAAACUACAGAUUUAAUAACAAAUUUAUCAUAAAUUUAUAGGUUUAGUAUCAAUUUAAUCAAAAAAAAUUGUACAUUUAUAACUCAAACAUAACACUAACAAUAAGGAUUUAAGUCCCAAAAUCUAUAUUUUUGUGGUAAUUUUAUUAUAAAAUCUAUAAUAUUACUAUACUUAACCUUAAACUUCUAGUUUUGUGAUAAAUUUAUUACUAAAUCUAUAUAUUUUUAUACAUCACUUUAAAUAUAUAUGGUUUUACGAUAUUUCGGCUAUUGUAUUUGUAGUUUUGUGAAAUUUAUUUUUUUUAAGUUAUCCAUAAUUCAUGUAUAAAAGAUUUAUUUAUAAUUAUUUUUCUGUAAUAAGCAUUACGAGGUAUAAUCAUCUGUAGACGCAACCAUAUGACUAUACUUCUCUAAAAUCUUUAACUUGUCUUUUAAGCCGUGUUUAGUUGUAAAAUUUUUCUUCAAACUUUAAAUUUUUCUAUCACAUCAAAAUUUUUCUACACAUAUAAACUUCCAACUUUUCUGUCACAUCGUUCCAAUUUUAAUUAAACUUAUAAUUAUAAUUUUAGUGUGAACUAAACACAGCCUAAAUCUCAAGCUCCACGAACAAAUAGCAGGAUAAAAAUCAGGACCCCGGAGGCGAAUGAAGGAAUGAAUGCUGGAUAGGACGCAAAUAGUACGCAAUUAAUCGUCGUUAUCAUGAGAAGCCGGCCCAUUUGACCGCCCCUCUCCUUCCUCCGUCGGCAACUGUUGAUGCUCUUCUCUGCGUCAUCUCACUAACUCUUAAUUAAUCUUCAGACAAUUUUUUUUAAAAAAAACUUGUCUUUAUUGUUUAUAUUCUGUUUCGUGGUACUUGUACGACAGGAGGAGGAUUAGGCAUUAAGUAGCGAUAGUGGUACAGGACAAGAGCGUGGUGUCACUCGGCAGUGGAGGAGACGCUUCCUUCUUCUUGAUGGAUGCUGCUCAUCUUACUUAACGUUGAUGCUCCGUAUCAUGCUGCUAGAUUAAUUAGUAGUAUUACGAAUCAUUGCUCAUCAGUAUGGCGUCGAAAUGGCCUGCUACCCGCGGUUGUCGUCUUGCUGUUGCCGAUCGAGCUGCCGACCGCCGGCGGCCGGUCCUGCGGAAUAAGCUUCUGCUGCAAACGAACAGGAUGGAUCAACCGCUCCAGAUUCUCUCUAGCUUUUCUGCCUUAUUAUCAUUAGAGUUAUAUUAGAGUUAUGUUAUAUAAUGUACUAGUAUAGCAAAGAGUCUUUACCACCCAAAAAAUUAGCUAAUAAAAUGAGGGUUCCCCCACUUAUAUAUUUGAUAUAUUGCCCUUUAACAACUAAUAUCGGACUAUACAAUAUAUACAUCCGGAACACAUAUGACCGUGCCGAAUCAGCCAAUCAUGGAGCUCAUUGUCAUUCACCUAGGCUUAGCUAAAAAAAACAAGUUUAUAUGUAGGUCGAAUAGACAGGAUCGUAUGUAUAGUCAUUAUGUUCUCGUUAACUCAUCCCAUAAUAUUUUUAUUGUUAGUUUGUCACGUUUGUUCUAAUAAAUUUAUUAUUUUUAAUUAUUGAAUCGAAGUUUAUGGAAGUAGCAUAUAAUAUGUUGGGAUUUAAUAAAGCGAAGAUAUUCUUUUUUUAUUUUGAAAAAUAAACUUAUUUAAGAAUAGAUAGAACCGAGGGAAUAGAAGGCUGCUGCUUGCCAGCUUGCUGCUUUCCAGAGCACAGGAUUGUUGUGUUGGGCUGGUUUUUUCGGUUGGGCUGGUUUUGGUUCGUUUGCGGCUUUACGCCACGAGAACGAGAGGCACACGGAGCGCAGGGGUCGAGCAAUGCGACAACAACAAGAAGCUGAGUGUGUUGGUUAGCUUCGCGGAUGAGACGACAAGAGAGACGAAACGAGGGCGAAGGGAAUCCCCCGUCAUCCGGUGUGGGCGUGAGUGACAACUAGGAAGAACAGGGACCUGCUGGCUACCUGGAGGCUGGAGCUUAGUAGAUGCGGAUAAGAUCACAACACAAAGCACGCUGGUUAAAAAAAAACAUAAUAUGAAAUAGUUAGAGGAGCAAGAUUUUAAACCCAGAUCAGAUAGCCCACCAUCUUAUAAAACACGCUGGUUGCUUGCUCCUCCUCUGUCUGCCGUGUGCCUGUGUUGCCAUUAUCCUUUUUUUAUAUAUAUUUGUCUUACAAAAUAAUAUAAUAAACUAAAAAAAUAAAUAUAAUAUUUUUAGUUUAUUAUAUUAUUUUGUAAGACAAAUAUAUAUACAUACAAUUCUAUUGUAUUUAAAGUAAAGUAUCAAUAAAUUUAUUAGUACUAAAAUUUUUAAAAUUGGACUUCAACAUUGUAAAAAUGGUAAGUAAGUAGUACUAACAAUCGUUAAGUUGUUUCAUCUGGAAGACGUAAGCAUCGGCAGGUGGUCGUGCCGGAGUGGUUAUCGGGCAUGACUAGAAAUCAUGUGGGCUCUGCCCGCGCAGGUUCGAAUCCUGCCGACCACGGUUUUUUUAUCUUCUCCAGUAGUCCUGUUAUAUGCAGCGUUUCCGCCUAAUUGUCUUUUGGGAUUUGGGGCUUUCAACACCUUACUAGUCACUGGGCUCAAACUUUAUCAGGCCUUUCCUUUCGGCCUUCCAAGGGUUAAUAGGCUCAAACCAAAACUGUUGGGCCGUGUAAACUAAUAACAACACCCCCCCCCAAUCCCCCCUAUACAAAGCUCUCUUCCUCCUCUCCUUCUCUUUCUACUACACUAUAAAUUUUUUAAAAAUAAAAAACACAAAGUUGAAAAAUUUUAUGUAUAGAAAUACUAUAUAUAAAAAAUUUGAAACGGGUAUGUAAACUUUUGACUUACAAUCUUUGGGUCUAUAAACUAAUAUUUGAAUUCAAAUUCAAAUUUAAAUCAGGUAUGUAAACUUUUGACUUAUAAACUUUGGGUCUAUAAACUUUAGAUGUAUAGAAAUACUAUAUAUAAAAAAAUAUUUGAAUUCAAAUUCAAAUUUAAAUCGGAUAUAUAAACUUUUGAUUUAUAAACUUUAGAUCUCUAAACUUUAGAUGUGUAAUCUCGAGGUGUAUAAACUUUAGGUGAACAAAUUUACUAAAAUAAAAAAAUAAUACGGUAAAAAAAAAAAGAAACCCAUGGAGAAGAGGGGGCGCGCUAGGGGUGUUCGAUCGCCCGUUAAUUAGCAACCUCGAUCUGGACUUGGCCUAUUCUCCUAUACGAACGCAUUUUCUCUCUGUACCAUCAGAAAUGUCAAUCACAUUGCAAUUUGCAUGUCAUGUCACACACUCACGCUCACGGGUUCAACCUCUUAGCACAUGGCCCCCACGUACCCCGACCGAAACACCCAUCCCCUCCUCCUUCCAUGCCUCCACCUCGCCGCACGUACGUCCGCGCGCGAAUCCCCCCCAGGAUUCCUUGGAACAAAUCCACGGGCAGAUCGCGCGGCGACGACGACGACGGAGGACGGAGAAAUCGCGAGAUGGAACGACCAGCGAACACGUUCUUUCUGCAUGCAUGCGGCCAAAGACGAACACAGUAAGCUAAGAAACUAGUUCCUCCGAUCCUCCGUUUUAUAAUAUACUCCAUCCGUUUCGAAAUAUUUAACACCGUUAACGUUUUAGUGCGUAUUUAACCAUUCGUCUUAUUAAAAAAAUUGUGAAAUAUGUGAAAUUAUAUGUGUACAUGAAAGUAUAUUUAACAACAAAUCAAAUGAUAUGAAAAGAAUAAAUAAUUACUUAAAUUUUUUUAAUAAGACGAACGGUCAAACAUAUACUAGAAAGUCAACGGUGUCAAACAUUUUAAAACCGAGGGAGUAGCAAUCUAUAAUCGGAUAGAACACAUUCUAACACUAUAAAAUUUAAAUAGACUUAUAUUCAGAUUCGUAGAAUUAUAAUGUAUCGCAUCUAAUCUUGGUUUACUAUAUUAUGAUACCAAGGGGGUAAAAAUCAACAGCUAGCCUAUUCAAUUUCCACGAGCUGUUAACCUGAUAGCAUGAAAAAACUUUUUCUUUUUCCGAUUAGAAGGCAUAUACAUACGGUGAGUUAUUUUUCAUGGAAUAUAAACAAUGACAUAAGCAACAGAAAAUAAUUGUAGGGUACGGCUUUUAUGCUGUUAUCCUUGGCUUUUAUACUUCUAUCAUCCUUGGCGGUUUAAAAACUACUUCAUCUGUUUAAAAAAUAUAAAAGUUUGUUUGUAUUCCUAGAAAUGUAUGUGAAUGGAGGGAAUGGAUGUACAGAUAUAUUCAGAAAACGGGUAUAAAUACUUGUAUUUUUUAACGUAGAGGAUGAACGUAAAGAAAAUAUCAUUAAAAAACACCUAAACUAAUUUGAAGUUAAGUUAUUGUCUUAAAUGAAUUAUAUGACCAACUCUUACAUAAGUAUGUUUUCUCAAAAUAAGUCUUCUACUGUAUUACUCCCUCCGUCUCAUAAUAUAAGAGAUUUUGAGUUUUUGCUUACAACGUUUGACAUCUCGUCUUAUUCAAAAAAUUUUAAAAUUAUUAAUUAUUUUAUUUGUAACUUACUUUAUUAUCCACAAUAUUUUAAGCAUAACUUUCUAUUUUUUAUAUUUGCAAAAAAAAUUGAAUAAGACGAGUGACAAACGUUGCAAGUAAAAACUCAAAAUCCUUUAUAUUGUGGGACGGAGGGAGUACUUAGGUUGUGUCCUUAGGUGAGGGUUGGGAACCCUCGCCUCCGAUACGGAAAACGGAGCAAUGGAUUAGUGUAUGAUUAAUUAAUUAUUAGCUUAAAAAAACUUCAAAAAUGAAUUAAUGUGAAUUUUUAAAGCAGCUUUUCUAUAGAAAAUAACCACGCAUCGUUUAGCAGAUAGGGAAGCGUGCACGACUGCACGUGGUAAGCGGGAGAGCGAGGUUGGGAAAUUGAAAUGAAGAACGCAGCCUUGGACCACUUAAUUGAUGUUCUAUUUGUCAACUUUAUUCCAAAUUUAUCUAUAAAUAUAUAAUUAAAUACAUAUAUAAUCCAUUCAACAACAUAAAUCAAACGAGACCGACGUGGACGAACAUUCACAAUUCACAAGGUCACUCUAGAAUUAUCUGGACACUGCCCCGAUGGCCCCAAAUAAAAUUAAGUAGCAGUCAAUAUGGGCUUGUUCACUUUAUUGUUAUUUUCAACCUUACCCUAAAAUUUGGCAUAGUUUUGAUAGGAUUUCUUAUAUAGUUAUCAAAAUUUAGCAGCAAACUAAAUAUAGCCACUUUUUUAAUAACUUUACUAAUAUUUUGUAAGGUUGAAAAUGACAUUAAAAUAAACUGUCCUACGUACAUGCAUGCUAGCUUGGCUAGCUGUAGUCACUGCGCAGUAUUCUUUCUUCAGAAGAACAAACCUAACAAAAUUCUGUCAAGUUUUGGCAGCUAAUAACUGAAGAUCAAGCGCAGAAGCUAAGCUAGCAGAGUGUGGAAAUUCAACAGCACUACCCGACUGUCUACAUGCAUGUAUGCGAGAAUAUUCUCAGACCAAAAUUAGGAGUAAACAACCGUCGCUUCAGUCAUCCCAUUUCCAUGCCCUCUGGAUUGGGUAACCUUAAUUUAACUCUCGUUUUCCUUAUCUGCUUUCACGCAUGCUUUAAAUAUUGCCCUGUUGGUCAAUGGUCACCGAGAAAAAAUUCAGAGAAAUUUGGCGAGUAAGCAAUACACUGAAAGUACUAGCUACUCCGAGCACUUCAGUGCCAAAGCUCUACAAUUAACUAAGGUUAAUUGCAGUUUUUGCAGGUGUGUUACUAACCACUGCAAACUGUUUAUUUACAGCUGUAUGCGUGUGUGCCCUUGACUUAAGCUGCGUGUCCAAAACGAACUCGUAUACUACAUACUUUCAAAGUUUUAGUGUUACCAAAGUUAAGUAGGUAAUUAUACUAGUCCUAGUAAGGUAGCCAUAUGAGAUUAAAGGAAAUAGGCUAUAUCGCACAUGCAUUAUUUCACUCCGUUUGAUUCGUUAGAUAGCUAGAUCUGGUCGUUUCUCUGACUGAUGCUAAUUUACCAAGCUGAUGCAAUGAUACUACUAGUAGAAGAUCGACGAGGAGGAAAGCUGGUAAAUUCCCAAUAAUCUGCAUGGAUGUAUCAGUCAGAUUAUUAUUCCAGGCUCGUCACUGUCACACACACGAACCUUCAGACUUGUUGGAUUAAUUGAUCGAUCUUGGCGUCCAGCUUGGUGACUGCGAGUAGUAGUAGCUAAUUAAUCCGUGGACGACUGGAUGCAAUCGUUCGAUGUGACGUUCACGGCCAUCUUGGUCAAGCUGGAUAUCUGGAUUCAGGAGUAGUGGGGAGAAGAACUGAAAGUUACAGACGAAACUACGGAAGUGUAUGUGUGUUUGAGUGUUUCAGACAUUCAGUCCACCACACAGAGAUCACAGAUGCAUGCAUGGAUGGAUCUCCCGCGGAUUGCGACGAGCUCACUGCGACGACGACUGAAUCGGAGAAGAAGCUUCUCAUCACUGCGUUGGUUUCCACUGGCUGGUUGCGUGCAGCUACUAGCUACUUCCUCCGUUUCACAAUGUAAGUUAUUAUAGCAUAUUUUAUAUUUAUAUUGAUGUUAAUGAAUAUAGACAUAUAUAUCUAUUUAGAUUCAUUAACAUUAAUAUUAAUGUAAGAAAUGUUAUAAUAACUUAUAUUGUGAAACGGAGGGAGCAGUAGUAAAAAGUAGCAAGGAGAAGACCAACUCGUGACAGCGAGGAAGAGGGCCUGCAGCUAGCUAGGUUGGCCUGCAGAUUUAUUUCUGUCUGGAUUAAUUAGGCUCCUUCUUCUUGGCUUAAUUUUUGUCUUGUUUCCUAUCUUUCCACUAUUUUUGUUAGCAGAAAUUAAAUCUCCGGUCGGACUUUCGGCUAGCUCCACAAGGUGGUGGGCCAAACGAUUCGGAUUCAAACCCUCAUCCCUUCUAAUUAUAUGAUAUUAGGUCAUUUCAUAAUAUUCAUGUUUUUUUAAUCUCCGGUCUGAAAUUUCUGAUAAAAAUUCAAGUCCCACUUAACAUAUAGCGCCAUAUUUCAUAUCCACGAUGGAUCUAAAGUUUGAACAGUGAUCUAAAAUUUUAUAUUUUCUUUAAAAUGGUUUUAGAAAUAUAGUCAUCUUUGAAGAUUCCAUGUAUUUCUGAAGUUAACAAUACCUACAUUUUUUUUCUAAAAAAUGGUGUGCAAAAUAAAACCUUAUUGGAAAACUUUUUAUGUAGUUUAAACCGAAUCCGAACGUUAGCAGGAUAGCAAGGAGAUCUAGGGGCUGUUUAGAUGCUAUACUAAGUUUGCCACCAUUCACCAUACUUUUUGUGCUAUACUUGUCUAAGUUGUGGCUUACAAAAAGUGAGCCACACCUUAGCUAGCAAAAUUGGAUUGUGCCACACUUUGUUGAGUUGAUGACAUGUGGGGUCCAAAUAGAUGAGAAGGAAUCGUGCCACAAGUAUGGCUAUGAACCAAACAAUAUGCUAACUUAGUCAAACUUGCCUAACAUGAUGUGUGGUAACCUUUGGCAAACUUUGGGAGCAAAACAAACAACCCCGUAAGCUCCCUAAAAAAAAAAAGAAAGAAAAUCGAAGCUGCAUGGAUGGAAGUACAGGAGCAGCCAGCGUGGACGAGUUGACGGUUGACCGGACCGCCGCCCGCACGUGUUUGACUAAUAAACGCCGGGACUAGGCUCUCUCCCUCGCCGCCUCAACCAGACGUGGGGCCCACUCCUCCUGCCAUGUCAGCACGUAAAUUAGUCUGUACGAGCAAGUAAUUAAUUACUGUAGCUAGUUUUUGUAGUCGUGUGAUCCGUCUUUUGGUCUUCGUCUCGUCGUCGACUAGUCCACCGUGCACGUAAACGGCCACCGCAUCGUACCUAUCCUAAUCCCACCCAUGUAGCCGGAGAGUUAUGCUUGAUAAUUUCAUGCAUGCAUCCAACAUUUCACUUGGGAAUUUACUGGAAUUUGAAGGCUAAUUAUUAAUCACAGGCUGAUUAUUUUCAUAUUUUUUUUAAAUGCAUCAAAAUGGCCGGAAGCUAAUUAAUUGAUAGACUAAGGCCCUCUUUAUUUAGGCUUAGGUUUAUUGGCCUAGACUUUUAAGUCAACUUAUUGGCUUAUAUGAUUUAUAAGCCAGUGGAUUUAAUGUCCUAAGUUUAGUGGUGGAGUCAUACAUCUAUCUCAUAUAAGCCAAAAAAGAUUAUCCAACCUAGUUUUUGGCUUAAUAGUGUUAGAGUGGCUUAUGGCUUCAAAAAAGCCAAAUAAAAAAGCUGCUUGUUUGUUUUGGCUUAGACUUUUCGACUUAUAAGUUGGCUUAUAAGCCUAAACAAAGAAGGCCUAAGCCUAAAUUUAAAACAUUAUUGAACACUAUAUCCUGAUUCAGUUUGGUUUCACUUACAUAAUUAUUCCGGCAAAUGUUGAUUACAUUUCGUCCUCAUUCAUAUCUAGAGUCUCCUCUUCCAAUUUAAGUAUUUGCAUGUGCUAGCUUCUUAAUUUUUCGUUCAAUCGCAACAACAUGCGAUAACAUCAAUGCUACUAUCUCUCUCUCUAUAUAUAUAUCUGGGAGACUCUGAAUAGAUCUCCAUGAAUACACUAAUCUUCUAGCUGAAUUACAAAUUGCAACGAAUUAUCGUACGUUUUGCUUAAACUGCCACCUUGGCACGUGUAGAGCGAGCUAAUUAAAAUCAAUCACUAAAUAUACACAGUUAAUCCUCUCUCUCUCUAGCCUAACUCCGAUCAAAGCCAUGCAAAUCGAUCAACUCUAAAAUUUUACCGUGUAAAUUGAUCGAUCGAUCUCAGCUAAAUCGAGCAAAGUUCAUCGGCGUUCUAACGAUGGAUCAGUUCUUGGUCGGCGAGAGCUCGAGGAUCCGGCCGGAGAGCGCCGUGACGAGCGCCGCCUUGAACCCGGGGUCCCUCGUCAGCGUCGCCGCCAUCUGCUCGGCCAGGUUCUUCCUCGCCGCCACCUCCGUCGACGGCCCGGCCGCCGCCGCCUGCUCUUGCUGCUGCCGGACGACGGCGGCGGCGGCGCUCGGUGGCGGCUGGUGCUGUGAGUGCUUGGCGGCGGCGGCGGUCUUGCUGCCGGCGUCGUGGUGCGGCGGCUGGGCGUGGUUGUGCUCGCCCUCGUACGUGGCGACGAGGACGGUGUUGUCGUCGGCGCUGCGCUGCACCUUCUUCUUCACCGGGCACGCCGGCGCGAACGAGCACCUGAAGUAGGCUCGCGGGCACGGGUUGUCCUUCGUCACCUUCUGCCCGUACUUCCGCCAUUGAUACCCAUCCUUCACCACCUGAAGGUUUUACAAAACCAAUUGUUGGUUAAUUACGAGGAGACCUCAUCAAUGGAUUAAUCUAAUUGUUUCGUUGCUUACGAGGCUGAGGUCGGAGGGGUCGGCGUGGACGAAGCGCUUGGAGACCUUGGGCUUGCAGUCCUCGCGGACGACGCGCUUCGCGGCGGCGGCGGCGGCCGCCGACGUGCACUCCAUCUGGUCGGGGGAGGCGUAGGCCGCGGCUGCGGCGGCGGCGACGAACGGAGGGGAUGGCUUGCGGUGGUGGGCGGCGUCGUCGAGGCUGUCGACGCUACGGAUCCGCUUCCUCGAUGGCGACACCGAGCCGCCCUCCGACGUCGACGACUGGUGGUUCCCGGCGUUGACCGCCGCCGCCGCCGCCGCCGACAUCAUGUCGUUGACCUGUCCCUGCAGCUCGGUGUACUUGGCCACCACCGCCCGAAGCAUCUCGGUCAGCUUCUUGUUCUCCUCGCUCGCUCGCCGGAGCUCCGCCUCCAGCGCCUCAACCUGGAUCGAUGGACACAAGAUCGAACAACUAAUUAAUCAAACUUUUUUUCAAUAUUCCCAAUCAAAUUCUCAUCGAUGUCGUCGCAGCUGUCAAUCUCUCCACGCACCUCGUGAUCCUUCUUGAAGGACAAGAAGUUCUCCUCCACGAGAACCUUAAUCGGCGCCGCCGGAGCCGAUGAUCUCCUCGCCGUCGACGGCAGGCCGACGUUGAGGUCCAAGCUCAGGGAAGUCUGCUCAAUCCACGAAUCCAUGAAUUGAAUAUACUGAAAAUCAAGAACAGGAGGAGGAGGAGAAGAAGGCGAAGAAGGCGAGAGCCGAAAUGCGCAUGAGCUAGUGAAGGUGCCAUGGCGACGACGAGGAGGAAUAUAUAGCCAAGAAGGUGGGCGAGAGGGGACUGACUGGCUCGGAGGAGGAAGCAUCUUAGCCAUUGUCGCCGUCUUGGUCUUGACAGUAGAAUACUACUACUAGUAGUACUACUACCAUUUCUGCUCCGGAAAAGGCAUCAAUUGUUUAUUUUUUUAAUGUCAGUGUGGUUUUCAUUUCAGCAUGUGGAGGAUAAUUAGGGUCUAAAGACUAAAGGUAGCAUCAAUCAUGUCAUUUGUGAUGAUAAUUAGUAGUAGUACUACUAUUUUCAUUUUAGAAAAUAAGGAGGAUUAAACUGUGUUUUUUAUUAGAUCUGGGAUUAUUCUGUCAAAUUAAGAGGAUAGAAGAGUCUUCUGGCUGGCUGGUUGCAUCUGCAAGCAGGGUCAAGGAAAAACACCACAUGCCAACAACCAGGAGGGUUACAAUUUGGCCCUCCUUGAAAGAAUUUAGGCUAGCUAAUUUGGAUUCAUUUGUUGACUCCUUCACUACUACCUUUUGGGAUGAACCAGCUGGUAAUUAUUACUCCGGCCCUAUUAUUUUACUUUCACUCUGCUCUCGAUCCUUAGCUUAAAAAAAGAUACUCUCCCGUUCUAUAUUACAAGUCAUUUAUUUGCCAUUAUUUUUAAGAUUUAAUUAAGUUUACAGAGAAAAUUAGCAACAUCUACAAAAUAAAAUUAGUUUCAUUAAAUAUUAAAUAUAUUUUGAUAGCAUAUUUGUUUUAUAUUGAAAACAUUGCUAUAUUUUUCUUCAAAAUUCAUCAAACUUAAAAAAGUUUAAUUAGAAAAAACUAAAACGACUUAAAAUAUGAAAAAAAUGAAGUAUGUCUUCAGGAACAGAGAGAAUAGUUAAUUGUGGUAAUAUGUGUUUUUCUCUUUUUAGUUGUGUUUUCUCUUUUUCCCAUGUAACUUUUUUUUGUCUUAUUGAUGCUGUCUCUGAGAAAAAGUUCUUCUCUUUUUUUUUAUAGAAAUGUUAGUACAGUGUAAUAAGUUUUUAUAUUAAGAAAACACUGUAUUCUAGGACCAGUUUAGCACUAAUGAACAGAACUUACAUGUUCAAAAUCAUUUUGAGCAAACUUUCAAACUGUGUCAAGAAUAUCUGGGCUGCAUGCGAUUCGCAAAUCCGAUUACAGAUUUCCCACGGAAGGAAAGAAUCGGUUAGAACCUCGCAUUUGGAUUUUGCCUAGCCCCAAUUUCUCCAAAUGUUCAUUGGAUCUGGACCCAGCACGCACCGAGACUUUCAAUUGACAACAAGAACAGCAAAAGAAAGAAAGACUUGGACCUCUUGUGCAGGCUGCCGGUUGCCAAGAACAAAUUUGGCUUGAUCUCUUCUCGAUCGCAUGUUCGAUGGAAGCUAGGCAACUUGGCAGCGAUGGUGAGUAUAGAGAAAUCACGGAGACCAGGUCAGUUUUGUUGAUCUUUUCUUAAAAUUUUUGCUCAUUUCUUUGUGGAAAGAUGGGUGCAAAUGCGUAUGUUUGUGCGUUUGUACUACUACUAGUCAAUGGCUGCCAUGGACUUUAUCCGUAAACCAUUUUUAAACUGUUUUAGUUACUUGUUUGGUAUGGCUGUAGGUUGAAAGUUUGUUGAAACUACUAAAAUAAAAAAGGUAAGGUAUGGAUCAGGAGCAGAGGAGGAAACUGGUACUAGGAUUGUUUCAACAGGUUUCUUCUCUUGAAUUCGACUGGACGAAACCAAAAGUGGCAAAAUUGGUCUGCACUACUACUUCAGAAUUCUGAAUCUAGAAGAAAGUCGUAGAUUUUAAAUUCAAGGCUCAUUUGCGCAUUAAAUCUCCCCGGGGAAGAUGCAUUGUACUACUAACUCUGUAACUCCUCUUGUCUUGACCAAAUACUGAUUGCAAUUUGUAAAAAACCAUUAAUUAGUCAACACAGGACCCUAAUUAGGGAUGGAAGAUGCUGUCCAGAUUUGCAUUGUGAGCCACAUUUUUCGUCACAUGUGAACUGGCCUCGCCGAAACUGUGUGCUGGCCAGCGACGGCCGCCAUGCAUACAGAUUCUGGUGGUGUCCUUGUUGCGAGGGAACCUUUUUGGUUAGUAGUAGUAGCAAGCAAGAUGCCAGUAGUCCUAGUAGUUAGUGUGUGAUCCAUGGAUGAGAUGCAUGGUCGAAUUAAUCUAUCAACAGCAUUAUCUUCACAUUUCUCACGUUUAGCAUAUGCAGUUAGUUGGAGGAAUCCAUGCAAAUGGACUGGUAAAGUACUACAGUAGGACUAUGUUGGUGGCACUGGGGUGAUAAGCUUACGGAAAUUCCUAAUCAUCGGACGCUCGUUUUUCAUUUUUACCGGCCGAGAAUAGUUACCGAUGAAAACCAAAAUAAAAAUGGUAAAACAUAUGAACAUGGAAACGGAAAUGUUUUUUUUAUACCGAACAUCUUCGAAUUUUACCAUAUUCUUACUGUAAUUACCUUUUUCUAAAGCUGAACGAAAGAGCAGAAGUUUUCAUCAGCUUUCAGUAAUUCGAAGGAAUAAAAUGAUUUUUUUUUACAGAAUGAAGGGCUAUCAAUGAAAACCAAACGGCGAUGAUAUUUCUAGAAAAAAAGACACUUAUUCGAUGAUAUUUUUAGGAAGAUAGAGCAUCCCAUCCUACUCUCCAACCAAAAUAAUAAUUAUUAUAGACAAAAAAAAUCCUCCAAAGGCCUUUCCAUCCCACUCUUUAUCUAAACUCCUUCCCUCACUUGUCAAACUUGGUUAGCCUACUUCACUUGCCAUGCAGAUCCCAUUGCCUUCUUCUCUUUCUUCCCACUAGUGAUGCACAGCGAGCGGAACUCCGCCGUUGCGUGGCCUCCUGCUCGCCUCGUCAUUAUCGUAUUCCGCUGCUGCCGUCGUCGUCUAACACCGCCUCCGUGCGCCUCCUGCUCUGCUCCGUUGUCGCCGCCUCCAGCCCCGCAAGCUCGAGUGUCGCCGCUAUCAUAAACUCAAAGUAUAUAAGGUAGAUGGGGAGACCAUUGAAAUGAACAAUGAAUUUGGUUUGCCAAAUUAAUUGAAGACUACUUUAUCCAUGAAAAAGUAUCAACCUAGGAUCGAAUGUAGAUAUAUCAUAAUAUAUACCAUAAAUCCCCAUAACUAUAGUAUUAAAAUAUAUCAAUAUCAGAUAUAAGGUUGUUUUUUUUAUAGAACGAAGAAAAUAUAUAUAACUAUAUGAGAGUAUUGGAGAUACUCUUAUGGAUUGCGUAAUUUGGAGUUUCCUGAAUGAGCACCCAGCCCACAAAAGCAGAGCAGGUAGCGGUUGGCUCGUGGAACACGUGCGCGCUCCACGUGGCAGGAGGAGGGGAAGAGUCGAAGAGAGAGCUACCAGGACGAAGGACGGACGCAGUCGCCGCGAGACCGGAUCGAAAGGUGGGUGGUGGGGCCCUGCUCGCAGCGUCAGCGGCUGGGGGCGCGCGGUCACGUCGCAGCGGAAAAAAAAAAAAGGCGAUGCCGAUUGCCGCCAGCCGCGACGCGAGUCGGGGGACUUGGGCCGUUGGUUUCCCGGAAUGGCCGGCCACCACACCACCGAGGCGAGGCGACUACUACUACUUGUCGGUCCUGGACCUUGACUCGCUCUCUCCUC
This 134604-nucleotide long non-coding RNA is filed under the name Oryza sativa (Asian cultivated rice). RNAcentral describes it as "long non-coding RNA (OSAT_LNC001212)". The stretch from base 83737 to 83933 matches the Rfam family "MIR812 microRNA precursor family". The record is from RNAcentral. Lineage: Eukaryota; Viridiplantae; Streptophyta; Magnoliopsida; Poales; Poaceae.